Molecule: long non-coding RNA, 115444 nt
Filed under: Homo sapiens (human)
Lineage: Eukaryota; Metazoa; Chordata; Mammalia; Primates; Hominidae
Description: non-protein coding lnc-LEF1-1:2
Source: RNAcentral
UAAAAACUACAUUUUAUUCAGAAUUUCUAUUGUAUAAGAAAUCUGCAUAAAUCAUCUCUGGAAGUUUCUAUUAUUAUUCCAUUCUACAGGAGACAAAACUGAAGCUCAGAGACAUUAAGGAAUUUGCCCAAGAUUACAUAGCUGGUCAGUAUAUGAGCUAGGAUUUGAACACAGAUUUUUAAGACUGCAUGCUCUUUUUUAACCACUGAACCAAAUCAUACUAUUUAUUUUUGUAGAUCAGGCAAAUGUGGAGAGUAUGAAAACAAGUAAUGGUUUCAUCAAAAUAUGCAUGUCAACUUUAUCCAUAGUAUUUGAAUGAGGGACAUUACAAGGCACUAAAAGUGUUGAUUUGUCAUAUACAUAUACAUACACACACACGCACACUUAGGCUAAACUAAUGGAACAGUGCAAACACAGGAAGGCAUAUGUAGGACAGAAAGGCUGUAUCAUGAGAUCAGAUGAUCUGAUUCUGUGGCCAUAAAGAGUUUCCUCCAGCCUUAUGAGUAAAGGCCUAUAUGGAUAACCCCAGACACUGCAAAGUAUUAGGUUGCUGCCUCCCUCUUCAGACUAAUCAAAUAGAAAUACUACUGAAAGCAAUGUGGUAUCCUGGUUGGAUCCUGGAACAGAAAAAUGACAUGAAUGGAAAAAUUAAUGAAACCUGAAAAAAGUUUAGAGUUUAGUUAAUAGUAAUGUACCAACAUUAAUUUCUCAGUUUUGACAGAUACACCAUAGUUAUGUAAAAUAUAAACAGUAGGGCAAACUGGGUGGAAGGAACACAGGAAUAUUGUACUAUAUUUUUUAUUUUUGAGGCAGGGUCUCGUUCUGUUGCCCAGGCUGGAGUGCAGUGGUGUGAUCACAGCUCACUGCAGCCUCAGUCUUCCUGGCUCAAACAAUCCUCCUGCCUCGGCCUCCUGAGUAGCUGGAACUACAAGCAUGCACUAAUACACUCGGCUAAUUUUUUAAUUUUUGUAGAGACGAGGUCUCACUAUAUUGUCCAGGCUGGUCUUGAGCUCCUGAGCUCAAACAAUUCUCCUGCCUUGGCUUCCUAAAAUGUUGGGAUUACAGGCAUGAGCCACAGUGCCCAGCCUGUACUAUCUUUAGAACUUUUCUGUAAAUCUAAAAUUAUUCCAAUAUACAAACAUUUUGUUUUAAACAUUAAGUAAAAUAUAAAUAUAAAUAUAAGAGAGAGGGAGGGGGAAAGCAAGAGCACAGUCCUAGAGGCCAGAAAAUCAUCUUGCUAGCCUCUUAAAUCCAUAAAGCAAAAUCAUGCAGGAUAAUUUUGUAAAUGCUUUUAUAUGUUACUGAUAUGGUAUACAGGUGUAAAAAAAAAAAAGAGCAGAAAAACAAUUCUCAAAGAUUAGAAUCGGCCGGGCACGGUGGCUCAAGCCUGUAAUUCCAGCACUUUGGGAGGCUGAGGCGGGUGGACCACGAGGUCAGGAGAUCAAGACCAUCCUGGCCAAUAUGGUGAAACCCUGUCUCUACUAAAUAUUCAAAAAAAUUAUCCAGGUGUGGUGGCGGGCGCCUGUAGUCCCGGCUACUCAGGAGGCUGAGGCAGGAGAAUGGCCUGAAUCCGGGAGGCAGAGCUUGCAGUGAGCAGAGAUCACACCACUGCACUCUAGCCUGGGUGUCAGAGCGGGACUCCGUCUCAAAAAAAAAAAAAAAAAAAAGAUUAGAAUCAUACAGAAGUUAGACUAAAAUCUUGCUUUGUCAAAAUGGCUCUCCAGGAAGCUUACCCUCUUGUGAGCACUUCAUUAGCAGGGAUUCCUUUUGCUAGGGAUGGGAAUGAGAAGAAUCUGCUGCCAGACACAAAAGAAGAAUUGAAAAAAAAAAAGGCAAAAAAUACCAUGUUAUUAGAAAAAGACUCAACAUCCUUACAUGUCAAUUUUCCCUAAAUAAAUCUGUAAAUUUAUUAACAACAUGUUUCCAACAGAAAGGCUGAAAUAAUUUUUUAGGGGAACUCAGCAAGCUGAUUUUAAUAUUCAUAAACAGUCUUGAGGCAAAUGGGCGGUGAUAUGGAAAAUAUCACUAAGUUGUUUUGUUUGUUUGUUUGAGACAAAGUUUCGCUUUGUCACCCGGGCUGGAGUGCAAUGGCAUGAUCUCGGCUCACUGCAAACUCCACCUCCCGGGUUCGAGCAGUUCUCCUGUUUCAGCCUCCCGAGUAGCUGGGAUUACAGGUGCACGCCACCACGCCCAGCUAGUUUUUGUAUUUUUAGUAGAGACAGAGUUUCAACGUGUUGGCCAGGCUGGUCUCAAACUCCUGACCUCAAGUGAUCCACCCAUUUCAGCCUUCCAAAGUGCAGAGAUUACAGGCAUGAGCCACCGCACCCAGCCCCAAAGCUGUUUUUUUACAUUAUAUGUCCCACUAAAAUAAAUUCCAGAUGUAUUAAAUAUACAUUCAUAUACAAAGUAGGUAAAAACAUAGAAAGAUGUUUUUAAAAAUCUAUUUUGGGAAAAGCCUCUUUAAGUAUAACAUAAAAAUCUUAAGUCAGAAAAGAUAAGAAAUGGAUAUCUGACUACAUAAAAAUUAAAACUUUCUGAAUAAAAAUAAAAAGUUUUCGUAUUUUACUUUAUUUUACUUUUUGUAUUUUACUUUGUAAUAUUCACAAAGUAAUAUUACAAACAUAUUUACCAGUUUGCUGUUUAUAUUUUACUUUACUAUACAGAGAAAAAUACAAACAGUAAACUGGUAAAUAUGUUUGUAACUCAUAUCCCGGAAAAAAAGUACUAACAUUAUCAAUACAUAAAGAGCAAUAACAAAUCAAUAAGGAAAGAAUAACAAACCAAUAGAGAAGUGAGCAAAGGAUAUGAACAUACAGUUCAGCAGAAUAGGAAAUACAUACUCAGGAGGCUAAGGCAGGAGGAGCACUUGAGGCCCAGAGUUUGAGGUUGCAGUGAACUAUGGUUGCACUCCAGCCUGGGCAACAGAGCAUGACCCCUAUCUCAAAAAAAAAAAAGGGAAAUAUAAAGAGCUCUUUAAACUUACGCAGAGAUGUUCAUCCUUACUUGUAUAAAAAGUACACAUUAAAAUACAUUGAGGCAAUAUUUUCACCUUAUGGACUGGCAAAGACAGAGAAAUUUGAUCAGUGUGAGGAAACAGGCACUCGCAUAUAUUUGUAGUGGAUGUAUAAAUUGGUAUGAUCUUUAUGGAAAGCAAUAUGGCAACACAAUUUCUAUCCAAGCCACAAAUGCUCAUACCUUCUCACCUAGUAAUUUCAAUUCUAAUAGUUUGCACUUCAUGCACAUUCUCACAAUUGGCAUGAUCUCGGCUCACUGCAAACUCCACCUCCUCACACAAACACAAGAAUAUUAAUUACCACAUUGUUGGUGCUAGCAAAAGAUUAAAUACUACCUAAAUAUCCAUCAAUAAACGACAGGUAAAAUAAACCAGAAAACAUCCAUAUAAUAGAAUACUAUGUUAUAGAUAAAAAGAUUGAAGCAGCUCUAGAGAGACUGAGAGUAAAAGGCUUCCAGAAUAUGUUAAGUUAAAAAGGCAAAUAAUGAAACAAUGAAUGGUAUGCUAUCAUUUGUGGGAGUGGGAGGGCAGGGGGAGGUGUAUAUAUAUUUAGAAAUGGAUAUAAAAUCUGAGUUUUGGUGAUGGAACUUCACAAGUUUUCUCUUUUGUCCUAAUUUUUUAAAUAAUGAACAGUAAUUCCAUUUUAAAUAAGAAAAAUAAACAAAGUUAAUUUUUUAAGGAACUCAAUCAAAUGCCCUAUAACUACCCAAACUCGUUUCUGGAAAGAGAAGAAAGUGAAAACAAAUAAAACCACCUGGUUCUUUAGGUCUCUCUCCCUGAUCCUAAGCAGUCCCCAUCCUCUCCCUGGGAAAACAAUGCAGUGUUAAACCCUCAAAGCCUCCCAGCUCAGUUGUUAAGGUAAUUGUGUUUACUCUUUUCCAAACAAAGUAAUUUGAAUCAGAAAAGUAAAUGUGCUCUGUCUUCAGGUUCUUUGAUGUCAUCUUCCUCCUUGCUCCAGAGUGUAUGAUGCCUGCCUGCUGCCCAGAGCAUUACACACAGAUUCUCUAAGCAUUGCCAUAGCUACACCAUUCUGCUUGGGAUAAUGAUGUAAAACAAAUAAAACAUAAGUAAAAUCGAAUUUGAAAUAAAACAAUAGGCCCUAAAAAACAUAAGCUGUGUAUGUUUUUUUCUUCCCUUUGAACACUUAUGCUGAUUAUGAAACUUUGGAGUAUUUUGAAAUUUCAGAACAAUUUUUAGUGUGCUAAAGCCCCAGAGGCAUGACUAUUUUCUUUCCUGAAAAUAACAUCUGAUCAAGGCCAAUGGUAUGUUUGAAACAUUAAGAGCCAGUGUUUGUACCUCUUAAGCCUAUCAGAUGAUUUCCCUCUAGAUGACCCUUGUUAAACAUCACAUCAGCUCUAAAUGUGAUUUUAGGAUUUUAGGUUCUUAAGACUCUGAAGCUGGUAGCUGUUCAGUCAUCCAGGCCGGAUCUAUGCAGGCAAAGGACGGAGUGGUUCAUGCUGUAUUAGAUGAAUUAUCUGAGUUAGCCAAAUAAAAUCCUCUGGGCUGUGGGCUACCUACUGUCUCCACUGUCCCAAACCACCCCACAGUCACUUCAUUCUUACUCUGGGAUGUCCUGGGUCUACUUGCCUGGAGCUUCAGCUUCUUUUUCCUGUUUUCCUCUUUUUAAGACUCCUUUGCUCUGCCUUUUUUUUUUGUAACAACACAUUUGGAGUUGGAAGUUACUUUAAGAAGACAAGAAAGUUAGGAAAAUAUUUAAAAUAAAUCUGCUAGAACGUCCCUUGCUCAUUUAACACCCAGGAGUUAAGCUUCUAUAAUGGCAUUUAAAUCCUUGGGUUUUUCCUUUUUUUUUUUUCAUUACUUUAUGUACUUGCAAUAAAAACAUUCCUUUAGACUUUAGAAAUUCUAAAUAAAACAAGAACAAAAGAAUGUUCCUUCUUUUCAACUCUCCACCCAAAUGUUACCAUUGUAAAUCAAGGUAGCAAAGUAAAUUAACUACUGGCAUUUAAAUGUUUGCUGUCCCAAAUAUUUAUUCCUUCCCACUCCCCCAAUUUGUUUUAUACAAAACAAUGCUCAUAAAAACAAUAAAUACUCAUUCUUUGUCUACUAAAAUUUUAGAUCAAAGUACUGUGUGGUCCAAAUCCUGAAUUGUAAAAAGUAAUGUUUGUUCAGCAGGAAGCCUUCAACUUCCCAACAGCAAUCUGACCAAAUUUGGUUUCCAAUUUUCUCUAAGCACUGAAGUGCUAGGUGUAGACAUAAUAAUAUGAUUCACUCCACAUUUGCAUAAUAUACUUUACAUCUGGAGUUUCAUUUACCCCUUAACUGCAUGAUGUGCUAGAAUCGGACGUAUUUUGGUGUCAAGAAAGACCUGAAUGUGCUGUCACUUGACGCUCUUAUGCAGCUACAAUUCAGUUUUGUCAUGGGUAACAACAAGAGGGUAUGUAUGCCUACUUCUCUGGGAUGCUGUGAUGAUUGGGUGAAAUAACACAUCCGUGGCUACUGCCCCACGGUGGGCCUGCCCACUGUUGCACAUGCCAUACCAUGUUGUUUUUCUGUGUUUGUAUAUUAGCAUCCCACCACUAGAAUGUCUACUCCUCUGGGAAAGAACUAGGACCCCCUCUCCACCUCCUUCUGCAGCCUCAGGGUAGCUUCCAUGUACAUUCUUAAAAACUGAUUUAAGCAUACUGAUUUUUGAAUUCUUUUCUUGGGCUCACAAAAAUUACUAUACCCCAUACCACUGCUCCCGAGCAAAAGGGCACUAGAGCCUUAUUUCCCCUGCCACAUUCCUACUUCUGGAGCCCUAUUCAGGCUGAACAUUUACAGGAGCUGUGAGAACCUCUGGUUCCCCCAGCCUCUAGCCCUGAACCAAGCUAGGUUGGCACAAACUAUCCCCACCUUUGCCAGCCCCAAACUGCCCAGUGCCUCACUGUCCUUCAUUCACUGCGCUUCAGCCCCAGCCCCACCCCCGCAUGAACACAUGCACAUCACUCCCAGGCGUAGAAUGCCAGGCAGUCCAUAGCUUUCCAUCCAGGCUCUUCCACAGCACUCACCACUCACACUUUUCUGCUGGCCUGAUUCCCUCUGCCCAGAGGGUGAGAACAGCUCUAUGUUUCCCUGAGGUGGAAGCCCUACCCCAGAGCUUUUGUGUGUGCCUUGUUCAGUGACAAAGUUGUCCCUGGGGACAUGCUCUUGAGUAACGAACUUGACAAACAACUUUAAAAUGACUACCAACAAUCCACUCUAGGGCAGAUUAUCCCAGGGUAGAUACACACUGCCCACCCCCUGCAAACUCUUUUGUGGUCCUAUAAUUGCCCUUGGGCUCAUCUUUCAGAGAGUAUGAGGAGAAAUGACUGAGGCUCUUUCAUAGUCUGGGUAAGUGGUUUUUGGUGAGGUGGACUACUCUCCUUCUAAAUUAUUCAGGAACGCAUACUGAUUGAAGCACUAUUGAGCAACCAGUUGUGCUAGUUGCUACAAGGGAGAUAAUUAUAAGACACAGCCCCUGCCUUCAGCAGCAUUAUUAGAGGCAGUAUAGGGCACAGGUUCCAAAUCCCAGCUCUGCCACAAACUAUCUGCAUGACCCUUAGCCUAGCUCUGAGUGUCAGUUUUCAUAUCUGUGAAAUGGAGAUACUCUACAGAUUGUUUCCAGGACUAGAAAUCACAUGUGUGAUACGCAGGGCAAGCAGUGAAUAGGGUGUAAAUGACAGGUGUUUGUUUCUGUUUUGUUUCAUUGUUUUCUGAAUGCUUGUUGAGAGGUGCAGUCCAUGCUCUCAGGAGACCUACGGACACAGCAAGGAAGAGGAGGCAAACACAUCACCUAGUACUAGAGUAGACUUCUCCACAGGGUAAAGUUCUAGGGUGGGGCCAAAGGAAGCUGCAGUCAUGUCUCCCUGGGGUGGGGAAGUCCUUCAUAGAAGAGAUGACACAAGCUAGACCAUGAAGGAUGUUUAAGCACAGCACAAGCGGUGAAGACUGGAAGGGCAUUUCAGAUGCAGGGAAAGCCUGAGAAAAGGCCUAGAAAACUGCACGGAGUUGAACACCUGGAGCCUAUGGUGAAAGCCUGGGCCCUGUGGUAUGACUUGUGUGGGAGAGGACUGAGGGAGAAUCAGAGGCAGAGCACAAAGUGAUUUCUUGUAAGCAACUGAGGCAGGCAGUUGCUAUUGAGCAUGUUUUUCUUUUGAUGAUCUUUAUGUAUUUUAAUUGUAAAAACAACAUAUGCUCAUUGUUAAAGAAAAAUUACAUAGUAAAGAAGUACAGAGAAUAAAAAGCAAAUGAUCCUGCCCCAUUCCCUACAGGUAAGAGUUUAAUGUUUACCCUUCUGGAUCUUUCAUUAGAGAGUAUUUUAGGCAGGAAUAGGCAAUGACCAGAUUUGUAUUUAAAAAAAAAUCACUUUGGGACCGGGCACAGUGGCUCACGCCUGUAAUCCUAGCACUUUGGGAGGCCGAGGCAGGUGGAUUGCCUGAGCUCAGGAGUUCAAGACCAGCCUGGGCAACAUGGAGAAACCCUGUCUCUACUAAAAAUACAAAAAAUUAGCCGGGCAUGGUGUUGCGUGCCUAUAAUCGCAGCUACUCAGGAGGCUGAGGCACAAGAAUCGCUUGAACCCGAGAGGCGGAGGUUGCAAUGAGUCGAGAUCAUGCCAUUGCACUCCCACCUGGGCGACAGAGUGAGACUCUGUCUCAAAAAAAGAAAAAAAAAUCACUUUGGGUAGAAGGUAGUGGACGGGGUGACUGAAACCAGGGAGACUCCCCAAGUCAUGGGGCAGUUCUUUCAGAGAGACAGUGAGAGUCUGUAUGUACUGAGGCAGCGCUGGGGGCGCUUGGUUCCUCACCCAUCAUGCAGGUGAGGGAGUGAGAGGAAUUAUAAAUGACACCCUGGUUUUGGCUUAUAUGAAUGAAAUUAAAUGUAUAGAAGAACCAGAGGUUUGCAGGGGGAAAUUAUGAGGAUAGUUUUGGGCAUGAUGAGUUUCAUGUGGCCAUCAGACAGGCAGAAAAGUAUGUCCAAGGUCUGGGGCUUAGGAGAGAAAUGUGGCUUAAAGAAGCAGAUGUGGAAUACUUUUCAUGAGGGGGAGCUCACUGAGGGAGAACCAGGGGAAGGCCUAUAUUUAAGAAGCAAGAAGAAACAAGAGACCUUUCCAGGGAGACGGAGAAGGAGCAGACAGAGGAGGAGAAAGAGGAGAACAGUGUGAUGGCGAAUAGGAGAGAACUUCAGGAAGGAUCGGGGCAUCAAAUGCUGUUCAGGGAACAAGGAGUCCGACGGAAGUGAGGGCCAGCUUUGCUCGUAGCAGUCAUCAAGGAAGGGGCUGACAGUGGAGCAGGUUCAGUGCUUUGUUUAUAUUAUCAGAAAAAGGCAGGGAGGAAAUACGACACAAUGUCCGCGAGUGUUACUUCUAGGUGUUCAGAUGACGAUGAUUGCUAUUUUCUUCUGUCCCCAGUAAAAGGGUGAGGGAGGAAGAUGAAAGUACCACAUUCCAAAAGAAAACCCUUUAAAAUUACACAGAUGAAGCAAGUUUAUUCAACCUGCUUAAGCAUUUAAAGUCUUAAGAGAAGAUACCAGCUUUAUGAGGAAUAUGGCAUAAAACAAUACAGUUGUUACGUAUUACUGCUUGCCAUUUUGUACAGGCCGCACAUGAAGCACAGUGUGAAACUUUCUGGUUCUUCCAAAGAUCCUCCAGAGCUAGCUCAGGAACUCACAGCAGGUUUUUCCCCAAGCUUCAGCCAUGUGUGUCUAUGAUUUUUGCCAUAUCUCUUUACCACCAGUCUUAUUAUAAGCAUUUUAUUUAAACCAAUUGGUUUAAAUAAAGUAGUUCUUACAUGAAUCCAGUUAUAUCACAAUAGUAAAUGGAAAAUCUAAUAUCACAAUAAAUAGUAGGCAAUUAAAAAAUAAAUAUAAUGAAGGGGAAAAAAACCCUCUUAGUAUAAAUUCUAGCAAGAUUCUCUCAACAACUCGAGGUUUCUAGCCUGAGACCUGAUCUAGCUCUCUGGUAAAAAGGGAAAUAAACAGGCACUAGAAAUGGUUAAAGAUUUGCAGGUACUGUAGUUCAAGUUUUCCCAGAAGCAAACCUGUGACUAGAAUUCAGUUGCAAUUAGUUUACUUGCGAGGUGAAGGAAAUGUGGAAACACAAUGAAGGAGGUGGGAAGUGAGGCAGAAAAGAGAAGGAAGCAAUUGAAUAACAUAUUAUCAAGCCAGCUCUCACUGUGGACAACUAGAGCUUCAUCCCUCUGAGGAAACUCAGGGAGCCAGUGUAAAACACACCUCAGAAUUCGCCUACACAAAGAAUGAGAGAGACGGGGUAUUUAUACACCAACUGCUAUUAGUCACUUGUUGAAGGUCAAUCCCUAGGACAUUAAUUCCCCAGCAUUCCUGGGUUGCCUUGUGGGCAGCAAAGCAGGUCUCAUAGUCAAGAGAAGGCCUUGGGCAAAGAAUAUAAGGGCUGUAGGUGUAACUCUGGCAGGCAUACACCCACUUGAUAAAGGUGAAAAGGUAUGGGCCAGGUUCCAACAGAGGCUGCUACAGGUACUAGACUGAUAGAGAAUAGAAAAGGAAAUAGUUUUCUCAUGAUUUGAGUGAAAAUAAUUUAUUGCUAGUCCUGUAAAUCACUCAAAAUCAUCUCCCAUACCACCAAGCCAAGGCUCCCCAACCCCUGGAAACCUUCAAAUACUCUUGUAAGGCCUGAAACAGCUCAGCAAGGAUAAAGCCUGGCCCAACAACUGUCCUGAGGGGCCUGGUGGAAUUCCAUCCAGGCCACUGAAAAACAGAACUUUUCAGAUAUUUUGUUUACUCUUCUCCCUAUCAAUUAGAAAUAGCUUCAUAAUACCUGCCUGCUCAAUAGAGCAUUCCAAAAGAGUUGUCUCUAGAGAAGCAGGUCACAUUGACAACACAGACAAAUUAGAGUAUGACUGUUUACUUUUAAAUGGAACUUUUACCUUUAAAAAAGGGCCAUCAAAUGCCUUCUAAUAACAGCUUCCCUGAUUUGUUUAAAAUAUGAUUUAUUGUUUAUAUGUAUAUUAAGCUAUAUCCAUUUAGGAGAUCACAACAAUAACAAGAGGUAAAGUAUAUAGGUACUAUGUGCUACGAUACUUUUGUGUAUGUAUUUUUGUAGAUAUUCUUUCAUUCAACAAACAUUUAUUGGAUUCUAUCUGCAAGUCAGGAACUGUUCUAGGUGCCUAGAUUUAUAGCAAUGAAGGAAACAGACAAAAAUCCCUUCCCUCCAGGGAAUUACAUUCUACUAGGGAAGACAGUCAAAAAAUAAAAAUAAAUGAAUAAAAUACAUAGGAUGUCAGCUGGUAAUAAGUACUACAAAUAUAGUGAGAGACGAGGAUAAAGAGUACCAACAGCUAGGGGAGGAGUUAUAAUUUUAAAUAGGGUGAUCAGGGAAGACCUUACUGACAAGGGAUAUUUGGAAAGACCUGCAGGAGGUGAGGGAGUGAGCCAUGUGAAGAUCUGGGGAAACAUUACUACGAAGAAAGGAAAUAGCCUCUGCAAAGAUGCUGGGGUAAGAACAUGCCCAAGAUUUGAGAAAGCAAAUAAACUCAAGUGGCCAAUGCACAGAAAGCAAGGGGAACAGUGAGAGAUGAGAUCAGAAAAGUAAGAGGUGGGUGUAGAUCACACAGGAUCCUGCAGAACAUUGGGAAAUGGUAAGCUGCUGGGGCAUUCUGAGCAGAGGAGGGACAUAAACUGACCUAAGUUUGUAAACCAAAAAAAUGCCAAGCCCCCCAACUGACUGUAUGGACCCCCUCUGUGCCAAGGGGAUCCCAGAGAAACACGAAAAACUGAAUUCCCAGCCAUAAGAGGAAGGGACGUCAGGCAUGCCUGGUUAUACCCCUCCCUUCUAGAGUUUAGGACAACUGACCAGCAUUAACACUGAAAUAGAGAUCAUAAGACUGACAGAAACAGACUCUUUGUGGCAAUAAGUUACCAAAUUCCAACCUGAUUCUGAUAUAGCAUCACAUGAGAUAGAAGACUCUGAAGGAAAUAAAGUGAUUUUACCCUAAAAUAUAUUUCUUUGACAUAUUUUGAAAUGGCCCUAGAAAGCCCUCUCUCGGGGAAAUUUGCAUCUCUAGAAAAUCUCCUUCCCUUUCUAGUUUUUCCUGGAUCUAAAAGGGACUAAAGGAGAGUUUUGUUUCGAAAAGUUUUGAAAAGAGACAUUUACCAUCUAUUCUAAGGCUGUUACCUGGAGGUUUAAUCUAAAUAACAAGAACCUUGGAUUUCACAAUCCUCCCCGCAUCUUGACUCUAGCGUGUCUUUGUACUGACUUCAAGUCUAGACAAAGCUUAACUUUUUCAACCAAUUGUCAAUCCGAAAAUCUUUGAAUCCGCCUGUGACCUAUAAGUAACCCCCUCAUACUAUGACGUGUCCUGCCUUUUGGGGCCAAACCAAUGUAUACCUUGCAUGUAUUGAUCUAUGUCUUUGUUGAUAUCUUCUGUCUCCCUAAAAUGUAUAAAACCUAACUGCAGCCAGACAUGCAGCUCACACCUGUAAUUCCAAAACUUUGGGAGGCCAAGGCAAACGGAUCACUUGAGCCCAGGAGUUUGAGGCCAGGCUGGGCAACAUGGCGAGACCUCGUCUCUACAAAAAAUACAAACAUUGGCCGGGCGCGGUGGCUCACGCCUGUAAUCCCAGCACUUUGGGAGGCCGAGGCGGGCGGAUCACGAGGUCAGGAGAUCGAGACCACGGUGAAACCCCGUCUCUACUAAAAAUACAAAAAAUUAGCCGGGCGCAGUGGCGGGCGCCUGUGGUCCCAGCUACUCGGGAGGCUGAGGCAGGAGAAUGGCGUGAACCCGGAAGGCGGAGCUUGCAGUGAGCGGAGAUCGCGCCACAGCACUCCCGCCUGGGCGACAGAACGAGACUCCGUCUCAAAAAAAAAAAAAAAAAAAAAAUACAAACAUUAGCCAGGCAUGGUGGUGUGUGCCUGUAGUCCCAGCUACUCAGGAAAUUGAGGUGGGCAGAUCACUUGAGCCCACAAGGUGGAGGAUUUAGUAAGCCAUGAUCGUGCCACUGCACUCCAAAAAAUUGUAACCCAACCACGUGGACAUACUUUCUCAGGACCUCUUAAUACUGUUCCCCAGGCCUGGGUCACUCAUAUUGGCUAAGAAUAAACCUCUUUAAAUAUUUUACAGAAUUUGGCUUGUCAUCAAUAGUUUUAAGAUCACUCUGUGAGCUUUGCAGACAAUAGCAGGUACAGCAUGGUAGAAACAGGGAGACCUGUUAGGAGGCUAUGAUAAAUAUCUAGAUGAAAAAUGAUUGCAGCUUGAACUAGGCUGGUGAGAAGUAGCUGGUUCUGGUUAUAUUUCACAGGGAAAUAAUUUGUAGAUAAGGCUGGGGGCAGUGGCUCAGGCCUAUAAUCCCAGCACUUUCGGAGGCCAAGGCGGGUGGAUCACCUGCGGUCAGGAGUUCAAGACCAGCCUGGUCAACAUGGUAAAACCCUAUCUCUACUAAAAAUACAAAAUAAAAAAUUAGCUGGGUGUGGUGGUGCACGCCUGUAAUCCCAGCUACUCAGGAGGCUGAGGCAGGAGAAUCGCUUGAACCCGGGAGGCAGAGGUUGCAGUGAGCAGAGAUUGUACCACUGCACUCCAGCCUGGACGACAGAGCAAGACUCUGUCUCAAAAACAAUAACAACAACAAAAGAAUUUGUAGAUAGAUUGGAUGUGGGGAGUGAGAGAAAGAGAAGGGUGAGGAUGGCUCUAAAGCUUUUGGCAUGAGCAACUGAAAUAAUAGAUCUGCCAUUUCCUGAGACAGAGAAGACUAUGAAGGAACAGAUUUGGGGAAAGAUCAUAAGUUGGGUUUUGGACAUGCUGAAUUUCACAUACCUAUUAGACAUCAAAUAGAGGUUUGUAGGCAGCUGUAUAUGUAAGUCUGUAAAUCUGGGGCUAGGUCUAGGCCAAAGAUGUAACUCAAUGUUGUUAGCAUUUAUAAUAUAUUCAGAGGCAUGAGACUGGAUGAGGUCAUCAGGAAAUGAAUUAGAUAGAAAAGAGAAGGGGGUGAGAGACUGAGCUGUAGGGGCACUCCACCAAAUACAUAGAGGUCAGGAAGACAAAACAAGCAAAGGAGACUAACGAAGAGCCAAGGAGAUCCGGAAAGAACCAGAAGCUGAUGGCAUCCUGGAAGUAAGGGAAGAAAGCGUUUGAAGAAAGUGUAAUCAACUGUGUCAAAUGCUGAUGAUGGGUCAAAUAAGGGGGACGAGAAUUGACCAUCAGAUUUAGCAGUUUUGGUGGAGAGCUGGGGCAAAAAGCAUGCCUGGAAUGUGGUCCAAAGAGAAGGCAGAGGAGGAAUGUAUGUUCAUUUGCUACCCACUUUGUGCCUAUGAUUUCAGUACUGCUUGGAACCUAAAGAAAUGUCUAAUUAUUUCCUUGACAAAAUAAAGCACGAUUGAAUAUUAGCUCUUUUUGAAUUAAUUAAUUUGGGUUUAAAUAAAGUUUUUCUUCAACAGUGUUUUACCUAAGUUAUUUAAAUGAUUGGUGUAAUUCUCUACUUUUCACAUGAACAAAAUAUUGGCUACAUACUACAGUAUGUGGGGUAGAUGUGAUGGAUAUUCUGCAUAUGUAGUCUCUAUGGUAAGUUAAUGAAUGUUUUAUGUAAGUCAGUAAGUCUCUCCUCUGUUCUCUUCUGGUGAGGCACCAAUAAUCUGGAACAUGAGAAAAAGGAGACAGUAGAAAGAAAAGAGGAGUAAGCAAUACUUCUGAAUUUUCUCCAACCUGAAUGAUGGAGUUAGUUCUAUUUUAAUCCAGUGUCAACAUAAUAGAUGGACACAAAGUCAAUUCAUCAGUGUUCACAGUGAGGCUUGCAGCAUAAUUACUGAGUCAUGGCACAAUGUAAAUUGAGUUACCAAAAUAAAAAAAAGAAAUUGUCCCCUUUUUCCUUUUAAAUUAAAUCUUGUGUCAUGUUCCUGGUCAGAUCUGGAUACAAUUCUGAGUUUUUAACUAUAUAAAUUAGUUGUAAUGUCUGCAAUACCACUCUUAUUUGAUUGCAAAUUCCUCUUUCAUCUCACCAAGACUAGAGGAAACUAUAAAGAAAUAGGAUAUCACUCAUCUUCUGAUUAACUGAAAGUGAGGGCAGAGUUUUAUUCAAAGGAUCAUAUUUCUGGGCUAGAAAUAUAAUUAUUAUUGCUUUAUUUCUUUUUCUUUUCUUUUUCUUCUUUUUUUUUCUUCAAUAAAAAAGGAGCAGAAAGAGACAUUACAGCUGAAAUAGAGUUACUUCCAUGAAAUGUUUCUUCCACAGUGCUGGGAGCCCUAAGAUAACAGCCUUGUAUUCAAAUGUGAGAGGCAGAAAAUGUAAUUCACUUGAAGCAUUAAGUGAAACAGAAUAGUUUUUUUUUAAAUCAUCCACAGUAAGUGAAAUAUUCUUAGUAAAUAAUGUACAAUGUCCAUUUGAUUUUCAAUAUUUUUUCAAUUUGCAACCAAGAAAUAAAUAGACAUAAUGACAAUGAUUUUCAUUUAAAGCUCAUUGUUGCUAUUAUUGGAAUAAUGAAUAUAAUUAAUCAUAGAGCAUUAACUCUUAUAUAGAAAACAAACAGGCUUAUCUUGGUUUACAAGUGAGUGAAAGAGAUAAAAGUAAAUAUUUAGUUAUUAAGUAAACUCUCUCUCCUGCUUUACUUCUUAGAUUGUACCUUAUCUAAUUGCUGUCUGUCCAACUGAUAUUCUCAUAGAAAUUAACCUUUUUUACUUUAAUUUUCAGCUCACUUAUUUCUAACUUACGUAGCCACCAGGCAAAGGCAUUUCUUACUCAGGUGACCUUCUGGCACCAAUUCACCACUUUGGGCACCAAAUCAUCCCUCCUAUCAAUUCUAAUUCCCUUCAUUUUCAGGGGUCAAACUAUGAAAUUCUCAUAGCAAACCAGUGGAAACAGUUUCUCAAGUGAUUUCACACCCCACAUGCUGUAGGGUUGACGAAGAGAGCAGGAGGGAUGAAACGCACAGGGGCGCAACAGCAAGCAGCUCAAGAGUGUUUUGUGGGCCAUACUUGGAGUAGAUCCUUAACGUUGUUUUCGCAUUAUUGUUUUUAUUUCCCUCACAGCAUGCAAUGUCUUUUUGGACUACCAGGCUAGUAAUCCCAGAAGUCAUCUGACCUGAACCAUGUUGCAAUCCAUUCCAUAGUCCUCUUUAGGACAAUUUUAACCUAUGUAUUGAUCACAUUGUUUUGGCAUGGACCUUUGAGCCCAUAUUUAAGUUAAUUAAAUUUUUCCCUUCCUGGAAGUUGAGGUUUAUCUUCACCUUAGAAACAGAGAGGAAAGAGAAAGAGAAAAAGAGAGAGAGAGAAAGAGAGAUGAACUUCAGCUAUUUCACAGUAAGGGGGAAAAAAAUACAUCCUAUCUGUAUUUUUUAACACUUCCCACAAAAGAAAUUCAGGAAAUGCUAUCUUUUUUACAGUAAGUACAAUAUUGUGCCACAGCCAAAAGAUGUUCCUGUUUGCUGUGUUCAACCACAUGUUGAACCGACAGAGGCCAGAGGAAUGCUAAGCCUAGAAGGUAUGUGCAGGGGGCAUGCACAAAUCCACGUUGCUCUCCUGCGCUUCUGCACCCACCAAAGAGCCUCAUGUUCCCAAGUCUCUGGCACACAGCUGCCUCUGGAAAUCACCCCAUCAGGUCCUUAGUCACUUGCUCCCCUAAUACCCUUCCCCAAACAUCCAUGUCUGGAGCAAACCAAGACCUCUUCCGACUGUCAGUCGUUAAGACAACAGACAUUUCACUUACUACAAUGAAAAACAGUUUAUAAUACAAAUUAUUUCAUGCAAUUUACUUGGUCAGUGUUUCAAUUCAGCACUUUGAUAGCCAAUCCAAUAACCUGAGUUCCAUUUCUCUCCUUCCUAUUAAGUACAUUACAGUAUUAGCAUGUUUUCUAGAAAGGGAUACUCUAAGGUGACAAGUUGUUCAGAUAGAGAAAAUAAAUUACAGAGUUAAGGAAUAUAUCCGAAGCAACCAGCAAGAAAACCACAAACUACCAACAAAUGUCAUUUCACCAAAAAUGUAGCUUAAGAAGUUGCUUUGAAAUAAGUUCAUCCCAUAGGGGAAAUUUCUGGGAUGACUGAAAUGUUCUAUAUCAUGAUGGAGUGAUAGUUUCACAGGUGUAUAUAUUAAUCAAAACACUCUGGGGAGUCUUUCAGAAUCACCUGUGACUCUCAGAGCUGCCCGAUUUAAAACACACACACACGUGUGUAUUUGUAUACUUUGUACACUUAAGACCUACACAUUUCAUUGUGUUUAAAUUAUUACCUUAAAAAAAAACAGCCCAUCUUUCUGAUCAUUAUAAACCAGGGGUGUCCAAUCUUUUGGCUUCCCUGGGCCACAGUGGAAGAAGAAUUGUCUUGGGCCACACAUACAAUAUACUAACAAUAGCCGAUGAGCUAAAAAAUAAAAUAAAUCAUAAUGUUUUAAGAAAGUUUACGAAUUCAUAUUCAGCUGCAUUCAAAGUUGUCCUGGGCCAUAUGUGGGCUGUGGGCCAUGGGUUGGACAAGCUUGCUAUAAACUGUCAGAGCCCUUUUAUAUUGACCUCUGCAUGACCAGCAGGUGGCCCUGAAAUUGUGUCUGCUAUAAUGCAGUGGCUCCAAUACUGCCCCCAGUUCCUGAUACUCUUCUUCUGUGAUUUACUAAUUUUUGUUGUCAAAAUUACCCAAGAUCAGCUCUUUCACUUUUUAAGAUAUUUUUAUCACAUAACAUUUAAAAUUAUAUUUUAUUACUUUAAAAAUGUUGGUUCAUUGCAUAUAAAAUUUUCCAAAUGCAGCCAGGUGCGGUGUCUCAUGCCUGUAAUCCCAGCAUUUUGGGAGGCUGAGGCGGGUGGAUCACCUGAGGUCAGGAGUUUGAUACUAGCCUGGCCAACAUGGUGAAACACCGUCUCUACUAAAAAUACAAAAAUUGGCCGGGCAUGGUGGCGCACGUCUGUAAUCCCAGCUACUCAGGAGGCUGAGGCAGGAGAAUCGCUUGAACCUGGGAGGCAGAAGUUGCAGUGAGCCGAGAUUGUGCCACUGCACUCCAGCCUGGGUGACAGAGUAAGACUCUGUCUCAAAGAAAAAAAAAAGAAAUUUCUAAAAGCACAAACAAUAAAAAACUCAAUAAAAAAUCUCCACUAUUCAGAGAAAACUACUAUUAGUAUCUUACUGUCUGUCCUUCCAGAUAUAGUCAACAGAUAUUGACUAAGUGCCUACUUUGUGCCAGGAAUUGUUCUAGACAUCAGAUAUACUGAGGUAAACAAAACAGUGCCCCUGCUCAUAGAGUUUACAUUCUAAUAAAUGAUCUGUAAACAUAAACUUUUUAAAAUGAGGUAUGAUUGCAUUUAUUCUCUUAUAACUUUAUUUUUUAACUUAGCAAUGUAUCACUAAUAUCUUCAUGUGAAUAAAAAUAAUUGAGCAUCAUUAUCAAAGCUGUGUGGUAUUUCACCAUCAAGCUAUAUUAGAAUUUCACAAAUCCACAGCUAGACCUUUCCAAGUUUUUCAAAGUUAUAAACGCUUCUUUUUCUUCCUCCUCGUCUUCUUCUUCCUCUUCUCCUCUUCCUUUCUUCUUUUUCUCCUUCUUCCUUCUCUUCCCUGCUCCUCGUUUUCUUCUCCUUCUUCCUCUUCUCCUCUUACUCCUUCUCUUCCUCUUCUCUUCCUCUUUCUUCUUUCUCUUUUUCUCCUUCUUCCUUCUCUUCCCUCUUCUUUUCCUCUUCCUCUUCAUCUCCUCUUCCUCUUUCUCUACUUUUCUCCUUCUUCUUCCUUCUCUUCCCUCCUCCUCCUUUCUUUUUCUCUUUUCCUCUUCCUUUUUCUUCUUCCUCUUCUCCUCUUCCUUUUCUCCUUAUUCUUUCUCUUCCUCCUUGUUUUCUUCUCCUUCUUCUUCCUCUUCUCCUCUUACUCCUCCUCUUCCUCUUCUCUUCCAUUUUUUUCUCCUUCUUCCUUCUCUUCCUUCCUCCUCUUCAUCUCCUUUUCUUCCCCUUCUCUUCCUUUCUUCUCUUUUUCUCCUUCUUUCUCUUCCCUCUUCUUUUUGCUUCCUCUUCUCCUCUUCCUCUUUCUUUUUCUCCUUCUUCUUCCUUCUCUUCCUUCCUCCUCCUCCAAUUCUUUCUUCUUGUUCCUCUUCUCCUCCUCUUCUUCUUCCUCUUCUCUUCCUCCUUCUUUUCUUCUCCUUCUUUCUUCUUUUUUUUUUUUUUUUGAGGUGGGAUCUCACUCUGAUGCCCAGGCAAGAGUGCAGUGGCAUGAUCAUAGCUCACUGAAGCCUCAAACUCCUGGGCUCAAGUGCUCUUCUUGCCUUAGCCUCCUGACUAGCUGGAACUACUGGCGCACACAACCACAUCCAGCUAAUUUAUUUUAUUUUUAGAGAUGGGGUCUUGCUAUGUUGACCAGGCUGGUCUUGAAUUCCUGGCUUCAAGCAAUCCUCUUGCCUUGAUUCCAAACUGCUGGAAUUACAGGUGUGAGCCACUGUGCCCAGCCUACUCUCUGUACUUCACUGAAAAUCUAUGGUUCACUUUUAUUUUUAUUUUUUUUCUUGAGAUGGAGUUUCGCUCUUGUCACCCAGGCUGCAGUGCAAGGGCAUGAUCUCAGCUCACUGCAACCUCCUCCUCCUGGGUUCAAGCAAUUCUCCUGCCUCAGCCUCCUGAGUAGCUGAGAUUACAGGCGCUUGACACCACGACCAGCUAAUUUUUGUACUUUCAGUAGAGACAGGGUUUCAUCAUAUGGGCCAGGCUGGUCUCGAACUCCUGACCUCAGGUGAUCCUCCUGCCUUGGCCUCCCAAAAGUGCUGGGAUUACAGGUGUGAGCCACCGUGCCUGGCCUAUGGGUCAUUUUUAGUCACAGUAAGGAUAGUAUGUUUAUGUAAUACUUCUCUACCAUAAAAGCAUAUCAAGGCUUUAGAGGUACAUCUCUCAACAAACAGUCUUUACCCAUUUCUUCCAGAAAAUGACCCUGCUCUUUUGUUCAUCUUCCUCCUCUUAUUGCAUCAGGUUUAAAUCUCUGAAAUGGAGGGGAAUGACUUUUGCAACUAAAAGAAUUUGCUAGGCCUAAGGCUAAUGCCUUAUUAAAGCAUUUUAGUGAAAACUCAAGGCAUAGGACAGAAUAGACUUACUAUUAUAUCUGGCCCAUGUGUACCAAGAAGCAGUUCAGGAAUUGUACCUGAAAAUGAAAUCUGUAGUGGGAGUAGGCACUCUCCAUGGUAUAUAUUUCUGGAGAAACUUUUGAUCCUGGAUGACUCUUAUAGAAGUGCAGGUUUGGCAGUUUUACAGGGAGGAGAAAGUUAUUCUAGAGAAUAUGAUACAGAAAACCUUCAACUUAUGUAUUUCCUAAAGUUCAAUGGUAAAUCUAUUAUUUACAAUGUAGAAAAGUACUCAACUCAGCAACACACGAGAACCACAACUAUUCAUUGCACACCUCUCUUAUGGGCAAAGCACUGUUAUAAUACACUUAAAAUGAUUAUAAUCUCAAGUUACUUCACCAAGACUUAUUUCACCCUCCAAUAAGUUGAAAGUCUGAAUUUGCCAUGAAAAAUAGUAUAUAACAAUAUAUUGUUAUGAUAUUCUUUGAUACAUUUUUGAUCAACUACUGUUUUGAGGGAAAUGUGUAAGGCAAUAUGGGGGUUACAAAGAUGAAUCUGACAAAAACUUGUCAUUAAACAGUUGACUGACUGCAUACAGUAGCCUCUAGCCACACUCAAGCACUCAAAAGGUGGCCAGUUAGAACUGAAUCGUGCUGUAAGUUGCUGGGCGCGGUGGCUCACGCCUGUAAUCCCAGCACUUUGGGAGGCCGAGGCAGGCAGAUCACGAGGUCAGGAGAUCGAGACCAUCCUGGCUAACAUGGUGAAACCCCAUCUCUAUUAAAAAUACAACAACAACAACAACAAAAAAGCCGGGCGUGGUGGCGGGCGCCUGUAGUCCCAGCUACUCGGGAGGCUGAGGCAGGAAAAUGGCGUGAACCCAGGAGGUGGAGCUUGCAGUGAGCCGAGAUCGUGCCACUGCACUCCAGCCUGGGCACAGAGCAAGACUCCGUCUCAAAAGACAAAAAAGAAAAAAAAAAGAACUGAAUCUUGCUGUAAGUAAACUGCACUGAAUUUCAAAGACUUAAUAUGAAAAAAGAAUGUAAAAUCUUUCAUUAGUAAGUUUUCAUAAUGAUUAUAUAUUAAAAUGGUAAUAAUUUCAACAUUUGGGUUAAAUAAAAUGUAUUAUUAAAAUUAAUUUAAUCUGUUUCUAGCUUUUUAAAAUUACAUAUGUGACUUGCAUUAUAUUUCAUUUGGCAGUGCUGAUCUGCAUAAUUACAGUUAUCACCUACUGAGUGUAUCUACUGUAUGCCAGGUAAUUUUAUAACAAUUAUUUGUAAUCUUCCAUAAGGGAAGUAUUCCAGAUAAGAAACCUGAGGUUGUCAAAGGCAUGUUAAUUUAUUCUUCUACACACCUUGCUAGUAUAUUUUCUAUGCACCAAGAGCUGCCACAGGAAGUAAGGAUAAAACAAAGCAAAGUCCCUACCCUCAUGGAACUUAUGAACCAGUGGGAAAGAAAGCUAAUUAGUAAGUAAGUAUAAAAAAUAGGCCAAGCAGUGACAGUAAAAGAAGAUGAAGUCCAUAAAAAAAAUGGAGAGUGACCGGAAUUGGAGUGAAGGCAGAAGGUUUGGGGGGAUGGCUAUUUUUUAAGAUAACAAGCUCUAAGGAGGGACUAUCUGAGCAGAACCUGAAUGAAGUCAGGGAGUGAGCCCUGUGAACAUCUACCUGGCCAGGAGCUUCUGGGCAGAGGCAACAAGGACUGAGGUGUAUAGUGUGUGUGUGUGUGUGUGCAUGUGUGUGUGUGUGUGUGUGUGUGUACACGUGCGUGCAUGUGCUUUGCACUCUGAAGGAACAGCUGGAGAGCCAGUGGUGCUAGAGAGCAGUGAGCAAGAGGAAGCCAGGUAACAGCUCACAUAGGGACUUGGAAGCCACAAGUAGGAAAUGUUAAAGGAUGACUUUGGCUGCUCUAUGAGGCAUGGACUAUUGUGGGGCAUGCAUGGAACCCAGCAAGAACGGAUGCCAGAGCACUUUGAGAGGUCAAGGUGGGUGGAUUGCUUGAGGUCAGGAGUUCAAGACCAGCCUGGCCAACACAGCAAAACCCUGUCUCUACUAAAAAUACAAAAAGCCAACUGUGGUGGUGCACACCUGUAGUUCCAACUACUUGGGAGGCUGAGGCACGAGAAUCACUUGAACCUGGGAGCCGAGUUCACACCACUGCACUCCAGCCUGGGCGAUAGUGGGAGACUGUCUCGGAAAAAAAAAAGAAUGAAAGCCAGAGACUCAUUAGGAGGCAACUGCAAAGGUGCAGGACAGGGAGGGCUAACAGUGAGAGAGUUAGAGCUUCAACAAGGUCUGUCUUACUCAGCCACUGUGAGAUACAAAGCAAAACAAUGUAAAAAAUUAUCCUAGUAAUUUGAACUGCAAAAAUCAAAUAUCUCGGUAAUUCAAAUGAAUCUCAAAAUAUAUUUGGGAGUCUGGGGUUAUCAGAACUGGCAGUCAAAAAUUACCGUCUAACCUCAUAGGAUAGUAGUUUAUCUCUGUCCUUUGCUUUCUGCCAAUUUAACCUAAGGGAAGUGGACUUGAGAUCUGUUAAUUGGCAGAGCGGGACUGCAGGACCUUUAAGUCAAAUUCAGAUGAGGCAAAUUAGCUUUAUUUUGGCCAAAGAAAAGUGUUUGGUGGAGCCAGAUGACAAUUUUGUAGCCUAAACUAUUUGCACUGGCUGUCUCUACCAUCUGAAUUCACUCCCAUCGUUGUUAAUUCUGAGUUUAAGCGUAGCCAUACAAGCAAGACAAAGCUAAGGAAGGAACUAGAAAUUGGCUGUGUCUUGGAUAAAUGUAUAUAUGAGUACAGGUAACCUCACUCAAGGAGUCUGUUUUUAUGGACAGAAGUGCUUUAAAACAGAAAGCAUCCUCAAGGUCAAAUGUCAUACAGGCCAAGUUCUUCCUCUGAGAGGUAAAUAAGGAUUUAAAGCAGUUACCCAGUUUCAAAUGAAAACAAAUACAAACCAUUCCCAAGGACACUCAAAAGUCAUGUCAUGAGAAAAAGGAGGCUCAAUCCUGAUGCUCUAGGUUGGUUUAUUUACUUUGAUGGAACUCACUGGAAAAUUCUUCAACUCCACGCUUCACUGUGCCUGUGUAGGAUGUGUUUUCUGGGCAUUGGAUGUAGAUCUUGUCAAUCAGGUACUUUCCUGGAGCACUAAAAUGUACAGAUUACACACAUCAAAGGCAGGCUGCAACCACUGUAGCUGAAAUUUACACAAAAUCUAUGCGGCUAGUAACUGGAUAAACAAUGAGACUAACGACCUUGUUCUGCAUUAAUCUCCCUAUGGCUCAGUUGGUACUGCAAGAAGGUUGUGGCUUUGGCUUCUAGCCUCAAACCAGGCAUUACGUGCUUGCCCAAUGCCAACAGAGCCCAGGAAGCCUGAGAAUAUAGCCCCAGUCCAUCCAUUUUAUGAGGUACAUUUACCACAAUUCAAGAAACACAUCCAUUACCAUAUCCACCCAGGAAAGAGAUUUAUAAAAAUAAGUAAAUUCCUUGGCCCUGCCUCCCCUUUCAGGGAGUUUAUUUUCUUAUAGAAGGCCUCAGGUUUUCCUUAAGUGUUUUCAGGGUUUCUCCAUUGCCCCCCAAAAGCAAGAUAGAAUCCUUGAACUAUCUUCCUCUUUUGGCCAAGAAUAAAUUUCAAAAAGGCUGCAUCUGUAAAGAAAAGAGAAAGGAAGAAUUGAAGUUGACCAGUGAACUUGAUCAGCAUCCACUUUUAAUUUAGGACAUUUGGGAAAAGGUACAUUGAAAAUAGAAGGUGCUUGGCCGGGCGCGGUGGCUCACACCUGUAAUCCCAGCACUUUGGGAGGCCGAGGUGGGCGGAUCACCUGAGGUUUGAAAUUUGAGACCAGCCUGGCCAAUACGGCGAAACCCCGUCUCUACUAAAAUUACAAAAAUUAGCCGGGCAUGGUGGCAAGUGCCUAUAAUCCCAGCUACUUGGGAGGCUGAGGCAGGAGAAUCGCUUGAACCUGGAAGGUGGUGGUUGCAGUGAGCCCAGAUCAUGCCACUGCACUCCCGCCUGGGCGACAAAGUGAGACUCCUUCUCAAAAAAAAAAAAAAAAGAAAAAAGAAAAUAGAAGGUGCUUUCUAAGUGCCAAUUAAAAUUGCUAUAGAGUCCCUUCCAUACAAUUGGCAAAGGCUGAGGGUUGCUUCUGGCAGGAGGCAGCUGAAGGAGAUGGAGCAUCUCAGGAGGAGUCUGCACCCUGGGCAGCCUUGGGCCAUGCCAAAGGGACCUAGGAACCCUGGAACCCCACCCAUCUCCCAGCCCUGCUGCUUUCAUAACUUUGUAUACAGGUCACACUGAAAAGCUUAUAUUGGAAAAUGGCUCCCAAUGAGCCCAGGAAAUGGCUCCCUUGGUGGGGUUACCUUAGGUUAGAAAGGAUCACACUGAGGUACAUUCAGCUAAAUGCCCUAUGCACUACACCUGUGGUACUCCUGUCACUUCCCAGCCAGCCCUAGCAAUAAUCUUUACUGCAUUGUAAACUUGAGAUACCUCUGUCUGGGAUACAUAAUCACAGUCUAUUCUAAAACAUAGAUUUUUGUGGCACUCACACAGUCCCAAGAAACAACUCUUAUAUACCUUUCUAGUCACUCUCCCCACCUGUGAGUCCUUACAACUGUUGUUGGGGGUAUUUUAUCCACAUAAACAUUACUGCUUUCUCAAGCCAUUAUACUAAGACUGUUUUCAGAGCUGCUGUAAUGUGUGUUAAAUGUCUCACAAGAAGAUAUUGUUUUCAGUGUUAUUUUCUUCAUUCAUUUAUGAAUUCAUUAAGAGCCCAACAUAAACACGAGUUAAGGCACAUUCACCCUGUUCUGAAAAUGUUCUCUCAUCACACUCACUUGGGGGUAACAACUGCUUCAGUGAUUUUGGUGGCCUUUGUAACACAACUGAUGGAGGCGUGGAGAUGGUCAUAGCAUGGACGCGAGAGCGUAACACUGUCCCCAUUUGCUCCUGUGGUAAGGGUUUCUAGAGCUUCAGAAGUUUUUGGUUUUGCAACUUAACAGGUCCCCUUAAAAGGAUCGUCUUUGCUUCAUGGACUAAUAAUACCUCACAUUUGUACAUACUUUCAUAUGCAUUAUCUCACUUAAUAGUACGGUAUUAUUAUAUCCAUUUUUUCAGAGAGGAAACAGACUCUGGGAGAGGUUAAAAUGGCUUGCCUAAGGUUACCAAUGGCAUGAGAGGGAGUGGCAGGGCCCAUCUCCAACCCAGGAUUUCUGACUCUUCGUAUCACAGUAUUUCAAAGCUGUCUCUUUCUUUUAGUUACUUCCAUUAACAACAGAAGUGAAGGGACCUACAGUUUUUUAACCAUAAAAACACAAAGGUUUCUGACUGGUGAGUGGCCUCUAGGAAAAGAUCUCUGCAGUCUAUCGACGAGAGGGUUUCAAAUCACAGAGAUCAACUGUGACAGUAAGUACUUUGAUAAAAAUACUAACAUUGGUUUUCCAGAAUCUAACUUCUGUGAAAGAAAACUAUACGGUGCACCAUAUCAUGUGUAGAAAAAAAGGACCACUAUACACAACGAACAUAUCCACACGUGUUGUGUCAACGUUCUCUUCCCAAAUGUGGCCGCAGAAGAAAGUGCGAAGCAUGCUGAAAUAAGACAGUAUUUACGGCUAAGGAAAUUCGGCUUCACAUACCGGUAAUUAUGAACAAGAUAUUUUCCCUAAUAAAAUUACUCCAAAACGAAAUAUAGAGAAACUGUUUCCCUAUGUUCUCUUUAUUUUAUACCAUGUGCUCAAGAAUGGUCACAGAAAAGAGUCAAAGGGAGCAGAGAGAGAAAGAAAGAGAGCUAUAUAGAGAGCCGGCCUCUGCUGAGGGUUGGUUUUGCUUUAGAAACUGGAAUGUGUCCAGGCUUGAUUUUUAUUUUCAAUUCACAUUUCAGAUCCAGCUCCCCAAACUCUUUGAUCUUUCUCCCUGUCUCCUUACCCGGAAGAGAACCCUUGGCCUUCUCAGCUGGGAGCUGGGAGCACACGUGGAAAGACUGGCUCAGAUCCAUAUUCUUGCCAAAUUUAGUCACACAAAGGGGCCUGCGAGGGAAAAAAGAAAGGAUGAAAGCGGCAGCCGCCGCGACUUCAAAGGCCGCGCCGCCGCGCGGGGCCGUGCGCAGGCGCCUCCCUCAGCCGAUAUAAGGCACGGCUCGAGCGCGCGAGCGGCCUUUCCGCGCGCGUCCCCGACCCGGGGGGCGGGCCGAGGGACGCGGAGGGCCGGUGGGAAGGAGGGCGAAGGGUUGGAUACCGCGGCCGUGCUACCCGCCGGCUUUUCGAGGCCGGUCCCCAUGCCAAGUUCAGGCGCCUGAGAAAAGUUUUUCAGAAAGGAGGGACAAGAAUGUCACGUCCUGCCCACGAAAUGAGCAGUCCUGUGGCCCGCAAAAUGACUCCAGCUCCCACCUCCAUUCUAGCUCCGUUCUAGGCAUUCCCCGUGCGUGGGAGCCUGGGUUCCCGUCACGGAGCGCAGCCGAGCGAGGAGGGCGCGUGGCCGGGCCCUGUCUGGCUCCUUCGGCUCCCCUGUGCCCGCCUUGCGUUCCUGGUUCCCGUGCGCUCUCCUACCGGCGCGAUUCCUCUCCCCCUUGGGCAGCCUUAGGACGUGUGCCCUCGCCUCCCAGCUGGCAGAAGGGCGGCCUGCAGAGCGGGGUGGGAUGCGCCCCUUCCCCGCGGGCCGCAGGAGGAGGCGGCCCUGUGGACAGCCGCGCCCCGGACCCCCACCCAGCGAGGCAGGGACGCAGGGCUCGGCCUGCACUGGCCCAGCGCUGGGAAAGCCGCAGGAGGGCGCGAGGGGUGGCGGACCCCGCUCGCUGGAGCCCCGCGUGGCUGCGCCGAGCUACAGACGCCAACGGGCGCCGGCCCCGCGGAAGUCCGACGUCCGCAGGCGGCCGGAUUUGGGAACGACUUUUUCACGGUCCCACGAGUUCCCUGAUACCCCGGAGGGUGGGGGGUUGAGUUUGUUUGUCUUUAGGAGGCGGCAAGAAGAAGGGGAAGAACCCCUGGGACACAAACUGCCAUUUCCCUCGCCCCCCUUCUCUCCUUUUCCGCGAAGUCCGUUAAACUGAAGAUGCCCACAGCUUUCGUCUCCGGGUGAAGCCGGGGUGGGAAAUAGAGGGGGUCGGGGUUCCGCCUCUGGAGUCACAUUAUUCGUUUUCUAGCCCUUCUCCCUGGCUCCUGGGUAUCCUCUUCCGUAGGCCCCGCCACCUCCUUCCUUUUGGAUCCCACCAAAGUCGUAGCUGGGAGAGAGUCCAGGCCACACAAAGGGGAAGACCUGGAGCCUGGGCGGGGGUUAGGACCGAGGGGGCGGAGAGGACUCGAGGGGCACCGUGCUUUUCUCUCGUCCUUGUAAUUAAGGACUCACUGGACUGUCUGUAGCCGACUCGAGUUGGCAGCAAAAUCGCCGGGGGGAGGGGUUUUCUGGUGUGAGUGGGGGUCACUACCCUGUCUCUCCUGCCCGCUCCCGAGCGGGGCUGGGCUCCGCUUACCCAGUGAGCAGCGAGGCCGUCUCUUCUCCCCCGCUCCUCUGUUCUUGUGCGGGGUGGGCGCCUCGCCCCCCACGCGCAGUUGAGGCGACGGCGCCCGAUGUAGAAGGAAGUGUUGAUAUAAAACAAGUUUGUUCCCAAACUAAACCCAAACCAAGCAAAGCCACCAGGAGGGGAAAAACCAACAGCAAUCCAGCCAGCCCCUAGCAAUUGUUUUCACGGUCGGAAUUAAAUCACAUCAAAACGCCCCCUGAAACCCACAUCCUGAAGGAGUGAACCUACAACAGCCAACCUCCAGUCGUUCGCUCGAGUUCACACGAACAACUUGCCUCUAACAUCCGAGUGAAGGGGGCGGCGGGUGCCUCUCCCGCACCGCACCCACCACAUCCCGGACCUGGGAUCCCACUCGCACCCGAAGAGGCGGCUGCUUAUGUUAAUAUCAGCCCCCACACGAAUUAGAAAAGACCGCCCGGUGACAGAAUUGCUUAUGCCAGGAACUACACUGAAUCCGUAAGGGAGGGGGAAGAACGUCUUCCCGGGGUUACUUCGCCCCUCCUGCGUCCUCCUGCUGUUUCCAAAAGACAGACUUCAUGUGCAAAUGUCAACCUCUCUCCCAAACGAAGCUUUAGAAAUUUGGGGCGCAUGGUUUUUACUAAAGCCCCUUCUAAGUGCUGCUCAUCAGAAGAUUUACAACAAUCCUAAAGACAAUCAGCUAACACAAGUUACACCACUGUAAGGAAAACAGCCACGCAAAUAGAGCAAGGUGCUGGGUGAUUUCGUUAGAAACAAUGUUUUCAAUGGACGGGGUCUCAGUAAAAUACCAAACGCAGCCCCCUACCCUUGGCCCUUCAAGUAAACAGUUUCCCCUAGUUAUUGUUCUAAAAAUUCCCAUCUUCUUGAGCUUCUAAUCUUCAGGAAACCUGGAGCAUAGGCUCCAAAUUACUCGGGGAAUCCAGAGUUAACAUGAAGGAGAAAGUGGGAUCUGAAUUAGUUUCAGCACUUAAACAGCGGGGGGGAUGUAAGAGUCAUCAUUUAAUCUCUCUUCGGCUUCCAGAAAGUACCCCCUGGCCAUUCUGUGUUCUCCCCUCCCCCUCCUGAGGGUUUGAUGAAAAGGAACCUCUACUCUGCUUUGGUGAAACUGCAUUUUCCACUUGUUUUCCUAUUGGUCAAAUUGGUGCAGUUAUGGGAGGACUUUUGACUGUUUUCCCAUGUGUCUUUUAAGAAUGGGGCUAUAAAUGUCUGACACAGCUACACGUUCACCUCUCUGGGACACUACUCACACUGGUGCCUAACUUUAAGGGAAGUGACAUACCACCAUCAUCCAAAAACAAAAAUUGGGUUUCUCACACACUGUAGCAGAAUAUACUCUUUUUCUUCUCUUGAGGCAUAGCAUUGUCAGCUAUUAAAAAUGGAUUUAAUGUUUUAAUUUUCCUGGAUUCCUUCACCAACCCCUUAAUUUCACCCCAAUCUUCCAGAUAGAAUUUACAUGUGACUACUGGCCAUGUUGUAGGGACCAAUUGGAUCCUUUGUAAAGUUUUAAAAAUUGCUUCCUAGUAAAUUCUUAUUCCCAAGAAGUAGUCGUUAUUAGUAGGUGAAGUCAUUAGUGCUCACUUAGAUACAGCAUUGUAAAAAUCUUUACCCAUUCAAUGUUCAGCAGCCUGAAAUUUCACCUUUAGGAAAAAAAGAGGGAUCUUUGCCAGACAAUUCCUAUAUAAUGGAGCAAAAUCUGAUUCUGUAGUGUUUUGCUUGUUUUCGAUUUAAGGGAGAUGAAGAUACAUUUCUUUAUGUCCUUUGUUUACUGUUCUGAAGUUUUACAGAUGGUUACUGUAUUGGAUAUAAUAAUUUUGCCUAGAUUUUUAACUGAGGGGGUUUGAGAACCAAGGGACAAAAUGUAAUGUGUUUUCAAACUUCAGCUUCCCUUCUGCUGUAACUUUCACAAAGUAUCUCCUGAAAACUCCUGUCUUUGUACAAAAUUCAUCAAAGAGACAGUGGAGACUGGGGAAUUUUUGAGGUUGUAUUCGGAUUGGUGUCUUCAAGGGUCCCUUUCAGUUCGCAGUCCAAGGUGCCAGGGACUACCCCGUCCUCCCUCCCUCUUCUGGCUUUGCUCUCCUGAGUCCUUUUGCCUUCUCUUCCCCCUUCUUGGAUUAUCUUUUCAUUCUCGAUGAGGUUCCCACACACUGCGGUGUGUGUCUCUGAAAACCCACUGGAGACCUAGCACAACUCUCCGUACAUCCCGUGGUGAGAACAGAAUGAAAGAUAUAUUGUUUAAAAAGCAAUAAUUAAAAUCUAGUCUUCAGUUCCUUCUUCCUCGUCAUAUUUUUUCUCCGUAAGCCUAGAGAUUUUAUUUUCACUAGUGUGUUCCCUUGUCUCCAAAGAGCGUGUGUGUGAUAUUAUAUUCGGGAAAGCUACAACUCUCUUUUCCUUGUCCUUCUGUUCUCUCUUAAUAGUUGAGCAAUGUCUGUUAUAUUUUCCCCUUUUCCUUUUUUUCUCAGUCCCAGAUUCCCGCCUCUCCCCACUGUCAGAGCAUCUAUCAAUGUGGUGUCCAUCACAGCGGCAGCGGCUUUCUCUUUCAUCUUCCUCCCUCUGCCAGAGCCAGGGAGGGAGAGUGGGAGGCGUCAAGGAGGUAGGGGAGAGACUGGCAGAGGAAAAGGAGUGGGUGGGUGGGGGCCAAGUAAAUAGAUACUUAGAUGAUGAAGUCAAGCCACUGCGGCAAUGUUUCUUGUCAGUUUCACGCGGGCAAAGCGUGCCUUUCGGUGGGUUAUAAGCAGCGCCCGGUCCUUCCUUCUCUCGCCAAGUUGCCUGAUCCUUCCCUCCAGGCGCGCGCGCACACACCACACUCACACACCCCAAAACCAAGACUCGUCCUACAGGAUCUGGGAAAAGAAAAAGAAAAAAAAGCCCUCAAUCACCACCUCCUUCUCGCCGACUCCCCCUCACCCCCCGCCUCCCCUCCAGCGGGCAGCCAAGGAGAGCUAGAGGCGGGGGAGGGGAGAGGGAGGAGAAGCGACGCAAGUGGGUAGCUUUUCAGCGCCGGCGAGGCGCGGGAGGAGGAGAAGCAGUGGGGAGGCGCAGCCGCUCACCUGCGGGGCAGGGCGCGGAGGAGGGACCCGGGCUGCGCGCUCUCGGGCCGAGGAACCAGGACGCGCCCGGAGCCUCGCACGCGGCCAAGCUCGGGGCGUCCCCUCCCCUCGGCCGGGCGAACUCAAGGGGCGCAGCUCUUUGCUUUGACAGAGCUGGCCGGCGGAGGCGUGCAGAGCGGCGAGCCGGCGAGCCAGGCUGAGAAACUCGAGCCGGGAACAAAGAGGGGUCGGACUGAGUGUGUGUGUCGGCUCGAGCUCCGGGCAGAGGCAUUUGGGCCCGAGGCCCCCGCUGUGACUCCCCGAGACUCCGCAGUGCCCUCCACUGCGGAGUCCCCGCGCUUGCCGGCAAAAACUUUAUUCUUGGCAAACUUCUCUUUCUCUUCCCCUCCUCCUCGGCCCCCAUCUUCUGCUCCUCCUCCUUCUCUAGCAGAUUAAAUGAGCCUCGAGAAGAAAAACCGAAGCGAAAGGGAAGAAAAUAAGAAGAUCUAAAACGGACAUCUCCAGCGUGGGUGGCUCCUUUUUCUUUUUCUUUUUUUCCCACCCUUCAGGAAGUGGACGUUUCGUUAUCUUCUGAUCCUUGCACCUUCUUUUGGGGCAAACGGGGCCCUUCUGCCCAGAUCCCCUCUCUUUUCUCGGAAAACAAACUACUAAGUCGGCAUCCGGGGUAACUACAGUGGAGAGGGUUUCCGCGGAGACGCGCCGCCGGACCCUCCUCUGCACUUUGGGGAGGCGUGCUCCCUCCAGAACCGGCGUUCUCCGCGCGCAAAUCCCGGCGACGCGGGGUCGCGGGGUGGCCGCCGGGGCAGCCUCGUCUAGCGCGCGCCGCGCAGACGCCCCCGGAGUCGCCAGCUACCGCAGCCCUCGCCGCCCAGUGCCCUUCGGCCUCGGGGGCGGGCGCCUGCGUCGGUCUCCGCGAAGCGGGAAAGCGCGGCGGCCGCCGGGAUUCGGGCGCCGCGGCAGCUGCUCCGGCUGCCGGCCGGCGGCCCCGCGCUCGCCCGCCCCGCUUCCGCCCGCUGUCCUGCUGCACGAACCCUUCCAACUCUCCUUUCCUCCCCCACCCUUGAGUUACCCCUCUGUCUUUCCUGCUGUUGCGCGGGUGCUCCCACAGCGGAGCGGAGAUUACAGAGCCGCCGGGAUGCCCCAACUCUCCGGAGGAGGUGGCGGCGGCGGGGGGGACCCGGAACUCUGCGCCACGGACGAGAUGAUCCCCUUCAAGGACGAGGGCGAUCCUCAGAAGGAAAAGAUCUUCGCCGAGAUCAGUCAUCCCGAAGAGGAAGGCGAUUUAGCUGACAUCAAGUCUUCCUUGGUGAACGAGUCUGAAAUCAUCCCGGCCAGCAACGGACACGAGGUGAGCGGGCCGCUGCCCCAGUUCCGAGAGGCGUGGCGGGUCCCUGGGAAACUCAGAGAGGGAGGAAGGGAACGAAGGCGCCCGGCCGCCCGGCUGAGGGUCCCGAGUAGAUCCCUCGUUUGUUUUGGGGUGUGUGCGUAGCUGGGCCCCCGGUCCGCAGUGUGUGUGUGUGUGUGUGUGUGUGUGUGUGUGUGUGUGUGUGUAGGAUGGGAGGUAGAGGGGCAGGGUAACUUAUUCCAAAUGGAUCAGUUUAGGGGGUUCGGUGGCUGAACGGUUGGUUCGCGGGCAGGAACCCACAAUGUUUCGCCUUCGGUCUUUUUGUUGGGCUGAGGGGUGCCGUGCUUUAAAGCGAGUAGGGCUGAAUAACGCUACUGAUAAAUUCUUCCGUGGGACGGAAAACAAAGUGCACACGCUAUCUCUUGGUAGAUGUCUCUGCAAAAGUGCGUUAAACCACCAAAGGCUUAGGUGGAGACGAGCAGAGCCACAGGCGGGAGGAAGGGGAGGCGGGCGUGGGCUGGGGCAGGCGGGGCCGUCCCUACCACCGGUGAGCCGGGCCGCGGGGAGCAGGCCGGCCGAUGGGGCGCGCACCCGGGCUGCGGGGGCGGUGCGGGGUUCAGUCCCUGCGGCCCCAGCGCCUGGGCUAGCAGCUGGGAGCUGUGGGUGCGCCGAGCCGACCCACCGCAAGGGUACACCCUGGCUGUACCGCCCCCAACUCUAGUUUUCUCCAACCGCCAUCACUUGGAAACAAACCCACAACUUUUAUUUGGGGUUUGGGACCGGAUCAGGCCUUAAAUCUACGCAGAAGAAAGGCGGAGAAGCAGCGGAAGCCGGGCACUAGUCCUGCAGGGUGGAAGGCGCUUUAUCGGGUCUUCUGGCCCGCUGCGGGCGAUAGAGCUGGUAACCUGAGUAGAGUAAAUAGAGACACGUGGGUGCUGGCUAGAGAAAGCGCGGAGCAGGGCCGCGCUGGAGGGCUGUUUGAAGCCUAGUCCAGAGCUGGUCUAGGGGGCGGAUGGACCCUGAUACCCGACACUCCACUGGUCACCCUUGUUCCACAACUGGGAAACCCUCUGGAGGAAAUCCGGUAGAAAAGUCCUGACACCCGAAUGAUUUAACCAACGCCUUUUCCCUCCAAAGAAACUUGGAGGAUAUACCUUUUUUUCCUUAAAUGGCAUCUUUCUACCCCCAAAAAGAAAGUGUGUGGUUUUGAGGGCGGGGACAUUUUGGGUUUUAAACAGCGCGUUUAAGAACACCUCAGAUCUGCCUUCUCUAUCCCAAUGGCAGAGGUGAGUACGAAUUUUGAAAGGCUGGGGGCCUGCGUUCAGAGAACAGAAUGGUGUUCUUUACCCGUUGAAUCCAGUUUGAGCGGGCUGGGGGCGGGGGUAGGGUGCACCUAACCCCGCGUAAAAGAUUUGUGACUACUGUGUGCUGGGAAAAGGAGGUCAAAGGGAGGACACACGUCCAGAGAACCGAAUAACAUCCAAAACACAGGCUUUUUGCCAAACUCUCCUAUUUGUAGAGCAGCCUCUCUUUCUACCCAUUUUGCUAGUCCUGCCUUAGUCCAUAAAUAAUUUUGCCACCCACUUCAUAUUCUCCACAAUUUUCUGGUCCGGGUGAAGGACACUGCGUUCGAAUCCGAGAGCACUCGGGUGUUAAGUGGGCAUGAGGAGGCCUGAGGGUGAAGGAGUAAUACCACUGAUUUGCACGUGUUUGAGGCUGUCUGGGUGGAUGGUGAUUACCAAAACUGAUAUCAACUGGGCUACCUUUUAGAUGUCUAUAACCUGACUCUCUAAUUUUCCUCCCUUUAACCACAGAAUCGUUCUACUUUUGUAAGCCUGCACUCAGCCAGCCAUAGUAGGUUAUAAGCUCGAGUGGAGCUUCUGCUGUAACUGCGCUCAGGGCAGUUGCCUUAAGACCGCAUCUGAGUGGUUGGCUUGUUUAUGUUUAAAUGCCAUUUUCAGUUGCAAAAUGAUAUUUCAGCCUUCUUUUAAUCAGAUCUGAUUGAAGUGAACAGUGGUUGAAGAGGCUAUCGAAACCAUCAACCCCAUUAACUCCUACUCCUGUAAUAUUAGGCAUCCAAGGAGCCUUGAUAUGGUUUAAUAAACAGCAGUCAGAACAGCAUGUGGAUCAUUCCCAAAUUUAACUAUAUUUUUAUUGGUUUUGUUAUUAUUUAUACGUUUUUGGUCCCGGGUGGAUAAUAAUCACUCAAAAAUACAUGUUGACAAGAAAAGGAUUAUGCAGUACUAAACACUAGCGUAUGUCUCUCAGAGUAUAAAACAGAGUUGCCCCUAAACCUCUUCCUUUGAAUUACCAGCGCACACACAUUUGUACCAUUAUUGUCACAAACUCUAAGGUGAUUUUCUUUCUUUUGGGUGUGGGGAUUCAUGAUGUUAGGUGGCCAGACAAGCACAAACCUCUCAGGAGCCCUACCACGACAAGGCCAGAGAACACCCCGAUGACGGUAAGACACCCAUUCUACUUCUUCUGACUUUAGCAGAUAAGGGGUGCAAUUUGUAUAAAUAGGUGUGUUUUGUUACUUUUGAGUUCAAGAAACUGGGACUAGGUCAGACUAUGCCCACUAUUUUAAUGGUAAAGAAAACGCAGGAAACUUAUGGCUUACCUCUAAUAUAUAUUACAUAAUUUAAAAACUGUUUUUGAAUGAGUUAGGGACCCUUGGAUUUCAGGUGGGUUCCAGAUUCUUUGGGAAGAGGGAAUGUCUACAAUGAGUUUUUCUCUUCCUCAUCUUACCUUAAAUCCUAAUUAGCUUAGAUCUUUAGUAUUUUUAAUAUAUUAUUAAGAAGAACGACAGUAUAUAUCGAUUUAUUUUCCAACCAGAAUAGUUUUGAGUGGAUUUUCACUUGCAAAAUUGCUGUUUCUUGUUCCUUAUUACAGUGAAAAGGCCGGCAGUAAAUGAGCAGAGCAGAAUCUAACUUGUAAAAAUAUAAAACUUAUAAUUAGGAAUGUGCAUAUCAGAAAUGAUACCCUUUCUCCCUAUUUCUGAUUCUUGCUAAAAACUUUAAAAUUACAUACAUAUGUAUUUAGACUUAAGGAGAAUUCUUUGUGACUUUAAAAGAAUCAAGUAACCUUAGGGAUUUCUUGUCAGCCUAUCUGUUUUCCAUUAAUUACUUAACAAUUGGCCUAACUGAAAUGAAGUGUUUUUACAUACAAUAUGUCAACCAGGAGCAGGGAAGAGAAUUAUAUAUUAGGCUUCUUCCUCAGCUACAAGAUAGUUACACAGAUUAACAAGAAGAAAUACACAUAUCGAACAGAAAUUUUUUGGCAAAAUGAUCUAAGUGUAGCACAUAAAAUUAAGCCUCCCAGAGUUAAUCCUUUAUAAAUUUAGAUAGUUGCCUAUAUACUAGAUAACAACUCUUUCAGUAGAAUCUAGAAAUUUUUCUAGAAAUCUGCAAGCACAGGUAGAAUCUUUGAGUUUGUCUACAAGGCAAAACAUAAUUUCAAGUGUAUAAAUCUCUGUGUUUGUGUGUAGCUAGAUGGCCUAAUAUAUUUAUAUUACAUUUUUAAAGUUGUGUGUGUUCUGUAUAUUUUAGUCCAGUUUGUUAGUAUUAGAACAAAUUAAGUUAGAUGGAUAACACUUAUUUUUGUAAAAACAUCAGUCAGUAGUGGAAGAACUGUUUGAACUACAUGUUUUUAAAACAUCUGGUUUGCUGCUAAGCUAUUUAAGAGAAUAAAUACUGUCAAUCUAAAAUAGAGCAUAAUAAUCCAGUUACAGUAUUUUGUAAACAAAUCUUUUAUGUAGGGUCUGAUUUAUCUUAGAACUAUUAGAUUUUCAGAUGAAAAAUACAGUAAUAUAAAAGGGAAGUCAGUGCAUCAUUGAUUGUUCUUUGGAUCUUCCCAGGAAAGCAUCCAGAUGGAGGCCUCUACAACAAGGGACCCUCCUACUCGAGUUAUUCCGGGUACAUAAUGAUGCCAAAUAUGAAUAACGACCCAUACAUGUCAAAUGGAUCUCUUUCUCCACCCAUCCCGAGAACAGUAAGUAACAUGCUGAUGUUGCAAAUUAUGUUCAGAAGUGCAAAUUGAUUUGUAUUUUGGCAGAAUGUUUAUUUUUCCAAACUCAUUGGUAAUGCUUUCAUUAUAUAUAACUAGUCGUUGCUAAAUAAGAGCUGUUAUGAGGAAUGGCCACCUUAAAACAGUGCUACCUUUGAUGUCUUGCCUUUGAAAUUUUAGCUUUUGGCUUAUUGAUUAAAAUAAAUAUGUAACAGAUCAUAAGUUAUAAAAUCAAGUGAAGUUACAUCAACAAAUCCCUGAUUUUAUGAGUAUUGUGCAUUCUAUGCUGAUGAGAGGAAAAAAUUGAUUUACUUUUUCAGCUAAGUAAGGACUGUAUAGCUUUUAAUGCCCACAAGCUUUCUAGAAUCAGAGCUACUUUAGCUCAUUUGGAGCUGAAUGUUUGUUAUGUUACUUUGGCUUUUCAAAUGGUGUCUUGUUUUAUUGUAUCGGCCAAUGUUUCCUUAGGAUCGGUUUGGCGGGGAUGAGUUAUUUUUGCUUUAUUGUCAAUUGUUGAGAAAGCAUCACUCAAAGAUAACCCUAAUGAAAGUUGUUCCUUUUUUUUUUAAUCUUGUGGUUUAGUUAACUUUUAAAAUUCUAAAAAUGCAGUGGUAUUAUAACUGCAUUAUGCAAAUGCAUAACAUUAUAAAGAAUUUCAGGUUUAUUUGAUGAUAUUUCUCUUAGGAAGUGGAAACCUCAUUUAAGUGAGAAAAUACCUAAAUGGUAACUUGUGUAGUAUGUAGAUGUAAAAUGUGCUGGUGAUGGAGUUCUCUCUUAGAAUUAGCCCACCAGCGUUGGUGACGGACUUUUUACUGACCCAUCAAUAUAUUUACCUUCUCUCCAGCCCCACUCUCCCUUUAUCACCUAACCCCCAAUGAAAAACACAUGUCUAUGGGUCUCGGGGAUUAGGGUUCCAGUCUCACUGACAGCCCUGGAGGUCAAAUCUCAGAUUGUAAAAUGGAACCUAUAGUGUUUGACUUACUUGCCCAGUGUUUCUACCAACUGAAAAAAAUCAGUCACAAACAUCUGGGAAGAGUAACGUUGUUAAUACCUUAGUGAACAAAAUCUGGGAGUGAGAAGAUUCACUAGCAGAGAAUAGUGGCUCAAAAUCAACAGUUAUCAACAAGAGUAUUUGUGGUUAUCAUUACACAUAAUCUUCAGUUGUUGAAAUGAUACUUAUAUCAAAUAUGAUCACUUUGAGCACUGCAAUUUAGAUGUUAUUGUAAUUAUUUUCCAAUAAAUUGCUAAAGGAUAUUUGAUCUCUCAGCUAAGGAAUAAGCUUUUUCUAAUUUUUAUAUAGUAGUUAAAGUGGAGAUCUUGGGGUUCUAAUCUUGAGGGAGAUCUUGUGAUGGUUGCUGUAAGAAAUAGGUAUUUCAUAUUUUAUUUUAAGGCUUUUCAAGUAUUUAAUGAUAAAGAUGUCUGUGUGAUGAGGAUGAAUCUCCUACUUAAAAAGUAAUUUAAAAAAGCAAAAAUAGUUUAAUAUUUAGAGGCCCCUCAAAUAAAUGCUUGAGUUUUAAAAGUUGUAGGAGACUUUAAAUUUUUGAACAAAACAUACAAAUAUAUAGAUAUCUCUUUAAUAUUUGGGCAGGUUUUUUUGCUGUUUUUGGAGGGGGUGGAGAAGGGAAGGAGAAUAUGUUUUAGAUAAGGAAUAUUUGAAGAUUCCUGUUAAAUCAUUUUCAGAAUAACAAAUAAUCUUUCCAAAUCAAAGUAGUGUUGGUGACAAUAGAAAAUAGCCACAAAACAGCCUUACGUUUUUCAGCUGUGAGUAUACAGCAUUUGUGGAAUUUAUUUCUUAAAAAGAUCAGCUACUUCUCCUUUCAAAAUGGUAAUUUUAAAAAAUCAAUAUAAUGAAAAUUUAUUGGUAUUUAUAAGCAAUCCCUAAGAAUAUUGAAAAUUAAGCUGAUCUUCCUCUUUAUGCCAGCAUUCUGCCUUGUGUUUCCACAGUCUUUUCUCCCAAUCUACCAGUAUACUAGUCAUUUUGAAAUUUUGAUAGAAAAUAUCUUUUGAUAGAAGGUAUUUAUUGUUAGUGUAUGUAUUAAAAUUUUGAGGUCAGUGAAUCAAACAGUCAUUCAUUGUUUAGGAAAGAUUUGUGGCCAGAAUAAAUGUUGGUCUGGGUAAAGUGUAGGAAAGAGGUGUGGUCAGGAAACAGUUACCUUACCCUGUUAUCUGUUGCUUUGCUUUAUUCUGUUAAAUAUUAGGAUGUAUUUAUUUUAGGCAUGUUUUCUUGAGAUAUUCUGCAGUUUGCACAAUUCCAGAAGCUUUUCAGCUGUAACCACAAGACUAUGUAAAUUUUUUUUUUAGGGUCCAACCGAAGUGAGUUACAAUCUUUGGUUUUUAAUACCUAACAGCUGUUUUUAAUGUGUCGGAGAUCAAAAACACUAACCGGAAGACAGCCUCUCUUCUUCACCCCUAACCACACUUCUGCCUUCUUGCUCUUUAACUCUGUCCUUAGCAGGGCUGAGUGUUUGUGUCACUAACAUCCACAGUGAUAGAUUUUCAUCUAGGGUGUCAGGAGCAUGGUGACCAUUUGUGUUUGGGCUUAGGAUGGGAGCAUCCCCUUGGCAUCCUGCUUCUUGAAUUUCCAUUACAAACAAUUGCUUGUUUACUGCAUCUGCUUCCCAAAAGUGUUAGGACUGGAAAAACACCUGGGGUGGGGGAGGGACCUGACCACUCCUUCCCUAAACAGUCUUCUGUUUGUAUCUAACUGCAGACAAUCCAGAGGAUACCAGCUAUGGCCAACUGGCAUGCAGAGAAAUGUUUCUGCUGGAAUCUAAUUAUAAAAAGUGCAUAUGCUUUUGCUUAUUUUUUAGACAAAUGCUACUGUGUGUAUCCUGGAACAGAUUUUACCUAUGACCAAUAUACAGUAUUACCUGUUCAGGAGCACCACUUUCACCUACUCAGCUUUUUUUCUUCUCAAGGGGAAUUUUAAUUGGCAAAUUACAUCCUUCUAGAACUGGAAUCCUUAGGGGUGUGAAUGUGUCUAUACCAGAAAUCUUAUGAAUGGGUCUCUCACAGAAUUUUAAAUAAGAAUUCUUAGUUCAGAUAAAUUGGGUCUAAGAAGAAAGCACCUAUCAUGACAUAUUUGGUGUCAGCGUGAGUUCUUAGGGCAUAGUAAACUUUGGCUUGAGUUGGUCUUCUUCACAGAGAGUGAAGAGAAGAUGCAGAAGCCUGUUAAAUAUUUUAGAGCCAGGACCCUGGAGAGUUUAUUAAAAGCAUACUCCCAAACCUUUCGUUCUCUGAACUUUAUUUAUGAAAAUCCCUGUAGGCCAAUGGUAAAGUAUUAAAAGAAAAAAAUAGUUCUUUACAUCCCUAGUUUGGCUCUGGCAGUUGUGUGCCUGAACACCGUGUGAAUGGUGAGCUUGGCCAGCUUUAAUGUAGUGAAAGUUCCCACUGGCCUAAUGCACUGUGGUUAUUCAUCUUAGGCGUCAAUCUUCCAUUUGUCCCGCAUGCAACCCAAAUGUUUAACACCUUAGAAAAGAAACAUCUCAUUUCUCUUCAGAUGCUUGGGGAGGGAAAAGCAACACAGUGCAGGAAGCUGCAGCAAACGUUGCAGCUCAGUCACAUCAAACCACAAUAACACCUGGUCAGUGUAGCGCUGCAAACUUCAUUGUUUUUGGUUCUUUGUGAUCUUUCUAAGAGUCAAUUUUUAGGUGGGAAAGGAAAGAUAUGGGUGUUCUCAUUUCAGCUAUCUUUUAAAAUGUUUAUUUUUUUAAAGUAGAAAUUGCUAUGAAAAUGUUCCAUGAGUUCUUUUCUAAUUACCUUGUAUAACUUAGUUCUGUUGUGACUUUUACCUUAAGGGAAUCAACACUUUGGUUUCUAUUAAACAGAAUUAUACCUAUUAUAACUUUGUCUUACCUACCCUGCAUAUUUGUACUUGCUUAUAAACAGCUAAAAUCUGAUUUUGUCAUUGUUCACAUCUGGAAUUAAGGAACUAAGUUGGACUUGUCUAAUCAGUAAGCUUCUGAAUGUACCACUGUACGUGACAUUGUUGGAUACCUUUGAAAAUAAUCACAUAAAUAAUAUUCAAGGAUAGAUGGAGACUAAGGCUUAUAUCUCAUGCAAGAUUUUUAAGGUAGAGUAUCUUUUCACUUUAUUGCAAGAAGCUAUUGAAUUUGACUUAACCUAUAAAUAAUUUUCACUUUUCUAUUUUAAGUUGUGCACUUUUUGAAGCUAAACACAUUGAGUUUUCCCCUUCAAGUGGAGAAUAAGUUUUAGAAAGUGUAUUAUUCUAACUCAAAUGUAUAUAUAGAUGUCAGGAGAAUGUGUGGGAAAAUUCCUCAGAGCCCCCAAAGUUUCCUGUUUGAUCCCUCCUUCAUGGCAUUGCUACAAUUUGGGACAGGAUCAUAGUCAGAAUAAUUGGAAGCGCUUGCCAUUCCCCCAUCAAAUACCUUAUGGCCAGUUUGCUUAUUUAAGUGUGCCAGGAAGCCAUACUACAUGUAACCCUUGCAGAGCUAAUAUUGCAUUUACAUGCCUGGUUCUUACUCAGAUAGUUUUUUUGAAAUGACCCUAGUAGUUUCUUCUUCAUUGAUAAAGACAUGAGAACAACCCAAAAGAUAGUCUUAAAAAAAAAAGACCACACACUAAAAAAAAGACCAUUGAGCCAAUCCGCAAAAAUCUUGCUUUUGAAGUAUUUUUUCCACUCCCAUACAGGUCUUAGAUUUGCUCUCAUCAACCUCAUUAUUUUGAUCGAGUCUUCCCUGUGGUCCGAGACCCUUAUGUGAUUUAACAGAGCAGAGGUAGGGUCUCACAAAUGGGACUCUCUGGACUUGAAUUUGUAGACUCACAAGCACUUGCUAUAAUAUCAAUUUUGUAGCGGAUGAGUUUUUUUUUUUUAAUGUUCUUUAGACAGAACCAUUUGGGUUUAUGUGAUUGAAUUUUUUUUUGAGCAAUCAAAACACUUCAUUUUUGACUCCUUUUGUUCCUCAUUUAUGUAUCAUAGACAUGACUGGAAUUUUAUAAAGCUGAUUUCCUUUUGAUUUUGGUAAAAGACUUGGAAUUUAAAGAGAAAACAUGCCAGCACUGUCUGUAGCAAGCAGAAAAACAUAUAUGUUUUAUUCCCAGGUAAAAGUAGAGCUCAGCAUUAUGUAGGUGCUGCUGUCCUGGGACUAAAGGUUGCGCGCUCUCUCUCUCUCUCUCUUUUUUUAAGGGAAUGUUCAUUUAAAACUUGUCCUCUUUGAAGCUGUUGCUUAAGUGUUUGUGCUGAGCUGAGCCAAUCUGUAGGAAGCUAAUACUGUAGUAAUCAAGACACUUAGUACUCUUCUGUGCUAUCCUUACAUGUCCUUACUUAUUUAGAAAAGGCAGCCAUUGGAUUUUAUUCAGAUAAUUUAAAAAUUAUACUUUAGGUUCAUGAUUACUUUUUAAAUAUUAUGAUCUUGAAUUACCUGCCUAGGAACUGUGGACUCUGCUAUAAACUCUUUUAGGGAUAUAAAUCAUCCAGUAUCUCAGAUAGAGAAGAUGAAAGCCUUAAAAUAUCCUAGAGAACAACAACAAAGACUGGGGGUGGAGGUGGGGGGAGUUGGGAGUUAAUCUGUACCAAAGUGAAGAGCGGGGAGUUGAGCAGAGGACUGGACAGGGAGCAGGAGGCAUUGCUAACUCAGAAAUUCUGAUAAUCUAGCUGGGACUAUUUGCAGACUGUUAGCAGAGGCUGUGUAGAGGAUUAUAAAGUCUCUGUAAAAGAGUGCAUUUGUAUAAUACCCACUGUAGCUAAACCUGUAAACCUGCUGCAAUUAUCCACUUGUUAUCUCUAGAUCACUUACAAAGCUCACUGAGCGAUGGUACUCACAUGCCUUCAAUCUGUAUAGGGAAAAUUGCAAGGGCAGUGCAGAGCAAGCAAGAGUUUUGUUGCCAACCCCAUUUUUCCAUUUGUAGGAGAAAUAGGACUAGCAGAGAAGGUUGCAUCACAGAGUGUCUAGAAAUACAGUUUAUUUUUGCAGCUAGCUAGGGACAAGUAGAAUCUUUAAAAAGCUGGAUUUGUUGACCGUUGUGUCUACCUAUGCUCACACAUAACCCUAUGUGGAACUUGAUGACAGUUUUGCAGAUGAAAUUUUGAUCUUCAUCAUAGUAAUUUAUUGUCAUUGUUAUGUUCACCUGUAAAAAGUUGCCUAUUGCUCGAGGCAGGUGGAUCACCUGAGGUCAGGAGUUUGAGACCAGCCUGACCAACAUGGUGAAACCCCAUCUCUACUAAAAAAUACAAAAAUUAGCUGGGCUUGGUGGCAGGUGCCAAGCUACUCAGGAGGCUGAGGCAGGAGAAUCUCUUGAACCCAGGAGUCUGAGGUUGCAGUGAGCCCAGAUCGCACCAUUGCAUCCAGCCUGGGCGAAAGAGCUAUAUGUGUGUUUGUGUGUGUGUGUGUGUGUGUGUGUGUGUGUGUGUGUGUGUAUAUAUAUAUAGAGAGAGAGAGAGAGAGAGAAUGAAGAGGUAGAUAUAAGUUAGGGUCUCUAAAAAGGAGAGUGGUUCUAGGGUAGCUUAAUUUUCUUUUAUUAUUGUUGUCAGCUUCUGAAUGAAACAGUAACCAAAGCAAAAUUUUAAAAUUUGACCUACUAAGAUAUAUUUCUUUUAUUUGUAUAAGUUUAUGGAGUACAAGUGUAAUUUUGUUACAUACAUAGAUUGCAUAGUGGUGAAGUCAGGGCUUUUAUAGUAUCCAUCAUCCAGAUAACAUAUCCAUUAAGAAAUUUCUCAUCAUCACCCCCCUCCUACCCCCUCACCCUUCUGAGUCUCUACUGUCUAUCGUUUGACACUCUAUGUCCACAUUAUUUAGCUCACACUUACAAGCAAUAACAUGAUAUUUGCGUUUUUACUAAGAUAUUUUUAUAAAUCUUUUUUAAUCCUGGAAACCUUACAAUAAAAAUUAUAAAAAAUGUUGAUGAUAGUUAAUCAUCUAGUAAUCAGUUACCAUCAUAAAGUAACUGGGGGACUAUCAUCAGCAGUCCUCCAGUUUAAACUCAGGGACUGCUGAUGAAUUAUGUUAGUUACAGUCAGCCUAGCACAGAGUAGAAACCUCAGUAAAUGUGCUGAGUUAAUAAAGAAUGUAGAAGAAAUUUUGCAUGUGUGUUUUCUGGAUAUUUCCAAAUGAUCUGUCUUUAUGAAACCAAAUGCUACGUGAAAAGUAAAACUUGAAAGUGUUUACUAAGUAAUCCUUAGUAUUUGAUUAUUUUACUUUUUCUCUUAUUUUUUGCAUUGGUGAAUAAAGUAGCAUUAGACCAGUGUUUUUAAUGAGGAAGUCAAAACUACUCCUUAUAGAAUAUAGAGUUUCCAGAUAACUCCUGAAAACAGUCAGCCGGGGGAGUGCACUACUGGAAUAAAUAAAGAAUGGACUAGACCCUCAUAUGAGGAUUUAUCUUAGGAAGUACUUAUCUGUUAGUUAGGUCCUAGAAACCUAAUUGAAGAAAUGGAGAUGAUAAAACUGCUUUUUUCAGAAGGAUUCUUGAGAUGGAAACACAAUACUAGUAAAAAGAAAACCAUCUUCAAGUAUGUUUCAGAAUCAUGUGGUUAAUGCUUUUCAAUUCAUUUUUAUUCUCUUGGCAAUAGAAGGAACUUUUUUUUCAGUAUCACGAGGUAUUUUCAGCUAUUAAAAAGUUCUGUCCUUUUCAAAUACACAUGGCAGCCUCAGUGCUGACUUUUCUAGGCCAUUGUGUUUUGUAAAUUGAUUCUAUCCUUUUGCAAUGUGGUGAACAAAAUUUUUGAGCCUUAAUUAGGGAGAGAUAGGUAGGCAGUGCCCUAUGAUGGCUAAACAUAGAGAAGGGAAGGACUAGGCUAGAUGUUAAAAGACCUGAGAUCUAAUGUCGGGUCUCCAUCAUCUUCUUCUGAAAACUUUGGGAAGGUUAAAUGGCAUAUUAAUAUCGGGCUUGUCUACCUGAUCUGAUUGAUGAGAAGUUCAUAUGGCACAAAGCCUGCAAAAGCGCUGUUUUCUAGCUGUGGCCGCAGAGCAGGAGUCUAAGAUGGUGUAAGUCAGUGCCUUGGGCCCCACCUGGUGGGAUUUCUGCAGCUAUAAGAAGUGCUUGACUCUACCCGGGAAACUCCAGAGAAAGGGAAGAAACUUUCGGUUCCUAUUGUGCCAUCAUGCUGACUCAGAAUUUGGAUACUGGGUGAAGGCCUUACACAAACCUUUAGAAAAUGUUUGCAUAAAUAAAAAUUCAGGGGAAUGUCAUCGUAUUUUUACAGAUCUGAUUUUCCUCUCUUGGGCUCGCUUUCCUUGUGAUUGUUAGGAGAGCAGCAGAUUUUCUUCUUUAGCACCGUAAUCCACCAUGAAAGGGAAUGAGACGUAUGAGGGAACAGAUUUCUAAAUUUCAGGUUUGUUAGCCGAAAGUCUCAUAUCCUUCUAAUAUUUGAUAUGAAAUUGCCAGAUAACUCUUAACUACUUGAAUGGAGUUGAAUUGAGGUAAGAAUAUGUUUUUGGUUAGGAGAUUUUUUUUUCCCCCUUAAUCCCAUAGGAGCUGGGGUUUUCUCUCUACUGCAAAAAUUAUAGAGAAAGGAUAUCCAGGAGCCGUAUGAAGGACAAUGGGCAAGUUAUUUUUUUUUGCCCUUCGAAUUUCCUUCUGGCUUAAAUUUUUCUAGCUUUCUUGUCACCGAAAAGGAUCACGUCCAAAGGGAUGUGUUGGCUGAACAGCAAGGAGAAAUCAAUGUUUUUCUAGCCUCCUGGGAAAUUCCAGCUUCUUUCCUUUCAGGACUUUUCUUUUUCUUUCAGUAAAAUCCCAUGAAUGUUAAAUAUUUAUAUAUUGGAUGCAGCUUUCUUUGUACAGGAUCCCUCAAUUUUGAACACUAUAAAUGGUACCUUAAAAUAAUUAUGGUCAUAUCAUCUUUGUAUACUGGUUAAAAUGACCUGGAUCGAGGGAAAAAGGUGCUGAAAUCUUAUCUCAAAUAUAUUAGACUUUGUUUUGGCAUCUUAAAGUCUGUAACAAAACCAAAAUAUGAAGUAAAUAAUAUUUACUGUUUAUUACAGUUGGGCUGACCAGUCAGCUGUCUGGCAGUGUUAGGAAAAUAAUCAUUGCUUGAAUUAUUUUUUUUUCUUAUUUGUAUUCAUACAUUAGAAUUUUAAGUUAAAACUCAAGUUUUUUGGUUUUUUUUUGCUUGAAAAAGAAGGGAAAGCAACUGAUUUUUUUUUUUUUUUUUUUUUUUGCUACUACCUUGUGCUACAUACUGUGCGAGGCACCUUACAGGGUUGUCAUAUUUAAUUUAAUCCUAAUGUGAAAACUGGGGUGAGUGUUAUACUCCCGGUGUUAAAGACAAGGAUCCAUCGUCAGCGACAGCAGUAACCUGCCCCAAUUUAAUACGGUUCCUUAAGGUCUAAAGACUUGUUUGUUUUCAUUUAAAAUAGCCAUAUUUACCUUUAAGAAUACAAAGUACUUAUUAAAUUCAUCAUAAUAUUGAUUAAAAUUGAAAGCAGAAGAGAAAUUGUUACAAUUUUCUUGAAAAUUUCAAAAAUGCUUAACCAUUUUUAUUAAAAUAAAAAGAAAUUUAAAAAGCAAUACAUGUUCACUGGAAAAAUUAGAAAAUUCAAAUAAGCAAAAAUAAUACCAAAUAUUAAAUUCCCAGGAUCACAUUGUUAAAGACGAUCACUUUUUCUGUGUGGCCUUUUAGACUUCUUUCUGUGCACACAUAUAAAUGUAGGUAAACAAACACAAAUACUUGUUAUAUAUUCAUGGCAAUAGGAACAUAAGGUAUCAUUUUGCAACUUGCUUUUUUGCCACCAACUUAUUAUGUAUAUCUUUUUCUAUUAAUAAAUAAUCUUCUGUAACAUCAUUUUUAAUAGAUUGCCUAAUUUAUUUAACCAGUAUUUUAUUGGUAGACAUUUAGAUUGUAUCACCUUUUUCCCCACCUUAUGCAGUACUGUGAUGAAGUGCAUAUAUUCUAACUAAAAGUUUGCACAGAUUCUGAAUUGUUUCUUUGGAACAAAUUGCCAGAAUUGCAGUCAAAGGCAAUGCACCUUUUUAGGUAGGAGUUACCUGCACUGCAAUUUAAUCUUAAAAACAUGUUUAUAAAGUUAAUAUUUAAAAAUAUGUACUUGUUUACAUUCAACUUUCGUUGUGGUUAGUGUUUUGAGGCUGAUAAUUUUCAUGCCUCUUCAAGUCAAUAAUUAGUCCAGCAAAGUCAGACAGAGGGAAAGUGUAAUAUCAGCUUUAUUAUUAAUAAGGCCAGACAGUAUCAGGCAGUAUAAUACCAACUGUAUUAUCAAUAAGGCUACAUUGGAGAACGUGACUUGAACUGUGAUACAAACCAUGGACUUCCUUUGAUUUUCCUAAAUUGAACACAACACCAAGCCACAUGCCUCUUUUGCAGAGGCAGGGUGCUCACAUCCUGUAGAACUGGAGAUGAGACCAAACCCAUGUUUGGGCAAGCUGGCCUGACAGAGAGAACAAAGGGUCAGUCUGUCCUUGCUCAGUUCCUGCUUCUAGGUUGCCAAAGAGAUGAGUGUCCUUCCUUGUAGAGAGUGCAUGAGGUGCUGGGGAGGGAAAAGGGCUACAGCCACUGCUGAGAGGGCAGCAGUUCCUACUUUAGUGACCAAGCUAGGGAGGAAGGGAAAAGGGUGAGGUGAUUGUCUCUUUAGUCAUGACUUGCAGUCAGUGAGACUAGGGUCCAACCAAGAUAAUGGUAAAAUAAAUGAGUAAAUAAAAGAGAGCAGCAGCAAAGCACUGCUGUUGGAGUCCAUAUACCUAGAUGCUACCACUCUGCUACUGACUAGAUGUGUGUUCACACUCUUUGACCCUUGGUCUCCUCAUCUGGCAUUGGUGGUGGUAUGGCUGGAAGGUGGCCAGUGGCCUCUGAAUUACAGGUGUUUCUGUUAAAAAGGCAGAUUACUGGCCCCGUCUGCAAAUGUCCUGAAUCACACACUACAGGCAGGUCAUGUAGAUGCGCUUUUAACAAACUCUCCAUUGAUUCUUCUAUAAAAUAAGUUUUGGAAAAACAUUGGCACAGUAGAUGCUCAGUAAUUUAACUGAGGUUCAGAUAAUGUAAAUGACUUUCCAGAGGUCUCACACCCAGAAAGCAGUGGAGCUGGGACUCCAAGUGUGGCCCUUUGGCCCCAAGCUUACUUUCUCUUCACUCAACCAUAUUGGGCCCUAAUUGAGACCACUGGCACUGUUCACCUCUCGUCAGAUCUCAUGAGGUUUUCUCCCCGAGUGCCUUGCCCCACUGGCUGUGGGAUUAAAUCACAUUUUGGGGCAUUAUUUUUAAAAGCUUUCCACACCCUGGAACCAUCUCCCUUUCAAGUCUUACCUCCUCACCACUCUGCCUUGCAGCUUAUGAUUCAGUUACACUCCCAGACCUGCAUCCUAAACCCUUUUCCAAAACCCUGUCUUUGGAUUCUUAUAGCUUGCUCUCGCUGAAAUGCCCUGUUCUCUAUUCCCUGCCAGCAGGGUCUUGUCCAUCCUUAAAGGUCUGGGGUAAGUGCUGCCUCCUCAAUGAAGUUCCUCCGGAUCCCACCGUCAGUCAAGAGUGACUACUCUCUCUUUCGGGUCCUCAUAAGUCCUCCCUCAGAGCUCUGUAGCCAUGUUUUCCAAUAGCUUUUUGUCUUUGUGUUUGUAUUUCUCAUUGAUUGUUAGUUUCUUUAGGAUAGGGAGCAUGUCUUAUUCAUCUUUGUUGCCCAGAACCUGUUAUAUUACUUGCCACAGAGCAGGUUACUCACCAGAUGUUUGUGGAAUAAACAGAACAGAAAUUUUAAAACUUCAAGAAUGUAACGCAACAACACCAGGUAUCAAUCCGUAUUUAAAUGGAAUCUCUUAAAAAUAUAUAAAUUUGUAUGGAAUCGCAAAGCCAAAAUGGAGCUUAGAAAUUAUUUGAGCAUUUCAUAUAGAAUCCAUGGACUAGACGUUAGUUAUUAGUUUUGAGUACUUAGCACAUGCCAGGAACUGUUCUAAACCCCUUCUGUGCGUUAGCCCAUUUAAUCCUCAUAGUAACUCAGUGCUAUCUCUGAUAUCCCUGUGUUACAGUUGAGGGAACUGAAGUAUAGAGAAGGUUGAGCAAUGGCAUGCAGGGCAUAGAGAAGGGUAAGGACGACUGUAAACAGGUCAAGAAGUGGAAGGUCAGAUAAUUUACCCUGAUUGCACAACUGGUAAGUAGUGGUACCAGAUUGAGGCUCAAGUCUUCACUCUCACAGCAGGGUACUUUCUGCAACUUCAGUUUCUUAUUACCAUUUCUGCCACUAGCAUGCAGAAGACGCUAGAUGAUUAUUGAAUCAGUGAGUUUCUCAUAGGUAAGAUGGAAAUGAUUCUUAGUAGGGUUUUGUGAGAAUAAAAUUGGAAAUUGUACAUUUCUUUAACAUAUUUUGGGUAGUAAUAGCUAUUAUGAUGCUAGUGGAUAACACAAGAGUUCAAAGGUGACCAGUUAGAUGUGGAGGAGGGAAAGAGUUGUGUAAAAGAUGAUGAGUGUUCUAGCCUGAUGGUGAGAGGACAGUAUUAAUGGAAAUAAUUAAUUUGGAAAGAGAAGCCAGUUUGAAGACAGGCAUUCAUGAGUUUAGCUUAGGAAUCAUUGUUUUCAGUUUUAUGCUAAGAAAACAAAAUUAACCAAGAUCUGGAACCAAACCAUUUUACAUUAUGGGCAUCUUUUUGGUCCAUACUUUAUUUGAUGUAAGUCAACAAUGCCUCACAAAAUCACUUCACUUACCUAUGAAGCUUCCUGGACCUUGACCAGAAACCUCCAUGUGAUUAUGAGAAAUAAGUAUUUUGUCCAAGGGUGAAGAGAGUACUGGUAUUAAUAAUAUACUAGCAUGUAAUAUUUAAUGAUGUACUUUACAUGCAUUUUUCUUAUUAAAUCUUUACUAAACAGUAUGAAGUGAAUGCUACUAAUAUGCCUAUGUUUCCAGUGAAGAAACUGAGGCACAGAGAAGUUACUUGAAUGUCCAUAGUCCCAACCAGAGUUUAAUAAGUGGUAGGGAAUUUGGAUUCAAAGUCAGGUAUUUUCAGGAGCUGGGGCCCAAUUCAUAAAUCAGUUCAUCUCUCAGAAGUGUUAAGAGUAAUCCUUAGUCAAUAAACUACUUUGAGGAUUAAAGGUAUCUGUUAUACUUUUAUUAAAUAAUGUAAAUGGCUUAAAUAAAAGGUUCUAAGAAUACUUGGAAAUUGUCUUCUGGUUCAUUCAACACAUAACCAUGUGAUUGCUCAAUGUAUUCUUGAAAAUUCCCAGGAAAUAUUGCUUCCUGGGGUAUAUCAGACAUAGUUUGAUAAGUGUCUGAUUUUUAUGGGAAUCUCUAUUCCUCACUUCUAGAGGCCCAGUGUCCCCAAGUCUUAGGGACUAAACAGAUUAAUCAAAUAGCUGUAUGACCAAAGGUUUCAUUAUUCUUAGAAUCUUUUUGGCAAAUGAUGUUGCCUCCUUAUUACAUAAGAACUGAGCAUUUACAGGCAAAAGUCUGCCAAAGAGCAUUCUUUGCACAGCAAGCAAUUAAAAUGUGGUAUGUGCUUCAUUUUUAGGAGCAGUUAGUGGUGAUUUUUGUGGUAUCAUGAUGUUGGUUUAAAUAAGAGAAAUUAGUUUAGAAUUAACUGGAAUUGUGAUCAUUCCUGAGAAGUUGCAACAGUGAGUUUCCUUUAAAAAGUGAAGAAACUUUUCUUUCUAAGGAGACAUUAGGAACAGUCUUUUCUUCUUUUUCUCAAAAGGAAAUAUCUUUUUUUUUUUUUGGUUAACAGUAAUAUAUAAAAACGGGGGAAAACCCAUGAAAGAACAGAAAAAAUAAAUAAAAAGUACCUAUAUUUCUGUCAUUCUGAUAUAAUGGUUUCAUUUUGAUGAAUUGUUUCAUUUCAGACAUUCUUUCUGUAUCUAUACCUGUAAUACAAACGUUUUUGUAAAUGAGCUUAUAAGAUUAUUAUUCUAUUAUAAUCUUUUGUCAUUAAAAAUGUAUUACGUGUGCUCAUCUUUAUGUGAAUGUAGGUCUGUGUCAUCAGUUGUAAUGGCUGGAUAGUAUCCAGUUAUAUAUAUAUAUACACAUGUACAUAUAUGUACAUAUAUAUACACAUGUAUAUAUAUGUACAUAUAUACACACAAAUAUAUACACACUUUAAUUUAUUGGAUUUAUCCUCAGUUAUGGAUGUUAAAGUUUUUUUGUUGUUAUUUUAAAUACCACUACAAUGAAACCGUGUUAAAAAUAUAUUUAUAAUCUAUUUUUUUUUUUUUUUUUUGAGACGGAGUCUCGCUCUGUCGCCCAGGCUGGAGUGCAGUGGCACGACCUCGGCUCACUGCAAGCUCCGCCUCCCGGGUUCACGCCAUUCUCCUGCCUCAGCCUCCCGAGUAGCCGGGACCACAGGCGCCCGCCACCACGCCCGGCUAAUUUUUUGUAUUUUUAGUAGAGGCGGGGUUUCACCGCGUUAGCCAGGAUGGUCUCGAUCUCCUGACCUCAUGAUCCGCCCGCCUCUGCCUCCCAAAGUGCUGGGAUUACAGGCGUGAGCCACCGCGCCCGGCCAAUCUAUUUGUUUAUGUUACUUGCUGGUUCAUAGCUUUCUUGAUUUAAGAUAACUUUUUACAUAGUAAGCAUGUAAACAGUUUUGACAAACUAUUCAUGAAAUAAUGGUUCAAAACUAUUUUACACCAACAUCAUGUAUCUGUUUCUUUACUCCUGCACAAUUAAGAUCUGCUUGCAAGUUAAUAUGUAAAGAACUUGCUACUUAAUAUAAGAAAAUUCAUAGUAACUCAGUGCUAUCUUUGAUAUCCGUGCAGCAUUAGUUUGGUUCAUUAUUUAUAUUUAAUUUCAGGAGUGAAGAUGCUAAUACAGCUCUUUUGACCCUCAUAGGAUGGUGCAAUAACCAGAAAGCACAUCUUAUUGCAGUUCACUAAUUAUAUGUUGUUAUAGGAGUUUCUGAACUAAUCCUAAAGUUUAAGGAUAAACAAGUUUCCUGGUAGAAUGAAGAUAAAUCCUAAAGAAUGUUUUCAGGAAUGAUUUAUCAUUCAUUCCGUAAAUAUUCAUUGAAGAUACUUAUUUUGACAGUCAGUGUGCUGAGCCCCAUUGUGGAUACAUGAUGAUAAAAGCAGAGUCACCACCCUCUAGAAGCUUACAGAUUAGUGAGGGAGAGACACUUGUGCAAACAUCCACAGCUGAGCAGAGUGAGGCAGGCAUGACAUCACUACUACAACCCAGGGAUACAGGUGUGAACAGAGCCUAGCCUGCUCACCCUGGAGUGUUGCAGCCUAGUAGAGCAGUUCCAGAGGACUGUCUUUAUAUGUACUAUUCAUUCUUUACCUGCUUUCAGUUCCAUGUGGCCCAUUUGAAGCAUGGUGGGGAAUAUUUGGUUUACUUGUUUAAAAAGGGUUGUGUAGACACCUCUGGGCUGGGCCAGGAAAGUUGCUUGAUAAAUUUUUUUUUUUUUAUUAAAAGAGCAUUCAUGUUAAGUAACCUAAGACUAUUUAAGAAUAGAACUCAGAAACUCAGAACUAUUUAUAGAGCAUUUGAAAUGAACAAGUUUAUAAACAUUGCUGCCAAGUUAACUGAUGGUUGGUAAGAGUGGAGGCCAGGACUUAGACCCUCUUCUGUUUUAUGCUGUUGGUACUGUGUCACUGUUUAUUUAGUACCACCACCAGAAACCUUUACCUUGUGUGAGGCACUUGCUUUUUGUACUAUUUAACCACAUUUUAAAUCGUUGUUGUUAAAUUUGACUACAAUUUGAAUUGGGCAAACAAUAUUAUGAAGGUAGAUAAGUUUUCAUUUAUUUACAUAUGUCAUGUAGUGGCUGAGAACACAUGCUCUGCAUCUUAAGUGCCUGAGCCCAAAUCCAGGAUUAGCCACUUACUACAGGUGGGAAAAUUGCUUUACCUUUUUGUUUCUGUUUCUUUACUCACAAGUACUUUAAAAAAAUUUCUGGCAUCCUAACGGUAAGUUGGAAAGAGUAGGAAAUGACUGUUUCAAAAAUAUUAUUUAGUUACCACAUAUAGGAAAUACGUGGUCUGAAUUCAUUGCAGGGAAUCACUGUACUGCUAGGAAUAAGGUGUCAACAUAGGACUGUGAAUUGCAGGCUUGAGGAUAUUAGAUCCCAUUUAGUGAAUAAUGUGAAGCCAACAAAAAGUUACAUAAUACAGGAUUAUAUGUACUAGAUUUUAUGAGGGCUUCUUAUGUAUCUAUAGAGGAAAAUGGAGAUUAAAUUUUUCAAAAAGAAAUAUUUCCUCCUAAGAUGGCUGGGUAUAAGGAAAAAACAGAGGCCUCUGUGUAGUGGUGAGAGAAAUGUGACAUUUAAGCUACAAAUGAAAAAACCGUUCAUAAUUCAGGGCUAUCUGAGAUGUUUGUUUUUGUUCUUAUUUGUUAUUUUAAUCUUGAGUUAAUUCAAUAAUGUCUAUGCAAAUUUGAAAAUAUUGGCUACCUGAGAAAAACCUUUUAAAGACUUUUUUUUUUUAGGCUUCUAUUGUUGCUAAUCUCGUGGUAGAGGAAAAAAUACUGACAUGGAGUUAGGCAAGUCAUUGACUAGCCAUGUAUCCCUGAACAGACUAGUCCCUAACUUCUUCAAGCCUGUUUCCUUCUCUCCCUCCCUCCCGGGCCUCUCUCUGUAACCCAGGCUGGAGUGCAAUGGUGUAAUCAAAGCUCACUGCAGCCUCAACCUCCUAGGCUCAAGUGCUCCUCCUGCACUUCCCAAAGAUUCAGGUAUGAGCCACCGCACCCCACUGAGCCUCAGUUUUCUUAUCUGAAGCUCUAACAAAGGACUGUUGUGUAGACUAAGGGAAACACGGUUGUGUCAGUAUGCUUCCCGUGCUUAAAAGCUCCUGGACUUCUUAUGGUACCAGACUUUAGAGCUCACUCAAAGAAAACACACUUGCAUUUCUCUUGAGUUGUUUUAUCGAUACAGGUUGAGUAACCCUAAUCCAAUAUGUGAAGUGCUUCAAAAUCUGAAACUCUUUGAACACUAACAUGAAGAUCAAAAAACAAAAACAAAAAACUUGUCGGAGUUUUUAGGAUAUUGAUUUUCCCAUCAGACAUACUGAACCAAUAGGUAUAUAAUGCAGAUACUCCAAAUCUGAAAUGAAAUCUGAAAUGCCUCUGGACCUAAGAAUUUUGAAUAAAGUAUACUCAACCUGUACUGAAAGCAUCAGAAUUUACGUCAGUGCUUUUUAAGAAAGGAGGUUUUUUCUGCUCUAGAGGUGAAGCAAGGUCUGAUGCUAUGAGAAAGGUAGAAGAUUGACUCAAUACUUCUUUUUGCCUGGUUCUGGGAGGACAUCUCAUAUGUUAAUAACUUAUUAGGGGCACCACAAGUGCAUACCUAUUAUACCAAAUCAGAUCUGGACAUCUAACGUGAAUAAUUCCACUGGUAUAUAAUGCUUACCAUUAAAGGUCUGCCUUUGGAACACCAAGCCAUACCUACUUUCUGCUCAUCCUCUGCUCACUCUCUCAUAGAAUCCUGAAUUCCUUGACCCCAGUCAUCAUCCAGAUACUCCUUUUCAUGAGCAAACAUUUAGUGUUUUAAAGUCACAAGGUCGCUACGUGGACAAAGACUAAGCAACACAGUUGUUUUUACUCAUGGAGAACAUGUCCAGGAGAGCUUUUCCUCUGGCUUUUGUUUAAUUGGGAUAGGAGGAAUUCAUUCACUUAUUCAUUCAGCAAAUGUUUUUUCAGUGGUCACUUAUUUUUAAAAUAGUUUCAUUUUUAUUGAGAUAUAAUUCACAUAGCAUACAUUUUACCCACUUUGAGUGUACAGUGUAGUGGUUUUUAGUAUAUUCACAUAGUUAGUGCAGCCAUCAUCACAGUCAGUUUUAGGACAUUUUCAUCACCUCGGAAAGUAACCCCAGAGCCUUUAGCUAUUAUCCCCUUAUCUCUCAUUCCCUCAGUGCUCACCCCAGGCCCAAGCAACUACUAACCUAUUUUGUCUCAACAUAUUUCCCUAUUUGAGACAUUUCAUAAGAAUAGAAUCAUAGGCACAUAUAGGGUGUAGUCCUUUGUGACUGGCUUCUUUCACUGAGUGUAAUGUAUUCAGGGUUCAUUCAUGUCACAGUGAGUAUCACAGCUUCAUUUCUUUUCCACUCUGGCUUCCAUGGCUCCAUCUUGCUUCCAGAAGGUUAGAUCAGUACAGUGAGGAAAGGAGCUGAUUUAAUCCAUAUUGAGAGGAAGAAAAGUGAAAUCAAUUGAUAUUUCAGAUAUCUAAAUCCAUGGUGAGAUUUAUUUUACUGCAAGCCCUCAUCAAUUAAAAAUUUUGGCCACUGUAUAAUUAUUUAUGAAUUAUAUACCUGAACUAUAUAAUUAUCUGAUGGCUGUUAUUUCAAAUAAAAUUGAUAAUUUCUCGUUAUUUUGGUCAGCUUCUUGACAAGUCUUGUCCAGUGUCAUUACAGAUUUUAGCUUUAAUGCAAGCUCUUAAAGGGUUGAUAUUAGAGGUAGAACUGUUGGCUUUGCCAUUUUCUUGCUGUUUUUUGUGCUUACAUUAUUACUGUUAUCUUCAGUCCACUUGGCAUUCUUGACCGUCUGGCAUACAGAGCAAACGGGGGCCCCAGUGGCAAUUUGUAUGUUAAAUAUUUCUGGUAAAACUUAAAAUUUUUCAUAUAGAAAUAUGUAUUGACAUUGUAGUAUUUUCUUCCUGCUGCACCCCAGUGGAUAAUGCUAUGUAUUCUUUGUAUGAUGUGGGAUAACCAACUAUUCUAGAUUGAUGGCUGGGGAAAGUAAACGGGAACCCUAUUCCUAUUUGUUCCGAUAAGAUACUUCUGAAAGUGUGGCUGUUGAGUGUUUCAUAUGAAAGUUUUUUAUGAAACCUGCAGAUUAUGCAGUAUUCAUGAGGAUACUCUUCUUUUUUUUUUUUUUUUUUUUUUUUGGCUGGUUGGGUCAAUUCUUUGCUGUACAGAUUACUUGCAGAUUGCUCAGAAUCACCUGGGUUUGCUGCACACUGAGCUGUGGGCUGAGGCUGUGUUUCACCCUCGUGUGGCCCAGCUAAAUGACAUCAUUUGAGGUCGUGCUUCAUGGUGACCUUGUGGCAUCUCCUGUUCACCCCUCCUGUGGCCCUGCCCUCCAGCAGCUGUGUGGGAAUUCUGCUCCCUUCCUUCUCUCUAGAUUAGAUGUCUGCACUAGGGCACUUGCUAUUUUAAACCAAAGAUGUACUGUGUGUGCAAGUGAUGAAACCGCUUGAAAAGAAGGCUCUGUGCUAUCUGAGACAGUUCUCAGUCUUUCAUGAGCAUGUUGAAAAUUGGGCACCAUCCAAUUAUUGACAUAUGAUUGUAGAUCUUGAUGGCAGAACUCUGCCAAUUCCCAGGGGGAUCUGCUUGAUAAGCUGUUCAUUUGACUUGGGGAAGACAGGAGAGCAGUUUAAACCCAGCUCCAAAUAUAAGAACUGUUUCUUUAGCAUGUGCCUGGGGCCAGCUUUGUUCUUCACUGAAGGAAUAACCAAAGGAAAUGGACUUAAAUUGUUGAAAGAAUUUAGGUUGGGAGAAUUACUUCAGAGGGAGAGAUUAAUAAACAUUGGAAUGGUUUAUCAAAGGAAAGCAUGGAAUCUGGUUAUUUAAAGGUUUUUAAGAGUAAAUUUGUAUUUGUGUGAAGCGAUUGGAAUGCCUCAUCUAGAGGGGUCCCAGACUUUGGGCAGUACCUAUUAACUCCUGCUCCUCAACCGGCUUGCUUCCCCCACUCCUCACCUCUGAGGCAGUUUUCUUUUCUUUUCAGUAAGGAGCAUAAGGACCCUCCAGGUUCUUCAAGAGAUUAUUUUUCCCUUCCUGAAGGGAAAAAUAAAUAGGCCAGCACAUAGAUUAUGCUAUAUAACGAGUCUCCUGUGUAUCAUUACAGUGUUGUCACCUCCAUUCUCAAUGAUGGCAAUUUUUGCUGAGGGCAGUCUGAGAAAUGUGUGGAGCCCACAGCUCCGGGGGCUACUGAGAUUCCAUAUGCUUUUAGUUUGUCUCUGCUUAGCCACUGGAGUGCCUCUCUCAAGGUUGGUGGCUGAGCAAGUGGUGCUGUGUUCUCUCACAUGCUGUUCAGGUGACUAAAAUUCUAAGUACAGGUUUCUCUGAGGAGGGCCUUGAAGAAGGCGGGGGCAGGGGAUUGAGGGGGCGCCGUAUAUUGACUUUUUCCUUUGGUUUGAAUGGGAAGCCUGGGAUGCUUCCAGUGACUGUUUUGCUUGUUACUUUGCAAGAGAAGGCUAAUGAUAGAAUCACAAAAGAAAUGUUUUUUUGCCUGAUAAUCUGAAAUUAGAAGGGGGCCUUGGGAUAUGGAAAAUGUGAUAAGCUUAUUAAGAAUGCAACCUACAGAAAAAUAUUUGAUAACACUGGAACUUAUUUCCGGCAUUUUCCGAAAAUGGUAAAAUUAAGGAAAGAUGGCACUUUUCCAAGAGAAAAAUAUACAGAUUUUGAGAUGUUAUUAUUCAGGUUUUCUUGCUGAUUUUGCUUUUGCAAUUCUGAAUUCAUGUAGUUUGUACCCUUUCCUCUAAAGCAAAACAAACCCCAAAUGAAACAAACAUAAAAACUGUAACCCAGUAAACUGAAGUAGGCAGGUUGUUAAAAGAAAGAGUUUUCCAGUUCUGCACAGUUACAGACAAAUUUUCAAAGAAAAUUUACAGUUGGGUACCUUACAGCCAGGUCUGUUGAUUCAAAAUCCUUUCAAACAAAGAUGGCUUUUGUUCGCCAAUUACUUGGUGUUUCAGAACUAAGAAGUUUUGUGCAGAAUGAAAGGAAGCAGUUAUUUCAUAGUCAUUUCUCCUAUGUCAAUAAGUUUUAGAACUUUGUAGACUUGGAAAAGUUAAAGACUGAUGGUUCAUUGACUACUAUCUACAUAAACAAUAUUAAAUCUUUGUGAAAAGGGGACUUUGUUAAACGAGAUGCAUUUUAUUUUAUAAAUUCUCUUAAGAUUCUACUUUCCUGCUCUCUCCAUCCAUAAUCUUGUCAUUUCAAUGUGAAUGUAAAUUCAGAGUUUCUCUGUAGAGCUAUGUAAUAUUGAUUAGGGCAGACAUUUUCAAAGGCAGCAAUUAAAAAUUAGAAUUGGAAUAACGGAAGGUUUUCUUACUAGGGAGUGAUUACUGGACAUAUGUAACACUAUAUGUAGCACCAGAGACAUAGUAUAGUGAUUUAUGGUCGCCCUGCUUGCUUUUUAUGUUGAUUUUAAAUGUAAUAAUGGAUGAAUUACACAAUGUAUUUAAUCAUAAGUCCAAAAUGUCUUAAUUAUUUUUAAAAAAUUAGAAAUAGCUUUACUUUUAAUUUCCAUUUUAAGAAAUAGGAUACUAGUGUUGAUGUAUUUUGGUUAUUAUGUUCUUAGGAAUUUUUCUGCCUCUUUUGGUGGCAUUAGGUUUUGAUUCACUUGUCAAGACGUGAUCCUGUCAUACUGAUUUGUGUCUCUGUAUCUGGAGCCAGAAUUGAAAACCACCUUUGACUUUCCUGUUCUUCCUCUUCUGUUAAUGGAAUCAUGCAUUUACAACUUCCCAAAUAAACCUGUGAUUCUUACAAAUGCAAGUAUCUGCUCUGCUUAGUUGAUUAAAAAGGGCUAAGGAGGAGCAGGUAAGGGCGCGGGACAGGUCUUUAGCAGCUGCACCCGUUCACCUUGCAUCAGGUGUCUGCAAAGUCUUCAGACCAAAUACAUGUUAGAGUCCCUUUCCCAAUUGGAAUCACUUACCCCAUCAUUUUUAUUUUACCCUUUAGGCUUGAAAAAGUGUGUAUUUAGCCAUCAGUUCAUUUUGUGUGGUCUGAGUUAUAAAAUGCCCCUGCUGGUUUUUCCAUAUGAAAAACAUGGUUUUCAUUUGUGGAAACUUACAUAAUUUUUUUUCUGGGCCUUUUGUGCUGCUUUAAAUUAAAAGCAAAUGUAUUUCCCUCCCCUUCAUUCUUGCUUCCCCACCCCCAUCUUUGCAUGUUCCAAUUACAGAGUUGUGAAAAUAAGUCAUCCUUCGGCUUUUGUUACUUUAAAACAGCUAUCGGUGAUGUCAGAGUCAAUACUAAAAGCAUUAAGAAUGCUGGCAGAAUGUAAUGCAGCUGCAAUCCAACAUGAUGCUGGAAAUGGGGUUGAGAGCAUAAAGGCUUUCCAUAUUCCCAGGGCGCACAACUGCUUGCGGCCUUGGCUUUGAUCUCUUCAAAGGCUGCUGCCUCCUCCUAGAUGGAGAGACUUGGCUGCCACUCGCUUGCAUUGAAAAAAGGCAGAGGUCUCUAUUCAGGCAGAAAUCAAUCACUGUGCAGAAACAAUUAUGUGUAAUUCAACCAUCAUGAAAACAGGACGAGAUUACGGGUUUGUUACCUGAGUGACUGUGUGAAGACGGGGAGCAGAGAACACUGGAGUCCCGCUGACAUGCCACAUCUCGAUGACAAUUAUAGACAUAUGAAUGAUGUGGCGGGGGGGGAGGCACAAUGACAAAUACUGGUCACGCUGUCCAGCAGAGCAGAAAAUGAGGUUACAAUUGGGAGAUAAUGUUUGCAUAUGUAACCAUAUUUCAGCAAGCUGAACAACUUCAGGGAACAGACCCUCAAAACUCUUGUGAAUAUUUGUAUGUACAGAGACUAACAUAUGAAUUUGAUAUUGGCUGAAUUAGGACAAAAAUAAUCCUAAUAAUUUGAGGAUUAUACUGAAAGAGAGAAGGAAAGUGAAUUUAACUUUGGUUUAUUACACUUGCUGAUUUGGAGUACAUACUACUGCUAACACCAAACUCUGAAAACACAACUAACUUUCUAACCUAAUAUAUAUGGAUCUCUCUUUAAACAUCUUCUGGUUCAAGAAUAACAUUUUUAUUUUGAGUCUGUAAACUUGUCUCAAAAAAGCAUUAUGUUUUUUCACCUUGAUUGAGGCUUUUUGGGGAAAUGAUUUUUGUCAGUUGUACCAUCUUCCCUUGUUUUCAGAUUUAAUUUUUGAAAAGCAACUUUCUCAAAUGUGUUGAAGUUUCCUUUCACUGAGAAGAAAAGCAAGGCAUUUUUCUAGGUAGGAAAUAACUUUUUGCUUUAAGUACAAGUAUGCUUAAUCUUGAAGCCCUGGCAUGCAAAGCUAUCGAGGUAUUUAUUUUUAUUUUAACUUGCUUCUUGUCACCUAACAAAGGCGUAGGAGUAACCUCGCACUUUGCUAGCUAACCUGACUCCGGGUGAGGGGAAAGUCAAAAUAAGAUGAAAACCUAGAUGGCUGAUUAUAAAAUGGUAUUGCUUCUGCUCAGUUUGAUACCCAGGCCUGGGUUUACCUUUUAUGCUGCUCCAGCUUAGACAUCAGAGGCGUGAGAGCUGCUUUGAGUUACAGAUCUUCAAACAAUAAGUCAAAACAAAAAAUCAAUCCCCUCCGGUCCCUGGGUGCAGUUAUCGAAAGAUAAAAGAGAAAAAUAAAGUUAUGCUAAAGUAGAUAGAGGAAAGGAGCAGAUAUGCCAAGGAAACACGGAGGACAAGUGCAGAGUUGAAGUGGGCCUCAUAUGAGCCAACAUCAAUGAAUUUUUAUCUUAUCAAAAAGUUUUAGGGUUGCCAGUUCUUUUCAAACUGGAUCCAGUCUGCUCCAGGGCUGCCUGGAGCGUUGGCUUCAAUGAAGUUGCUUUUCCCCCCUCCCUCUAAAAUAUAACCACAUAGGAAUUAGACUGCAUUUCACUCAAGGUAUAAAACUUGCCACAGACUUCGACGGCAAAUUAGGGGUUUUGAUAAUCCCUUGAUAUUUUGAAUAUAAAUUGAGGGGAGUGUGUGUGUGUGUAUUUUUAUGUUUAUUGAAAGCUGAGAUUUACAUGAAAAGUAAGGCAAAUCUCUAUAGUGUGUUUUUGCUUCAAGCCAAAUUUCUAAGGAGAGCUAGAAAGUCCCCAUGAAUUCUUUUUGAGGUAAGAAAUCUGUGUUUUUCCUCUGUUUCUUGUGGGUAAUGUCAGAUAUUUUUGGAUAUUAAUUAUAACUAUCUGAACCAUUUUAGAUGGUAUUUUAACAUAUGAGCCAGUAUAUAUUUUUAUGAAUCCAAGUUAUAGUUUGAAAAAAAAGCCUUACAUUUUUACAUAUUUUUAGAAAACAAUAAACUAGUUUACUCAAUUGUUUUACAGCUGUAAAUGUUUGUGAGAUGAUCCUAGUUCCUCUAUUAACGUCCCUAAAGGUCUCUCACAAAAUGGCAGCACAUAUUUCAUUCUUGUCCUUCCCUUUGCUUCCUCUUUGUUUUCCUUACCGAGAGAGUCAUGUUCCUGAGCUAAUGCCAGCAGGGCCAGCAGGGCCAGGGUGGAGGUCCAGGCUCUGCAUCCACCUCCCUAACCACUGUGGAGCCCGGCCUGCACCUUGCCCUGUGAUCUGUGCUGGACAUAGUCACAUUUAACAGCCCUUCAAGUUUCCAGGUUUUAAGGGAGAAAAGGAUAGUUAGCUUGGCAUUGUAGAUGUAGAUGCCAUGCUAUUUAAAGAUGCAUGUUCUAUAUAUAAACUCUAGUUAAUCAUUUGACUAAAACCAUCAUAACUUUCCUUUGCAUAGUUCAGAUGAUUCAUUGUUUUGAAAACUAUGUAAACUCAAAUGGAAAACAACCACGCACUGAUGGUUGCAACUUAUAUUUCCCAGUAUAGAGUUAAUGAGCAGAAAAAUGGCAGAGCCGCUUCCACACAUCUAAGGCUGAACAUUUCUUGGAACUAUUAAUGAAUGUACUUUACUGUAAACAUUGAAGCUUAGCAGUAUGUUCUAUAGGCCCUGAGAAGAGGGGAAUGAAGAUUCUUUCUAGUUUCUUACAAUUAUACCAUGGCAGGGAAUCUCAGUCUGUAUUUUUAGGUAUUUGUCCUCCAACUCUCCUUCAGGCCUGGUUCAGCUAGCAUUUCCAGUCCAGUCUCUACCAUUUCCUAUCCGUAAUCCAUCCUUGUUAUCCUUCCAGGCUACUUAGAGGAUGUUGCUACGAGUGGCUUCAUGUUUACAUGCAAGGAAGGGAAGGCAGAGGAGGAAAAUGGGGCAUGGUGGCACAUGUAGGUCACAUAGGCAUCAUGCGUCAGCAAGCUCCGUUCUGUCCCCCAUGGAAGCAUCUUUGAAUUCCUGAUGUUCUCAGCCCUAAAUUCUCAGCUCUUCUAUUCUCAUAUAGGCAGUGGCAACUUCAAGGCGUUUGGAGGAGUUGGGGCUAGCCCCCAUAAUCUCCAGCAAUACCCUUCACCACCCCAAAUAAACACCUUUGCUAAGUAAAAAUAUUCUUCAGAUACAGCAUUUACUUCAAUCUUGCAACCAGAUUGCUGUUCCUAAGCCCCCUUUGUGUAGAAAUGUAUAUGCUAGGUAAGCUGUCAGGCAUACUCGUGUGUGUGUGUGUGUGUGUGUAUACACACACAUACACACCUGUACAUAUAAUGCAGUGUUUAAAGCUCAUGAGUCAGAUUGCCUGUGCUUGAAUUUCACUGCCAUGCAAGUUCCUAAAGCAUUAUAAUGCUCACUUUCCUUAUCUGUAUAAUGGGAGUAAUCAUAGUAGCGACCCAUAGGCUUGUGUAAAGGCAAUGCAAAUACAGAGCAUACUUGAUACCUCUUUUUGUUGUUGGAAAAUAACAAUUCCAUUCCAUACAUCAUGAAAACAUUAUUUGCAUUUCAUUACUGACCUUUUGAGAUGUACUCUUUCAUCUAUUUAUUUUAUACAUAUUUGAUAUUCGAAAUUCCACAUUUGACCAGCUCCCCGAGUAGAGGCCAUGGGUGGAGGAAAGAACUGAGUCCAACAAGUCUCAUCUAAACCUGUAUUUCUGUUGAAGAAGCAAAAAUAGGAGAUUUUGUUGGGGUCAUCCUAAAGGCUGCAUAAUCAUGAGAGAAAAUUAUGUGGUUAAUAAUUUGUUAACCUCUUAGGUUUCAGUAAUUUGGAAUUUAGGAAAGCAAAAUCAUAGUUCACAUUUUUCCCUAGUCUUUUUAAUGUUAAUAUACUAAAGGAAAUUAUAUAUCUCUUUCAAAGGAAAAAUGUUUUAAAAUUAGGUGAAUGUUAUAUUUUGGCAUGUUAUAUUGGGUUGAUAUAUUCUAUAGGACAAUAUUAAGUUUUUAUUACAGAGUCUAUGAGUGUGCAAUUCAUUAGCAUUUGGAAUGGUAACAGGAAAACCAUAUUCAAAUAUUUUGAAUCACAAAAUAUAAAUUAGGAUCUAAAAUUUAUAAUAUUCAGGGAUAUGAUGGGUGAGAUGAGCAAGAUUCAAGUUAAUAGAUUAUUAUAGUCUUCUGAAUAGUACCAGACUCUGGACAGCAAAGUAACCAAUACCGUUCCUUCCUACAUUCAGACUUUGCUCUUCUUCCCCCCAGCACACACAGCCUCUAAUCCUCAUGCCAACAAAUCAGUGCCACUUUCCUCUUUUCCUAUCUUUGAGGGCAUUUUUAUCACAUAAAAACUCCACAUUGAAAAAUCUAAGUUGUAGUAUGAAGAUAGCUUUAUGAUGUUUAAAAUAUUACUUGGACUUUCUGUUUUAAUUGCUUUUUUGAUUGCAUGAAUCAGUUUUUUUAGUGGUGAUUUCUGAGAUUUUGUUGUAUCCAUCACCAGAGCAGUGUACACUGCACCCAGUGUGGAGUCUUUUAUCCCUCACCCCACUCCCACCCUUUCCCCUGAGUCCCCAAAGUCCAUUGUAUUAUUCUUACGCCUUUGCAAUAGACUUUCUGUUUUAAUAGGAAAUUGCUAGCUUUGAUGAUUUGUGAUGUUUUGUAAAAAAUGUUGAAAAUAACUAUUUAAAAAACUAUUCUUCGUAGCUUCAAAAUUCUGUACUGUUUGAAGAAUAAUUACAAUACUUAUUUAGGGAGAGGCACCAAAUACAUAUUUUAACUAACAUUAAAGUCAAUUUUAAAGUACUUACAAUAAAGAAAAAGUUGACUUUUUAAUAAGCCAGAAGAAACUUAGUCUGGGUUAAAUAGCUUUAUCCUUAGCAAAAAUGACCAGACAACCUCUCAGAAUUUUAAAGGAAGACUUAGAGCCCUUAUUGGUAGCUAUUUAGUUUUCAAUGACUACAUACUUAUAUAAUUUCAUAAAAAUUAUUGGAAGUUAUUUCCCUUUUUACCCUUGGAUAUUUUGAGUUAGAACAUUAUUUUUAAAAUCUUAUAAGCACAGUAGGGUAAAUAAUCACAAACAUUUAUGUUUUUUAAAGAAAAAGACACCUUACUGAAGGGCAAAUGACCCUAUAUUAUUAGAUUUAACUAUUCAGUCACCGUAAGAAUUACAAUAGCAUGUUUUAUACAAUGUGUGAAUCGUAACUCUAGGUCUGCAGUUAUAAGACCCCUGAAAGGCAAACUUCUGGCAUUUGAUCAUAUGUAUUGCUGAACUUUCCAGAUCUGGGUGGGGUAUCCAAACCUGGAAUUGUUAUAAUACUAUGCAGCAUAAGCAUCUAAAGUUUAAAAAAAAAAAAAAAAAGGAAAUUUAAGGAGAUGAGAAGUAUUUGAACUGGCAAUAUGCUAUAUAACUGUACAUGUUUUUAUAAAGAUUAAUCCUUUGAUUUUAGAAUACUUGGUCAAAUAGCCAGUAGAAUUUAAGUUUUGAAGGUUUUGGGGGGAAUACGCAUAUAGUAGAAGGACAAAGCAGAAAUGGUUAAGAAAGAUACGAAUUUUAUAGCAUGCUAAACCAACACCACGUGAAAUUUUAUAGGUGCAGGUUCUUUAUGGAACUUCUAAUGUUUGCACAUUUAUUUUAGAAAAAAUGAACUAUGCUUCUGAAAGUUAUUUUACAUUUAAGUUCAGAGUUAUUUCCUGUUUUCUUCUCUUGUCUACCAUAACUUGUUUUGUUUUUUUCUACCUGAAUUUUAACCCUUGAAAGAUUUCAUUAUUUUCACAUCACAUCAUCACCUUCCCCUGAGCAGCUGAGACCAGUUUUUGCUCAUUCAACCUGUUUGUGUAGUAAUUUUGUGACUGAUUUUCUUCAUGUAUGGGCAAGGAAGAAGUCAUACUGUUUGUACAGUUCACAUUUGGGCAGGAUUGGGGGAAAGGGGGAUGAAGCCAAAAAGAAAAAGUUCUUGGAGCCAGCCCAUGGGGUGCGUGGGAGGAGAGCAGAAGGAAUUGCAGGCUCCAAGCAGGUUAGCUUGAAGGACUCACAGUGGAUAAUUACCUACACUAUAUGGCUGGAGGAGGGCUACAAGUCUCCACUUGCCUAAAAACAACUCCCCCGCUGGCAGGCCAUUGAAGUGUCACUCAGCCAGCUUCCUUACCCCCAGUUCCCACUGCUAGAGGCUCUCCAUAGACAAAGCAGGGCGUUGUUGCCUAGAGGCCCCUGUUCUUGCCGGCUAGCAGACACAGCACUGUACCUCUCCUGGGGCAUGCCAGUCCCCCAGUGGGAAUAACUCCCUCCACCUUCACUCUCGCCAUCCUGAGCCUCCACUGGAAGGGAUGCUUGCAUUUCAGGGCCAUCACCAGAAAUAGAUGGAAGCACAUCUCCAUCUGUAUUUGAGCCUGCUGUCAUUUGCCUCCUCCUACCCUUUAUCACUCUUCCAGGCUAAACAGUCUUAAUUCUCCGUGCCUGCUGGUUUCAGAACGUUUGCUGUUGUGGCCCCACUCCUAGUUACAUUCUUUGUUUUGGCCCAAUAAAAGUUUGGGUUUUGAAGUACACUCAGUGCUUCAGAUUGAGCUGGCCCCCCACAGGAUAGGAGUGGUCUGUAGCUUCCCUCAUUCUGGAUGUUUGAGUUCCAUUAAUGCGCUGCAGGUUUUAGAGUCUUAAUAGCGUCUUGACACCUGGGCUCAAAGUAGAUUUUAGGCAGCUAAAACUCCUGUCUUCCUCUAACAAGUUUGGUUUAUGGACCCAUCAACUUGCAAUGUUUUAUUGUAAUCUAUAUUAGCACCCCCCUUCUCAAUUCACUUGGUCACUUUAGUCAUUUGGGGUCUUUUUGGACCUAGUGAUGUAGUGUUUUUUAUUCCUUCCAUUUUCUUGUCAUAUGGGAAUUUGAAAGGCAGGCAUCUGUAUCCCUUUUAAAGUCAUUGAUUAAAAUGUAUGAAGAAGCAGGGAUGCUGGGUGGGUUAUCAUUACCCUUUGAGUAUAUGAAAGGGUUCUGCUUCAACUUGGGAAUCAGAUAAGAAUCCUGGAUCUCCCUUUGGCUUGCUAUGUGACCUUGAGCCAUUUACUUUAACUUCUCAGGGUUUUAAUUUCCUCAUGUAUAAAACGAUGUUACCUCCUACUUCAUAGAGCAGAGUGAGGAAUGGAGAGUAUGCAUGCAAACCAUCAGAUGUGCCUAGCACAUUGUAAUGGGCAAUACGUGCUCUUUUUUAUCCUGUUUUGGAAUCACAUUGAUAAGAGUUUAAUCCUUCAUCUGUAUGUCUUGAUGUAUUUGGAAUAACUCUGUGUGGCCCAUCAGCUUCUCCAGUCUCCUCUUUUCUAGGAUGGAGUGCCAGUGCUGUAGCCUGCUCCUCCAGUGCCCUGUAUUAUUCUACAUUUGAACUUUAAAUAAAGAAAGAAAGCUGCUCUGGAUGAGCAGUAGAGCCCUAUUCUAGCCCUCUUUGAUUACACUAGGUUAAUUUGUCAGUUGAUAAUUUAGAAGUAUGACGUGUGGAGGCACAGUGGAUAAGGGAGAAGUGUAAGAGCUGUCUUCCAAUAGUGGAAGGACUGCUAGCAUGGAAGAGGAAGUGGACUUACUUGUGUAUUCACUGAGGACAAAAUAAUAUAUGUCCACAGUUCUUUAUUUGUAAAUUUGGAAUUGAAAGAUAUGUGAAAGUUGAUUUUUUUUUUUUUUGGUAAAUUUGGUGGCAAAAUCCAACUUUAAUUAAUGUGAAGUUAUUUAUAUAUACUCGUUAGCCCACUAAUUGUGAAUAUUUAUAUGCUUCACUGCGAAAAUACAAAUGUGUUUGAUGAUGGAGUGCUUCCCUGGACCCCACUGGGGAGAGUAUAAAACACACAGUAUGUGUGCCCUAUCUAAAACCUGAAAAAUUAAGUUGUAAGACGUGCAGCCCCAAGGAUUUCAGAUAAGAGAUUAGGGGCCUGUACCAAUGAGUAGAUAGAAGUCUUGGCAAAUAGAACCAAGUUUAAGGAAGACAUCCUCACAUAUAUGACAAUAAAAUGAGAUUAUUUUCUGAUGUAAUGAAUCUCAGACACAGAUCAUUCAUGGUGGAGGUGAGGGUUGCCAUGAAACCAUCUAUUAAGGAUGUUAUCAAAGGAGUUUAUUGAGUAGGAAACUGGACCUCUAAAGUCCGUCCCAACCCCGCAUUUAUUGAUUUAAAAGACACAGUUUUGCCAGUGCAGUGGGCACAUGCCUGUAGUCUCAGAGGCAGGAGAAUCACUUGAGCCCAGGAGUUCGAGUCCAGUUUGGACAACACAGCAAGACCCCAUUUCCUUAAAGAAAUUUUUUUUUAAAGGACAUAGUUUUAGUCCUAGGUGGAUGAGCUCCAACAGAGGUUUCUCUGAUAGACUGAGCUUACAGCCCUGGCCCAUUCUGAGAAUUAGGCCAUAAACUGAACAUGGGACACUAUGCUGGAGAGUACAGGCACCUAAUGAAGGACGAGUCUGUAAUUGCUUAACAUGUAUUACUUGUAUUCCAUGAUUACAUAGUCACUGUCACAUUUAAAUAAAAGUUACAUGAUAAACUCUCAUUUAAUAAGGUUGAUCUAACCCAGUGGUUUUCAAAGUGUGGUCUCCAGAUCAGCCACAUCGGCAUCACCUGGGAACUUGUUGCAGAUGCUGGGGCGGGCGGAUCACGAGGUCAUGAGUUUGAGACCAGCCUGACCAACAUGGUGAAACCCUGUCUCCACUAAAAAUCCAAAAAUUAGCCAGGCAUGGUGGUGUGUGGCUGUAAUCCCAGCUACUCGGGAGGCUGAGGCAGGAGAAGCGCUUGAACCUGGGAGGUGGAGGUUGCAGUGAGCCGAGACUGCACCACUGCACUCCAGCCUGGGCGACAGAGCGAGACUCCAUUUCAAAAAAAGAAAAAAAAGAAAUGCAGAUUUCAGGCUGGAUGCAUCUGUAAUCCCAACACUUUGGGAGGUAGGGGCAGGCAGAUUGCUUGAACCCAGGGGUUGGAGACAAGCCUGGGCAACAUGGGGAAACCCCAUCUCUAUUAAAAAAUACAAAAAAUUAGGUGGGUGUUGUGGUACAUGCCUAUAGUUCUAGCUACUCAGGAGGCUGAGCGGGGAGGAUGGUUGGAGCCUGGGGAAGUGGAGGUUGCAGUGAGCUGAGAUUGUGCCAUUGCACUCUAGCCUGGGUGACAGAGCAAGACCCUGCCUCAAAAAAAAAAAAAAAAAAAAAAAAAAGGCAGAUUUUCGCUCUCAUCCCAUAUCUAUUGAGAAUGCUGUAGUUGAGGGUUGUUAGAAAACUGCAUUUUAUUAAAAUCCCUCCAGGUGAUUCUGAUGCAGGCUAGUUCAGUAAACAAUAUCAACUAGUUUUCAUAAAGAAAACCUCUGGAGGGCCCAUAGUGCCUGCACUCCAGGUCUCAAAGUAUACUUUGAGAUCUAGGUUAUCUGCCAAGGUGCUAUCCUGAAAGGACUCUAAAUGAGACUCGAGUUGCAAAAACAGAAUAGAAGAGGAAAAAGGGAUUCUAAUUGGGAUGCCAAGACAAAGCUUUCUGGGAAGUAUGUGCUUUAAGACAUGGGUAAGAUUUUGAGGGGGUACAGAAUGGGAUAGUAUUCCUUGCUGAAGGAAGAGAACAGUAAAACCUCUUCAUUGGCUGGGGAACAGAAUCGUCUCCAGAAUGUCAGUGGGAAUACAAUACUAACAAGGGAGAGCUCCUAUCAGCCGGACUAGUUAAUUAUGUUUUUUACAUAAUGUGAAUAUGAAAUAAAUUCUUUUUGGACCCAAAUACCUGCCUUUAUCCUUAUUAAGGGUAGGCACAUCAGUCUAGUCCUGUGAUACAUUUUGGAUUCCUGAAGCUGUAGCCCCAUUGCCUAAUUAGAUCCUCAUCCAAAUUGUCAAUAAAAACGUUUACCUUGAAUUUGAAAUUUCCUUCCAGGUUGACCUAAAUCCUAAUACUGCUUCAGUGCAUUUUGUUGCACUAGAAAGAAAUAACCCUGAUUUCAUAUGUGGUUUUAUACAACCAGUAUUUCAUUGAACUCACUGUUAUAUCAUCAUACCCUAUACAACGCACCUUAGUUUUUUUUACUGGGAGUUUUUACAUUUUAAGCUUUUUAUGAGAUAUGUUUGAUACAAUAAGCUGCAUAAAGGCAGGGUUUUAUCUAGGACUCUUAGCAUGUCAGAAACUAAAAAAAAGUUAUGUUUCCAAAGAGCCCAUGUCUCAUAGAAGCCAUAAUUGUGCCUAGUAGCUUAUAUCAGCUUGUGUACUACUCAAAAACACAGGCAUUUGGUGGGUAUUCAGCAACCUUGUUUUUCAGACUAUGUAGGCAAUUUGUGGAGAUUGGCUUUGAUGCUGUUGCUUGAGUUUAGAGUGUUUCCAAAUGUCUUUCAGCCAAAAUUAUGUCCAGUGAUAUAUGGAAGUGUGUUUUUGUGGUGGUCUUUUGCAUAGCUGUGUAGGCAUUGUGUAGAUACUCUUGAGUAGAUUUUUAUUUAAAACAUUUUUUUUUUUUUUUUUAGAGAUAGGGUCUUGCUCUGUCACCUCACCCAGGCUGGAGUGCAGUGCCACCAUGAUAGCUCACUGCAGCUUGGACCUCCAAGUUAAAUGCCUAGCUAAUUUUUAAAACAUUUUUAAAUAGAAACGGGUCCUUGCUAUGUUGCUCAGGCUGGUCUCAAACUCCUGGCCUGAAGUGAUCCUCCUACCUUGGCCUUCCAGAGCACUGGGAUUACAGGCAUGAGCCACUGCUUGAGUAGUUUAAAUUAAAAUAAGCUGGAUGUAGUGGCGCCACCUGUAGUCCCAGCUGCUCUGGCGGCUGAGGCGGAGGAUCACUUGAGUCCAGGAGUUUGAAUUCAGCCUGGAAAAUACACUGAGACUCCUAAAAAAAAAGAUAAAUAAAAAAUAACCUGGGAGGAAAGAUACAGUAGUUUGGUGAAAAGCUUCCUAGGUGAUUUAAAUUAAAGAAAAUAUUUCUCUUUAGCACCUUACUACCACCACCACCAAAAUGCAGUAGUUUAAUAUUGUUCAAGAAAAAAAAUUUUGUAUGCCUCAUUAAUUUUCUUUCUUCACUUGUUAGUGGAGUGUUUAAGUUCUAAGAAGCAACUUGGGAAGGGCAAGGAAGGGAAUGUGUUAUUUUACAUUUAGUAGCAAUUUAACUGGAAAGUCUUUUUUUUUUUUUUGAGUCGGAGUCUCACUUUGUUGCCCAGGCUGGAGUGCAGUGGCAUGAUCUUCGCUCACUGCAACCUCUGCCUCCUGGGUUCAAAGGAUUCUCCCACCUCAGCCUCCCUAGUACCUGGGAUUACAGGUGCACACCACCACACCUUGCCAUUUUUUUUUUUUUUUUUGUAUUUUUAGUAGAGACAGGGUUUCACCAAUUGACUAGGCUGGUCUUGAACUCCUGACCUCAAGUGAUUUGCCUGCCUUAGCCUCACAAAGUGCUAGGAUUGCAGGCAUGAGCCACCACGCCUGGCCUGGAAGGUCUUUUGAUGAGCCAUAAACAGUUAAUAAUAUCAUCUUAGGCUGAUAGUGCAGCAUCAUAGGACUGGCAAGUAACAUAAGAGAGCAUUCUUGUGCCUUUAAGGAUCUCAUCAAAAUUAUCCAGGUAGAUAGUUAUCUGUCAAACUCUUAAUGGUCUCAUUUAAGGAGAAUCAUAUAAGCAGUCUUAAAUAACUGGUUCUGGUCACCAGUGUUAUCAUCUGUCCUCCUCUUUUUUUAGCCUUAAUUCCAAUUGCUGCUCUGCAUGUCCUUGUAUGAAGGGAGUGAUUUGAAGGGCUAUUUUAGCUCACCCUAAAACUCAAAGGGAAGUAUAUGAAGUAGUAUUUUCCUCUAGGUGAUUAUUGGAAUUGAUCUUAUGGAAGAAAAGAAAUGAAAAAUGGGAUCACUAUUGAAUACCUUGGUUGUCAUUCACCCUGUAAAUAGUAUCGUUACUCAUAACACAGCUUAAGAGGACCAUGUUUCUUUCCUAAAUAGACACCAUUUGUUAUUGGUACUUGAGAAACACUAAGAAAAUUGUUCAAAGCAUACACAGUGUGAUUCCUAUGUGUAAUCACAAUGUGAUUAUACCCUACUAAGUACCCAAAUUUGUAUCACAUUUUUUGUGCCUAGGAUUUGCAGCCACCUUUUACUAACAUAAACUAAGCAUGUUUCUAACUUUAUUCAACAAUUAGAAUGCCAAGGUAUGACCUUUUUAUUAAUGAGGAAUAUUUUGUUAUUGAAAAGACUUACAGAGAAUGAGCAGAACAACCUUAGUUUCGUUGUUUAUGAAGUGGAACAUGCUGGCAAGGUUUUUGUUCUCUAUCUGGAAUUUUCUCAGAAUCCAGAAAAGUGUUGUUUUACUUGGAUUGUUCUCUCUCUCCUUUGCUUCUCCAUUAUUCAUGAAGGACCAUGUUUUUAUAGAACAAAGCAUUCAAAAUUUAUGCAAUCCAUACAUGUUUUGAGUUUCUAACUAUUACAGGAAAAAUUAUUACCCUGAGGCUUAGAGAAACCAUGAUUCAGUGAUAUUUUUUCUUCCUAAAAUUAUAAUUUGCUUUGGAAUUCCAGUGCUCUUGGAAUGCUAGAGGUAAAGAAAGCAUUCUAAUUGGCCACUGGUUCUUGGGAAUGGAAAGGGUUUGUGUUUUUUGACCUCCUUCUAGUGAUUUGGUUGACUAAUCUACAUUUUAUGGUAGAAACAAUGUGGAGUUGACCAGAGCUCCAUAUACUCAGAAGGACUUUGAAGUGACCCCAGUCCUGCAGAGGUGUUAAAAGGAACUUUCUGCUGUGUAUUCCCAUAGAAGCAGCAGAUUCAGUAAUGAGAGGAGUUUGAGGAAGAAUAGAAGCAGAAGGGAUGUCCUGAUUCAGCUUUGAGUGGUUGGAAAGGAGGAACUGAUGAAGCUGGUGCCCAGUGGACCCUCUCCGGGAUUUUUCCUGGCCUGAUUUUUUAAAGUAAAAAUGUUAGCCUGUAAUUUGGUAAAUAUUCUUUCAUCUGUAAUAAUAUUUAUUUGAUUGUUAGAGACAACCACUUAUGAUGGACAUUUUUAUGGGUUUCUUCUCUUCUUCUUUGUCUUUUAAUCUCUAUUAAACCAACAACAAAGGAAAUAUAUUUAACUGUACUGCCCUGAUAGAGAACUCUUCUCAUGAUUUACAAUUUUUUCUAGUCCUGCCCAUAUACAUAGGUAUUGUGUACAUUUUUUAGUCUUACCUGAUUAGGAUUAUAAUAAUCAAUAGGUUCAUACCGAUUAUCUUUUCAAUAGGUAUGGCUUCUGUAUCUUUAUGUAUUUGUUUGCUAGCUCAAAUGAACAUAUUUUACAUGUUAGAAAAGAGCUCCUUUAGAAUCAGCCUUAAAAUAAGUAAUGUCUUUCCAAAGGGCAAAAGAAAGUCUAAAUCAUAACUUCAGUCAUCAGUUUAUCGUAGAAAAAAAAAAAAGCCCUUCCUCAGUCUGCUUUUUUCCCUUGAGAAUUUUAAUCCCACCUUGUUUUUCUGCCAGUGACUUACUGAUAUCUUGCCAAGCUUUUAUGAAGUUUUUUUAAUGAUAAAUAAUUUUGUUUAUGUUGUAAUCAUUGACAUUUAGGAGCUCUUGUUCCACUUUGUUCAUCUUUUUGUUGUUUUUCUUAAACCCAUAACCGGUGUUUAGAGGGCAGGACUGAAGAUUCUUGUGAAGGUCCUGACUUGAUUGCUGGACUCUGCUGCCACUAGUAAAAUUUCCUUGGUGAGAACUCUGCUCCCUCCCAAAUAGGUGAAUACUCUCACUUUCAUAAUAGAGUUUGCAUGUGUAUUUAUUUUGAGACUCUGCCAUUCUCUCCUGAGAAUGGUACAUAAUGGUACAUAUUUAUUAUGUCUUUGAACUAAUGCACUGAACUUACUGGUAUUCACUGUAUUUAUCAAUUCAAAUUAUGCAGUGAAUACCAUUAUUUGACACAAUAAAUAUAACACAUAAGCAAACCUCCAGUGGUUGGAGAGUUAAGGAAGUAGAGCCUGUAGGGCUGAAAUGGUCAGGACAGACCCUACAGAGAGGAUUCAGGGCCAUGUGGAAACUCCAGAAAAAGGGAUGCAAGGACAAACACCCAAUCCCUGACCUCAUUCUUUUUGCCUAGUCCCAAACCCUUCAGAUCUUAAAUUUCUGUUUCCCAUAAUCCAGACUUUUUGUCUUGUACAAGCUACAUACCCCCCUGUUGCAUCUCUAAGUUCUCUUGACUGUAAUUUUCCUGCUAUUUAUAUUCCUAAAAUCUUUGGUUUCCUACAGUCACGAUAAUUUAUUUUCCGCUUAAAUAAGUGAGAAAUGGCUAGAUACUCUGCCAAAGUAAGUGAGAUGAGCUAUGAAACCUGUUCAGAAUACUAGCAGUAGUCCCACUGAGGUGGUUUUCAAGUAGAAAGGGAGAAGGAGAGAGAACAUAACAUUUAUGUCAACACGAUUGUAAUUGUACAUAAUUUGUCAUGAGUGAAUCCCUGGGUUUGCUUUUUUCUUGCCACUUCUUUCUCCAGUUCUCUCUUUAGCCUAUCCCUGGAGAGUCACAUGAGAUUCAGCUUCAGUGAUAUAUAUAGCAGCAUUCAGGCAGUAAACAUUUCCGUAGAUGCACAACUUUAUAAAUAACAUAAGUAAUUUGUAGAUAUUUUUAUUCCUUUAGCAGUCUCCUAGAUUAAAGGGUUUUGACAUGACAUGAGGAGCCUUCCCAAAAAAGAACCCAAAGAAUUAACUUGUCAAAUGAGAAGUCCCACGUCUGAUCACUGAGCCUCUCCCCAGUUUUAGCAUUCUGUUCUUGGCCUCUGGGCCUUCACCUGCACUGUUUUUUUCUGCCAAAAUGAGCCCCCAUUACACAUGAAAAACUCCUACUUCCAGCUCCUAUGUCUCCUGAGAAGCAUUCUUCUAGCCCCUCAUUGGCCAUAUAAUUACCCCUGUAGUAUUUAGUCGAUGACUCACAUACAGCAUUUUCCACAUUGUAUCGAACGUUGUUCAUUUACAUCUCAUCCCCCUCAUUAGAUUACAUACAGAUUCUUAAGGACAGAGAUCAUGUUUGUAUGACUAGCCCCUAAAAUAGAGCUACACACACACACACACACACACACAUAUCAGUAAAUAAUAGAGUAAAUGAAUGACAUUUUCCACCUAUUCUUUUUUUUUUUUUUUUUUUUGAGAGAAAGUCUCCCUUUGUCACCCAGACUGGACUAUAUUGGCGCGAUCAUGGCUGACUGCAAACUCUGCUUCCCGGGUUCAAGCAAUUCUCAUGCCUCAGUCUCCUGAGUGGCUGAAAACUACAGGCAUGCACCAUCAUGCCCGGCUAAUUUUUGUAUUUUUUAGUAGAGACGGUGUUUCACCGUGUUGGCCAGGCUGGUCUCGAACUCCUGUCCUCAAGUGAUUCGCCCUCCUUGGCCACCCAAGGUGCUGGGAUUACAGGCCUGAGCCACCAUACCUGGCUGCUUUUUCCACCUAAUUUUUAUUAAAAAAGAAUAAAAAAAUCAGGAAAUGAGUAUUUUGAGAAACUAUUAAGUUAUAAUUUAUCCUAAUUUAUGAUUAUUCCAAUUGCAUUUUAUCCUGGUUCUUUUAACCACUUUUCUUCAUUCCUAUCACACCCUAAUGUACAUACCAAAGACACAAGAAGAUCAAAUUCUGUAAUCAGUUUAAGUCCUAGUUGGGGACUUAGAUGAAAAAUUUUCAGUGGAGAGAUUGCUAAAACUGACUAAAAUGACUUCUAAAGACUUAUAAAAAUAUCCAUGAAAUCUCUGGUUUUUUUUAUUACUGUCAAAAAUCUAGAAUUGGCUUCUUAUUCAUGUGUAUUUUGCAAUUAAAGAAACUUAUAACUGGAGCUUUAAGUCCUUAGUGGAAAAUGGAAGAGAGUUUCAGAACAUAGUUAUGACCACUAGACUCAGGAAUAGGACUAUUUCCUGAAAUAAACAACAAAAGUAAAAAAAUUCCCUAUUCCAGUAAAGUUGUUUCAUGUACAUCUAAGUACUUAAACAUUGUAAUUGGCAGGUUAUGGUUAGUUUUGUGAAUUUUGUGAAAAAUCUGAUUGGUGUUAACACUGUUAUGAUUAGUAACUUUUCGAACUUAGAGUUUUAAGUAAAACAACAUUUACUUUUUAGGAUCCAUAAUACACCUAGGAUUACCUUAUACAUGAAUCACUGCACAGUCACACUGCUGUACUUAAACUGUUGUGGGUCAGUUGUUUCCAAAAUUUGACUACUAAACUGUUUUCCCAAUAUGCGUGCUAAAAAAAAAAAAAAAUCCCAAGGUGUGUUAUGUACCAAGCAAGUGAUUUUUCUAGAACUUAAAGUUGUAAAAAUCCCUGUAAUAUCAUAAAAACUAUCAGCAAUAUGUACAUAUCUGCUGAACUUUCACAAAUUUUCAUUAAUUUAUUCAGUAAAUUCUCAAACACUAGAUAUUUUACCUGUAAUAGUGGAAAACUGGAAAAUGAUAGCAUGUGGAAGGAUAUAGUUAAAAGAGCUCGAGUCAUACUACUGUAAAUAAUAUUGAUACGGCCGGGUAUGGUGGCUCAUGCCUGUAGUCCGAGCUCUUUGGGAGGCUAAGGUGGGCGGAUCACCUGAGGUCAGGGGUUUUAGAUGAGCCUGGCCAACAUGGCAAAACCCCAUCUCUACUAAAAAUACAAAAUUAACCAGGCGUGGCGGUGGGUGCCUAUAAUCCCAGCUACUCAGGAUGCUGAGGCAGGAAAAUUGCUUGAACCUGGGAGGCAGAGAUUGUAGUGAGCUGAGAUUGCGCCACUGCACUCCAGCCUGGGCGAUAGAGCAAGACUCUGCCUCAAAAAUAAAUAAAUAAAAAUAAAUAAAUAAAUAAAGGUACACAGAUGACAAAAUUAUAUUGAAUUGAUAAAUGCAGUGAAUACCAGUAAGUUCAGUGCAUUAGUUCAGAGACAUAAUUACUGGCCUAUCAUGGGAAAAUAUGUUGGUAUGUUAGAAUUCUAAGUCAGAAUGAGCUAAACUCUAUAUGAUUAGCCUUUUAGUAGAGAGGUCAUUUCAGAUAUAACCAGUCAAGAAUAAUGACUCCCACGGGUUGGUAACAGCUAUGCCCCAUCCAAGUGUAUGGAACAAACCUAGUGAUACCUAGAAAGGAGUGUUAGAAAAUCUGUUUUAGUCCUAGGUCCAAGUUGACCUUUGGACAAAUUACUUGAAGACAAAAGAAUGUGGAAAUCUGCAAAAGCUCUGCAAUCUUAAAGUGUUUUCAUAACUUUUAUGUGGUGGCCCAAACUGACCAAAAUUAAGACUUUUUAUAGCCUUGUCUUUCCUACUUGGAUGUUUCGCUAAAGCAAUGUUCAUGUUCCGGGCGCGGUGACUCAUGCCUGUAAUCCCAGCACUUUGGGAGGCCGAGGCAGGUGGAUCACAAGGUCAGGGGUUUGAGACCAGCCUGGCCAACAUGGUGAAACCCUGCCUCUAUUAAAAAUACAAAAAUUAGCCGGGUGUGGUGGCGUACACCUGUAGUUCCAGCUACUUGGGAGGCUGAGGCAGGAGAAUCACUUGAACUCAGGAGGCGGAGGUUGCAGUGAGCCUAGACUGCACCAUUGCACUCCAGCCUGGGGGACAGAGCAAGAUUCCAUCUCAAAAAAAAAAAAAUGUUCAUGUAUCUGUUUAAGGGGUAUAUACUCCCCACACUUUGCUGGGGGUGUUACAUAAUAUAUAAUGUGCAUUCUGUAUUUUCAUAUAUGUGAAUAUUUUGGAAACUGAAAAAAUAUCUGGCUUUGUGGGUUUCAUCUAACACAUAUGGACCAAAAUAUCAGUUAUCUCAUGUAAAUUAGAAUAAUAAUACCAUACAAUCUUGCUAAGAGAAAAGUUUUUUGUUUUUAAUUUUUUAAGGUAGAGUCUCUCUGUUCCACAGGCUGGAGUGCAAUCAUAGCUCACUGAAGCCUCAACCUCCUGGGCUCAAGCUAUCCUCCCACAUCAGCCUCUGGAGUAGCAGGGGCUACAGGGGCAUGCCAUCACACAUGGCUAUUUUUAGUUUUUAUUUUUUUGUAGAGAUGGGGGUUUCUCUAUGUUGUCCAAGCUGGUCUUGAACUCCUGGCCUCAGGUGAUCCUCCUGUCUCAGCCUCCCAAAUUGCUGGGAUUUACAGGCAUGAGCCACUGCACCUGGCCCAGAAAAGUUUUUGAUAUCAGAUUAUAGAUUGUUAAUUUUAGAUUUAAAGCUGAUAUUAGGCAUCUUAAAAAUUGGUGUUCUGGCAUUAUGGUAGAUGUGAUACCCUAAGCAACAUCUGCUGAAGUAAACUAAAAAUAUGGAGAUACAUUUUACUCACACACACACACAAAUAUCACAUAUACAUAAUACAUACUCACAAACAUGCAUACACAUAUCCAAUCUGUAAAGUUUUUUCCCCAAAAUAUACAUUUUGAAUGCAUCCAUGAGCGGACUGAAAGUUAAGGGUACUCAGAAAGCAGUAAAUGGACCAUUAAAGCUGGCUGUUGUAGAAUGUGAUGAACCAGGCUUCAGAUUCUAUCUUGUAGGGUACGCAGGAUAAAAAGUAGACUAAUAGGUUUAAAAAAAAAAAAAAAAAAAAAAAAAAACCAACCCUAGCAGAAAGCUGGGGUCCCAAAGGCUAUAUCUUUAGAGUAAAGGCAAACUAGAAAUAAACCUACCUUCCCAGGGAACUGCAGUGAAAAUUUCUUGUCUCAAGUGCUGUCACUGACUAGAAGAAGAAAAAUGCUGUCCUGAGAAUUAUAACUGCAGCUGGCUUUCAUGCAGGUUUGCAGUCUUAGUUCAUAUUAUCAAGGGUGACCGAAGGACCCCAAGCUGAGAAUUUCCUCAACAGAGAUCUGGUUUUGUAAUGCUCCACAGCAUAUGGCAGAAGUGAAGACAGAUUCAUUCUGGAAGCACAUACUAUAUAGGCCUCAAGUAAUUUCUGCAGAUAAACUUAAAAGAAAUGGACACUUACAGUAAAGAAAAAGAAAAAAGAAUAGAAAAUCACAACACACAGGAAACAUGGCCCCAUGAGCCAAAGUCAACAUAUGCAGUUGAGUCAGACAAAAAUCUUUAAAUCUGUGUUGUCGUAAGUGUUAUCCAACAUGGUAGUUACUACAUGCAUGUGACUGUUGAGCACUUAAUUAGUGUAACUGAGAAACUGAAUAUUUACUUUUAUUUAAUAUUAAGUUAAAUAGCUACAUAGCUGAUGACUAUUCCAUUGGGCAGUGCAGCUUUAGAAAAUAGAAUUAUUGGCUGGGCAUGGUGGCUCACACCUUUAUUCUCAGCACUUUAGGAGGCCAAGGUCGGAGGAUUGCUUGAGUCCAGGAUUUCGAGACCAGCCUGGGCAACAUAGUGGGACCCCAUGUCUACAAAAAAUAAAAAUAAAAAUAAAUUAGCUGGGCAUGGUGGUGCACGCUUGUAGUCCCAGCUACUCAAGAGGCUGAGGUAGAAGGAUCACUUGAGCCCAAGAGGUCGAGGCUGCAGUGAGGCUGCAGUGAACCACUGCACUCCAGCCUGGGUGACAAAGUGAGACUCUGUCUCAAAAACAAAAACAAAAAUGAAUGGGUGGUAACAGCAGAUUAGACCUGACUAAAUUAAUGAAACGAGGGAUCUGAAGAAAUUAUGCAGAAUUAUAGAGACCAAAAGGAAAAUUAUGAAAGGUAUGAAAAAAAUACGCCAUGAUCAACCCAGAAUAAGCUGAUGGAACUAUGAUAAUAACAGAUAAAGGAAGAUAUAAUUCUGAAUCAUUAUGCAUAUAAUAAUGUAACUUUAAGAUCUAUAAAGGAAAAAUGGACCAGAACCACAAAGACAAAUCUACUUUCUAGUAAGAGAUUUCAACUUAUCUCUAUCAGUAGUUAGUAAAUCAGCAGGAGCCCCCUACCACCUUAAAAAAGUAAAUAGGCUAUAAAAGAUUUGAACAACCAUUAAGAUUGAUCAAAUGGGUUAUAUGAGCUGCUAUAUCCAACAACUCUAGAAUAUAAAAUAUUGGGCCAUGAAUAGUGUGUUAAAAAACUUCAAAGGAUUAGUUGUGACACAGACCAUAUUCUCUGCUCAGAAAACCAUUAAUUUAGAAGGAAACAACUAGAAAAACCCUUAUUUAUCAAUAAGGAAAACUCUUCAAAGGUCAAAGAAAAGAUUUCAGGACUGAAUGGUAAUAAAAAGUUUACAUAUCAAAACCAGUGAUGUGCAGCCAACAGGUACUUAGAGGAAAGUUAUGGCAUUAAGUAGUUAUACCAGCAAAUAAAGACUAAAAGGUGCAGUAAAAAUGUGGUGGAUCAAAGAGAAUGAAUGAGGCAUGAAGAAUGAUUGUAGCACAGUGCAGGCAGGGACUAGUGGCCUUUGCUGCUAGCAGUCCUUUGGCCCCUGUAUUUUUGGAGAGUGCUCAUUGACAUUGUUAGGUGUGAGUUUUUUAAGAUCUUGGCCAGAAAAUGUUAUCCAAGUUAUUGGCAAUAACUGGUCUAGCAAGUAAGAACAUGAAAGUGACAACUCUGUAAUGCCCGAAAUACUGAGGUGUAAUUGGCUUGUGCAUUGGUAUCUGUAUUUUUCCUCAAGAGUUAAAAAAUUCAGCUCCUUUUGUUGAGUAUAUCAGUAGCAGCAGCAUUGGUUUAGUAGGUAGAUUCUCAGAGUGUAGUGUCUGUACCUCUGGGGUCCCUGAGACAUUUUUAGGGGGUCCAUGAGAUCAAAACUCUUUUCACAAUAAUACUGUUAUUUUUUGCCAUUUUCACUGUGUAGACAUUUGCACUUGUAUGAAAACAAUGCUGGGAAAACUGCUCAUCACUUAGCACAAAUCAUGGCCUGGCACCAACUGUAGUAGAAGUUCUUUAGUUACUAUAUUCAUCACCAUGGACUCUCAGUUAAAAAAUGCUAGUGUCACUUAAUAAAGCAGUAGAAGUUAUUAAUUUUGUUAAACCUAGGCCCUUAAGCACAUGUGUCUUUUUAAUAUUCUAGUGAUGAGAUGGGAAGUACAUAUAAAGCACUUUUACAAUGUGGCAAAGUGCCAUGGUUGUCUCGAAAACACCAGUAUGAUUGAGUUUUUACUUUGCAGAAUGAUUGACAGGUCAGCUGUGGCUCUUCAGACUUGGUUAUUUGGUAGACUUGGUUAUCAAAAGUAAGUGAAAUGAGCCUAUUGUUUUAAGGAAAACAGUUAUCAAGUACAAAAUUCAAGCUUUCAAAUACAAAUUAGAAUUUUGGAAAUCUUGUAUUCCGCAACAUAAGCUUGACAGCUUUCCUAUCCUUUAAUGUCUCUUCUGAUGAGUUCAGUGGUGAUAUUGACAAAUGUGAUUGUGGUAUUAUAUAAUGAAACAGGUAAACAUUGGGAAAAUCUACAUGACUCAGUAACCCAACAUUUUUCAGAUGAUCAGUGUUUGUUGCAAAAUCACAUGUGGAUGAGAGAUUCAAAGUGUAGGACUUUGAUAGAUUAAUGGAUUUCAAUGUAACAGAGUAGGAAAAGUUCACUGAUGGUUUCAGAUUCCACAUUGCAGCUGACCUUUAAAAAAUUACUGCUUUGUCCAUUGUAUCAAAGAAGAAUAUUCAUAAUUAUCUUAAAAAGCUAUUAAAAUAAUUCUUUCCUUUCCAGUUAUAUAUCUGUGUGAGGCUAGAAUUUCUACAUAUACUUCACAGCAAAUUUUAUGCAGAAGCAGACAUGAAAAUUUAGUUGUCUUCUAUUAAGCCAGAUGUUAAAGAGGUUUUCAAAAACAUAAAAUGGUGGCUGGACACAGUAGCUCAUGCACAUAAUCCUAGUACUUUGGGAGGCUGAGGCAGGAGGACUGCUUGAGUCCAGGAGUUUGAGACCAGCCUGGGCAACAAAGCGAGACCCCAUCUCUACAAAAUAUAAAGAAUUAUCUGGGGGUGGUGGCACAUACCUGUAGUCCCAGCUUCUUGGGAGGUUGAGGCAGGAGGGUUCCUUGAGCCCAGGAGUUCAAGGCUACAUUGAGCCGUGAUCACACCACUGCACUCCAGCCUGGGUGUCAGAGUGAGACCCUUCUUUUAAAUAUAUACAUACAUACACACACACACACACACACACACACACACACACACACAUAUAUAAAAUAUACACAUAUAAUGGUACAACUUCCUAUAAAAAUAUUUAUGUUCACAUGUAACAAUUUAAACAGAUUGUUUUUUAAGCAAAUUAAUAAAUAUUUUUUAAUUUUCUCAGUUUCAGUUUCCAAUAUGAUAAAUAUUGAUAGAUAUAAUCCAUAUAAACAAAAGCUCCCUGGGUGUCCUCAGUAAUUUUCAAGAUUAUAAAUGGAUGCUGAAACCAAAAGUUGGAGAACCACCAGUUUACUAAGUCAAACUUUUAGGCCGCCUUAUAGGAAAGACUUGAGGCUACCAAAUGCACAGGUACAUAUGUGUUUCUUUUUGUAAUGAAGGCUAUCGUGAUGGGGCAGAUCAUUCAACAUACUCCCAAACAGGCCACAUCCUGAAACUGGCAAAGACCUUCACACCUUUUAUUGAGGGUUUUUUAUUUUAAUCUUUUGCCUUACAGUGGGACUUCCUGAAAAGUGUGGUGAUUCUCAGUAUUUCAUUUUGUACAUUACCAUAAUACUCUUACAUGACAUUUUGAGCAUCAUAAAUCUGAACUCUAUUAUUAGGUUCAAUAUGUAAUAUGGACUCAGAAAUUUCUUGAAUGAAAAUUUAUGAUGAGAAUUAGUCAUAUCCCUAGGGUUUAGUCAGUGAAAACAAAACCUCAGUGUGUGCAUUUAAAGGUGAUCAGGAAUAGAAAUUAUCUAUUCUAAAUGAAAGGAAAAAAGAUAGAAAAUUUCCCCAUUUUAACAGAAAACAAAGACAAAUGAUUUAGAACCCAAGGACUGACUUUUCUCCUCAAUAUGUGAUUUUCCAUCACCUGAUGUUGAACUUUUAUCUCGUAUGUGGGAGUUAGCUUUCAGUUCUACACUUAUAAUCUGUAUAGCUGACCUGCUUGAAAGGCAAAGAAAUUGAAAAAAAAUGUUUUUUAAAAAAUCUUAUUUUCAUGUGUUUUUCUUUGGUGUAAGUUGCUUGACUGUAUUUCAUCACAAAUCAUGUACUGUGCGGUAUAGUUCCCUCACAAGGAUGCAUGAUGUUGAAUAUACACAAAAAAAUCUUUGUUUGAAAAAAAAAUAGUUAGAAAGUUGGUGCUUUAACCAAAAAGAAGCUCAAGAAUAGAUUAGACCGUAACAACAAAUUAUGUAAAACAAAACCCAGAAAACAGGUCUGGUGGACGUUGUGUGUUAUACUGUCUCAUUAAAGAAAAUGAGUCAAGAUUGAUCUAAUUAACCACACAGGUUCAGUACAUUUUACCUACUCGAGCAGGCUGCAGUGGCCAUCUCCUGCCACAGCUGUUUGUUUAAAUUGUUCACAUGAGUCAUACUGAGAAAGAGCCUUUAAAAAAAAUAGGUAAACAAACUAUUUGAAAUCUCUGUCUUCUACCUGACAAUCAUCUAAGAGAAGCAUUGUAAUUAUGUACUUGGGAGAGUCCCUGGCCUAAGGCCUUUCUAAACCUGAGGUGGCCUUACAUAGAUAUUUAGAAGUAAUGUCUUUUCACAUGUCAUUCAUUGGGUGUAUAGUGUUUUAUGCAGUCUUUUACCUUCAUGUUAGUUUAACUAUAGCAUGACAAUUCACAGUUCGCAUUAAGCCUAAGUUUCGCACUCAAAAUCAUUUUUGUAUAAAAUGUAUGGAACUUGACUGUUGACAAAUCGAUCUGUUGAGUAUUUUUAUGUCACUGUUUAGCAAAUGCAGAAAUGUAGAUUUGUGAAAAGAUGACUAGAGAUGAAAGCAUGAAUUCUUUGCCACCUUCCAAGUUAGCAGUAAGUAUUAAUAAGCUCAUCUUUUAGAAAACAAUGCAAUGGAAAUAAAAAUAAUUAUUUGUUCUUGUGGUAUGCUUAAAAGGAUCAUGGACUUUGGUGAAAGAUCUGGAUUUGACUCCUACCUCUACUACUUGUUAGCUGUGGGAUCUUAUGCAACUCAUUUAGUCUAAGCCUCGUCACUCCCCACUCCCUACUCCCUAAAAUGGAAAUAAUGAUAGCAAUCUCACAGAGUAGUCAUUGGGACUGAACAUUUAUUUAGCAUAGUACUUGGCUCAUAAUGACUGCCCCAAAUGCUAGUAAUAGUAAUUGUGGCUGUUAUCACUGCUAAUAUUAAGUUAUAUUUCACAAGUGCUAAUUAAGUCCUGUUAUCUUCCUGAGCCUUGGUUUUCUUAUCUCUAAAAUGGGGACUUGGGAGGUGAUCUCUAAGAUUCUUCCAGUCAGACCUUUCCAGUCACCCUGCAGAGGCUGGCGAGCUGCCCAUUGCUGGGACCCUUCACGCCCACCCUGAUCCCCUCCCUGCUCUUCCUCCCCCUCCCCGCAAAGCUUCUCUCUGGCCAGUUCUGCUCAGCAGGAGGUCGUUUGAUCAAAGCCCUGGGAAAGGUCAGACAUUCCUGGAGUGGUGACACUCAGCCGGCUGCAAGAGCUGCCCUUACAGAACCUUGUACUGCAGAAGCUGUAGCUCAAAUGGAGAGGCUUUUCUAGGAGCCAUUUUCUGAGCACUGUGGCGUAGCCCAGCUGGGAAGAAAGUUACUGAAGAACACCUGUUUGGGGGUGGCUGUCAAAAGCUUUGUUAUGCUUUCAUUUUCUUUUGGGAUGUGCAAAUGGUGGGAAUAGAAAGGUGGAGGUUGAAUCUUGUCAUAAAGAUGCUAACAAGUGGUAAAUUACACUAUAGUUAAACCGUGCAACCAUUAAAAAUUCUGUUAAAAUAUUUAAUCACGGUAAAAUAUUUACAACAUGUCGAGUAAAUUAGAUUAUAAAAUAAUAUCAGGGUUUUUUUUAAAAAAUGUUUAUAUGUGAAGGUAUAAUGGAGAAAAAUUAGGAAGAAAUUUAUCUCUAAGUUUUUUUCUGGGUGGCAGUAUUAGGUAAUUUUUGUUUAGAUUUUCUAAAUGUUUUACAUGGGUUGAUUCUAAUGAGGAGAAACAAAAGAAAUAAAAUCAAAGAAAGAACCUUAAUUGCUUAUCAGAUGAAAAGGCUAACCUCUUCACAGAAAAGAGGAUGUGUGAAUGUGAAUUGUGUACAGUGAUGUCUCACAGUGAGGGCACUCUGUGUCACACGUUGCCACCUUUGGCAUCUUGUGGGCUUGAAGCUAUAGAAUGUGACCAGUCUCUUUACUUGUGGGCACUUACACAGUGCUUAUGAUGUGCCCAGCACUGUUCUUGGCACUCUAAUACUAACUUAUUGAAUCCUCUCCACAACUUGCUGAAGCAGAUCCUAUUAUCCUUACCUUACAGGAAACUGAGAGACAGGGAUGUGAAAACACACAGGGCACACAGCCAGUGAGAAGCAAAGCCAAGAUUCACACCCAGGUUCACCAGGCCCCAGAAUCCAGGCUCCCACCACAUACUGUUCCACUUUGCCCUGAAGUAAGACUCUUGACAGCCCUCAGGGCAAACAGCUCUCAAGUUGGAUUUUAUGUGUGUGGCCAUCAUGAGGGUUAAUUGGGGUGUACUGUACUCUAGUGUGGUUCAGAAGUGGACUCGGAGGGCUCUUUGGUCCCUUCUUUUUGUUUGAGACAGUCUUGCUCUGUUGCCUAGGUUGGGGUACAGUGGUGCAAUCACAGCUUGCUGCAGCCUCUACCUCCUGGGCGCAAGCAGUCCUCCCACCCCAGCCUGUCAAGUAGCUGGGACCACAGGCAUGUGCCACCACGCCCAGCUAACUUUUCUAUUUUUUUGUAGAGAUGGAGUUUCACCGUGUUGCCCAGGCUGGUCUUGAACUCCUGGGUUCAAGCAGUCCUCUCACCUCGGCCUCCCAAAGUGCUGGGAUUACAGGUGUGAGCCACUGUGCCUGGCCUGCACCCUUUUUUCUUGCUUACUGUUUCUCUUUCCUGUCAGCUGAGUCCAGCUCAUGUCCCCCUGCCCUUUUCACUGUUUGAGUUCCAAGCCAACUCCCACACAGCUACCUUGAUCAGAUUUGACUCUCUUAUUUUACCUCAGAGUCAAAAUCUUGCCUGGGCGGGAGCACAGCAGUGAGCCUAUAGCUUAACUUGGAAUUGAAACCACCAUUUAUUUUCCUUCUGUCAUUGUCAGGGACCUCAAUUGUCUCUACAAAAAUAGCUUUCCAUAACUGCUCCUCAGUAGAGGGAAGAAAGCAGUAAAGAGGAAGGGGCACUGCAGCCUUCAGACCGCAGGCCUGCCUUACAGCCGUGUGUGUGUGUGUGUGUGUGUGUGUGUGUGUGUGUGUGUAUGUGUUACAUUAUAGGCAGACCUUUUAACCUCUCUGGGCCUCAGUUUCCUUAUUGGUAAAAUGCAAGGAUUGAAGUAAAUGAAUUUCAAGGUCUCACUGCUCUGAUGUUUUGAAAAGCUUCAGUGUAUCUUUCAACAUUUUCCAUUACAGAUUCUUUUUUCUCAUGCUGUAAAUGCCAGAAGCAGAGAGAGGUUAGUCUUAUCUAUUUCUACAGCAGCAGCUACACAACUAUCUUAUUCUUUCUCUCUUUAACCUCUUCCAGUCUGAUUAGGACUCAGCUUCAUCCUACUGUUUUGAUAGCAAUUAUCUAUUCUGUGGCAUCAGCUACUAUUUAUUUUUGAGAUAGAGCUCAGAGUUACCAAUUCUUGGGUUAUUAGCACACUUGUAUUUAGCAAGACCAAUAAUGUGAACCAUCUUAAAAUUAACACUUAAAAAGAAAUUUUCUCAAGGUUACAUAGCAGAAGAAUGACAUGGACUCACCAUAGCCACUGAGAGAGCGGGUAGCUUCCCAGUAUUAAACCGAAUUAUAUCUGAGUAACUUCUCUUGAUCAAGUCUCACCACUGUUUCUACUUACUACUACUGUUCUUGCCCUCAUAUUCAUUCAGUUGUGUCUAUUGAUCUCUGAUCUAUUUGGAUAGCUCAUUUCCAAUAUAUAAAUUUGGAUACUUGCAUUGUCAGUAGAUACUUUUUGUCCCUAACAGAUAGUAUAGGUGUGCGCAUGGAAUUAUAUGUGGACAUAGAUCUUUAUUUGAAGCCUUACAACCUAAAAUGGAUUAUAAAUUGCUUCUUUAAAUUUAGCCUCCUGGAUUUAGGUUGUCCACAGCAGGCCAGUGGGAGCACAAUUCGGAUGCUCGUCUCCUCCUGUCCCAUCCCAUCCCAUUCCGUUCCUUUUAGGCAGCAGCUCCCUGCCCUCCUCGAGCCCCAUAAGUGCUGCUCGGGAUAAUUCCAUCCUGGGCAAAUGCAGGGCAGUGGUCUCUGGAGUUUCUGUUCACAGAGGAAGCCGGCUGUUCCAUUUAUAACAAGGAAGGGUAGUUCUCUCAGACAUUGCACAUACACUUCAACGUGAUGUAACCUGAUAGCCCCUGACGGAAGUCCUAAGGCUCUCUCUUUAAACCCUUUUCCAGAAGGCAAGGUGUUUUCCUUGCUCUUUGGCUGCUGCUCACAGUAUUUUCGUGUUAUCUCCUCAGACAUUAAGUCCCAUAUCUUUAGCUCGCAGAGUUUGUCUGCUCAUAUGCACCACACUUAAACGUCCACAUCUAGAAAACACUCUUGUUUUCACAUCACUUGGGGCUGUUUCCCCAAACUGCUUACCUUUUCACCAUGGCUUUGCUGUUUUCCUCAUUUUGACCUUUUCUUGUUAACAUAAGAUGCUUGUGUGUUGUUUCUGCAAUAACCACUUUCUGGAAGGGCCUAGUUGACAUUUCUUAUCCUGCUGUUUUGACUGUGAUGAUGAUGAUCAUUAUCAUCAUAUAUAUGAUUCUUUGCAUACAAAGUGCUUUUACAAACCCUUUAUCGUUUAGGCCAAGCUUGGUCCUCCUCCCUGGCUUCUUGUUACAGAUUCCUUUACUUGACUCUGAUAAUACUUUUUAAAUUAGUUUGCUUACCAAGUGGGUUAACAAUAAAGAAGAGAGAAAAUCUCUGAAGGACACUUUUCCUUUAUGUUUGUUUGCCUAAAUGCUAAAUAACUGGCCUAUUACAGUCACAGAGUAUGACUGUAACUACUGACUUAAAUAUGCUGAUUUUCUGCAAUGAAAAGAAUAGCUUUUGAUAAAUGUUAAUAAAUAGCUCAAAAUUUUUGAGUAAUCAUAACUUCUUGAAUUUUCUAUAACAUACUUGCCUUAAAAAAAACUCCAGAUUGCUUUAAACUUAUGUGUUUAUUUUUUAUUCUUUGUCUUCAUAUAGUGGUUUUUUAAAUGAGUUUAGGGUCUAGAACUAAAUCUUUUACAGCUGAAAGCAGAACAAAGCAACUUUCAAUUGGAUCCGUCUUUUCUUUUAUUCAAAAUGAUUAUUCUAAGCACUUGUGACAGUGGGUAGCUGAGUAGUAGAAAUAGCCACAUAGUGCUUCAUCCUCCUUGCCUCUCUUACUUUUCUCUCGACAUGCAUACCUGCAAUUUAUCCAUGGUCCCACCCUCCCAACACAUUACUGCUGUUUUGCAUUUGCCCAUCCUCCCAUUUGAAGGAGUGCCAGGGAGGUCCUGUUGAAUUCUUCGAAGAGCAGAUUUGUAGUUGUUGUAUGUUUUGGUAUUUUGACAGCACUAGAUGCAGACUUGGGUUUAGGGUGCUGUGAUCUGCGGCAAAAACAGGAUGUUUUAGGUGAGCCUGACUGUACAGGCAGUGGGCUUGUGGCAGGGUGGGUACUCCCUAACUUUGGUCCCCGUUUCCCUCCCACCCCCACAACAAUUUCUUUGUGUGUGGGUUUGUUUCAGGACUUGUCAAAAGACAGUCGUUCAGUAGGUGUUCCCUUCUCCCCUGUAACACAGCUGCGGAGAUCUGCACUUCCCCCACCCAAACUCAGCUGGCUCUCCUCCCUGACACAUGCCCCUGGCAGCAACUAGUGCUCUGGAGCUCUUCUACCUUUUUUCUGCCGUUCUCAAAAUGCUAUCUGGUUCCAUGUAGCUUUCUUUCUGAUUUCCAGAUUGAAAAAUCUGAAUAGAUUUACUGGCAAAAUGUAUUUCUUCCUCUUUAGUGAACUGUAUGGCACUAAACAAAGAGAAUGGUUUCCAUCAUUGUAUUAAUUAAAAAACACACCCUGUCUGUUUCACUAUAAGAACAUCUCACCUCGGAUAGCAUUCCACAGCUCAGAGAUGUGGCAGCAUCAGGCUUCCAUUCCUGGGCUUCUGCCAUUCUAAUGUUGUUUUUCCUCCAACAGGGUGGUUUCUGACAGUGCUUUGAUGACAUUGUCUAAUGGUGUACUUAAUGGGUAGCUGGGGGAUGUCUUAGAGACAGAUAAUAUUUUACUUUGUAGAGUUAGACUCUGGUUUGACUCUGCCUUUUCUGAGAAGGCUGUUUCUCUACAAGGGUAUAGGAUUAAAAUCAGGAGCAUAUACUAAUUAUGUGAAACUAUUUGUACUAAUCCCACUUGCAGGUAAUGACAUUUGUUUACUGUGCAGCUGAUGCUGAUUUAUCUUUACAUUUUAUCUAGUUAACAAACAUACUUAUAUAUCAUUACGAGCCAGAAAUCAUUCUAAGAACUUAACUAAUAGCAGCUCACUUAAUCCUUAACAACCCUAUGAAAUAGGUACUGUCAUCAUGAUCCUUAUUUUCCAAUGAGGAAAAAUCAAGGCACAGAAAGAAUAAGUAACAUGCCCAAGGUUGUACAAUAAGUGUCAGAGUUGAGAUUCAGCCCCUGGCAGUCUGGCUUCAGGCGUCAUCCUCUUACUGCCUCAUGGCUGUGUGCCCAUGGGUGGGUGGGACUGGCCAUCACACAGUCCUGAAUGGCAUUGCAAGGGACAUUUUUCUCAUUGCCUGGAGAAACCAGGAUCAGAACACUCUACCCCAGGCAUGGGGCAUGCAGCGAAAAACUGACUCUCAAGCCUAGGAGCUAUUUGUAUUGGCUUUGGUCCUUGGACCUCUGCUUACAGAAGCAGAGACCUCACAGCCUUCAUCUGACCACACGAAAACCAUCAUAAGCUCAUAGGACAGGGUUCCAGAGAUGGAAGCUUCUAAUGCCCCAGCAGCCACACAGUGUGUAUCAAUGCCUGACCUCCCAACAUCCUAGCACCAUUGAACUCCCAACAGGUCAUUACCACUGUUUUUUGCCUGUUUCCAACAGCCGAGCUCUUUGCAUACUCAGAUCACUAGCUGCUGAGCCUUGUAGGGGAAUUAGGGCAGGGUCGAUUUCACAGAUGAGAAGAUACAGUGUCAAUAGUCCACCAUAAGACUAGGACCUAAAUCCUGCUGCCACUUUUUUUGUAUGUCAGUACUUUUACUUUUUAACCUGAGACAGGUUCUCAGUCUGUCACCCAGGCUAGAGUACAGUGGCGCAAUCACAGCUCACUGGAGCUCCCAAGCUUAGGUGAUCGCCCACCUCAACCUUCUGAGUAGCUGGACUGGAAGGGUGCACCACCAUGCCCUGCUAAUUUUUUUGUAUUUUUUUGUAGAGACAGAGUUUCGCCAUGUUGCCCAGGCUGGUUUCGAACUCCUGAGCUCAAGCAAUUCACCUGCCUUGGCCUCCCAAAGUGCUAGGAUUACAGGCGUGAGCCACCACGCCUGGCCUGUAUGCCAGCACCUUUCUUGCCUCCCUCUACCUCAUUUUUUCUUUACUCUUCCUCCUCUGAUUAAAUAAGGUAAAUGGUAAUAAAUGACAGUUAGGGCUGGAAAUAUAUAUGGUGGCUACAAAAGAUAAAGAAUCACUUUUUGCAGGCAUCUCCUGUUUUCCCCUCCUUUCCUCCCUUCAGGCAGGAGUUGUGUGGCCUGCAAGAUGGCCUGGUUGCUGGAAGGUGACUUAGUCAAUGAUGCAGUUCAUUGGCUGGGUCCCCAGGUACACUCAGCAGGUGGUGCUUUCAAAGAUUAGCUACAGGCCAAUGUGCUGAGAAUCAGGAUAAUAAUGCAUCUCUUGUGCAGUCAUCACAGCUUUAGAUACAUUCAGGAAAAAAGCCAGUGGGAAUGGAAGGAAGGCAGAGACUGUCACAACCACCUGGGCACAUCUUGCAUUUCUUCAUUUGUCCUUACAGGGGCUCUGUUUGCAUCAUUAACAUGAAUAAUUCUUUCUUCCUUUUCAUUAUGUGUUCUUUCAUUUGGUGUAUCCUAUGGAAAUAUUGGGGGUAGUUAUUGAUUAGCACUAUAUUUUGCCUUGGAAGAACUUAGAGAAAAUUACUGAUCCAAUUUUACCCAAUUGUUAGGUCAUCUUUCUAUAUACUAGUUUACCUAUCUUUCAUCCAAUUUAGUAAGUGUUCAUCUUCAUUGAAAUGCCAUAAAAUGAGUUGUAACCUAGAGUCUGGACAGAUUUCAGAGAUAUUAUGGUUCUAGGACCUACUCAAAGUUUGAAAUAAUAGGAAAGAUUGCAGUGUGCUUACUAAGCAGCCAUGAAGGGCUGUGAAUUCUGCAUAUUUUCUGUAAUUCUUACUACAAAACUGUAAGGUGGAUAUUAUCUUCAUUUUACAGCUGAGGAAGCAGCGGUUAAGUCACUCAACGAGGAUGAUGGAAGGGAGCAGGGUCGAGGUUUGAGGCCAGGUCUGUCAGUCUUGUCGCAUACCUAGGAGACCCGCAUGAUGUGCCCAUUGCAGGGGGUGGGGCACAGAUCAGCUGUGGUGAUUUCCUGAGAGAAGCAGUGAUACCAUUCUUAGGAGAGUAAAGAAAGAAAGAACAUUGAUAUGUCUGUCUCUUUAGUGGGGAAAAAAGCUCCAUUGUGUUUUUUUGCUUUAAAAUAUCCAUAAAAAUUCAAUCUCAAAGACAAUUGCAAUCAUCCUAUUAGCAACCUUCUAGGCAACAGACAAGCAGUAGUUUCACUAGGGGCGUAGUAAGGCUAUUAAGUUGUAGAGAUAGUAAAUGCCUGCAAUGUAUCAUGUUUGAGAAAAAUUCUGACUUCAGAGAAACAAGAAUAGUGAAACUUGUUAAUUUUAGAAAGUGAAAACAUGCUCUAUAAGGAAAUGGUUUAUAAUACUUAGUGACCCCUGCUGCUGUACUCAAAAUAGGAAAGGCAGAAACAUUUAACAGUUAAGUAUUGUUUGGAGAAUGUUAAUUUUCUACUUGGAAAACUGUUUGCCAACAAUGCCACCUGCCAUUCUUCUGCAUCUCCCCUCCUACUGGAGGCUUCGUGCUCUUGCUGAAGAGAACAGUUCUAAUACAAAUCCUCAUUACUUUCCCUUUCACACCUUUCCCCCACUAGACUUUAAAAGUGAUAAUUGCUUGAAAUACUGGGAGAAACUAAUUUGUAUUGGUAAAGCUCCCGUGAACUUCAAACAAAUCUGUGUUCUCUAAUGGUGACUUCUUUUUAAUUAUGAGGCUGGGCAGGUGUGUAUUUUGUAGACCUGCUGUGCCUGCCCCCCUUCCCCAAGAGCCUCCCAUCUCAGCCUGGGACACUUGAUGAUGGAAAAUAACUUCUCUGGAUUAAAAAAACCAUCUCUAUGUAUACAGUAAGAGGCCAUAGUUUAGAACCUGAGGGAAUGUCUUAUUCAGUACCCUGAAUGUUUUGCCUUCUGUUUUCUAGAUUAAAACUUACAUUAGAUGGGAGUGGUAAUAUCUAGUGCCUAUUGGUCACCAUUCUAAGCACUUCACAUGUUUUGUUUUAACACUUACAUAGUACUUGCUAUGUGCCAGAUGCUGUUCUAAGUGGUUUGCAAAUAUUAAUGCAUGUCCUGCUCAUACAGUCCUUCAAGGGUCACUCUGUUCUUAAUACCAUUUUACAAAUGAGGAAAAACUAGGCACAUGGAGAUGGAGAGACUUACCAAAGAUCACCCAGUUGGUAAGUGACAGAAGUGAUAUUCAAACCCAGGCAGUCUGUCUCUGGAGUUCAUGCUUAAUCACCUUCCAUACUGGAAAACAACUUGUCCCUUUUUCAUUUUUAGAGGCCUUUCUAGGUGAUUACAGCCUCCAGCAAGUCAACAGCGUUUAGCUUCUGUCUGUUAAUAAUUGAAAUGAAUUGAGCGCCGAGGAAGUGCUCAGGCUAAAAACACUGAGACGUAAUAGUUGAUGGCCUUACAAGGAGUGGAUUUCUCUUCUUUCCUCCAAUUUAAUUAGUUCUGCACAGGGGCUAACUGAAAUAUGCCUAAAGAUUGCAUGCCCACAGCAGAUAAGUAGCUUCUAGCAGAUUUAACAAAUUACCCUUUGUCUGCCAAGCUCCUUUGUUAUCAAAACUACAUCCCUAGGUAGAAAUGUUAAGUUUUUGCACAUCAAAGUUUGCAUGCUAAGCUGGGGACACUGGAGAGACCUAUUGAAUUUGAUCCUUGGUCUGGUUCCAAUCCUGUAUUCCUGGUUGCAGAUACAAAAUGAAAUACACACAUAAGUCAACUCUAUUUGUACGAUCUUCAGUCCAGAUCUUUUUAAUGUAAUUAAGAGGGUAAGAGUAUGAAGGAGGAGAGAGAAACUUGCAGCUCAACAGGAAGAGCUCGUUUGCUUGUUUUCUGUUUAUUUUUUAUCCUAAUAUUUAACUGCUAAUCCUAACGCAGUGCAUGUGUAUCUUAUAAAUAAAGAAACUGAGAAGUUAGUGAUUUGUAUUGGUUUCUUGAGUGAUCCUGUUUACCACAUGGAAAAGUCUGGUGAGAUGAACAAGUGGGACUGCAGCACUUGCAUGUUUCUCCUGACAGUGUGGCUGCUCUUAUUUUGAUGGAAGUAUCCCCAGUUCCAAGACCACUGGACAUCUCCCACAUUUUAAUAUAAUUUAUUUUAUACAUACAGAAGGAGAACAGCAUCUUUAUGUCAUGCUUUAGGUUGGAUAGGAAAAAUCAAGUCCAGAAAAAUAUUAUUAGCGCUGCAUCUCUUAACCAGGUCAGGUUGCAAGGAGAAAGGGUAUACUACGAGUGAGUCAAAUCUAGAAGAAGCUGAAAGUAAGAAAGAGGUGCUAUGACAAACUGAUUGCAGAUAAGAUGAUGAUAAUCUAAGACCUUUUUUUAUUACCAGCACAAUGUUAGGCUUGUUACAAAACAGUCAUCUCUUGCAAAGCACCUGAAGGUUGAUGUGGAAAGUCUGAGCAACUGGAAAGGAAACCUCAAAGUCGAAGCACACUGUUAAAAGCUGUGUAUCAAGGUUGAGGUCCUUUGUAACUAUACACUUUCCAGAGUGAUUGAAUAGAUGGUUGGGUCUCAUCGAAACUUGCAUCUCUCUCUUGAAUUAAAGCGAAGACCAGCCUCACUUUGUAGCUUGCUUUGCUUUUCCCUGUCCCUGCCCAGGAGACCUGUCCCUUUCUAGCCCGCUUUAGCACUGUGGAUGUCUGACUCUGAAUUGAAUUGUGAGAGCUGUGCUUUCUGGGGAUCUCCUAGCUGUAAGCAUCUAGAAGAUCAGUAUAAGCAUCUUCAUGUGGUAAUUGUCCUUUUGAGUUAUGUGCCUGUAGUAGGUUUUCUGUCUGUUGUUCUUUCUCUUAUCAGUAACGGGGAAAAUGGCAGUGAGAAGCAGCAUGUUGGGGGGCGGGGGUGAAGAGUGAAAUUGGACUGUUAGACUCCAUGAUAGUCAAAGGACAUAACAUCCUAUUUUACUGUCCUUCAGAAGAGCUAAAAUGUUCUCAGAGAGUGACAAAAAGAUGAUAGUUACUUCCUUGACAGCAACAUAGGGAGAAACUUUAUGAAAAGCUAGAAAAUUUAUAUGCAUCUGACUUCAGUGACUAUCCAAAAUAAAUUUCAAAGUAUACAAUUUUUUUUUUUACAAGACAGCUCAAGUAGCACCACCAUUUCCCUUUAAAAAAAAUAAAAUAAGCCUUUUCCCUGAUUGUAAGGAUUAUGCACAAUAUUCUAGAUAAAAAUUUUGGAAAGCAUAAGAGACGAAAAUUACCUAUAGUCUCACAAGUUAAUAUUGUGGUUUACAUUUCAGUGCAUAUACUUCUGGUCUUUUUUUCUCUUUGUAGACUUUCUACGAAAUUUCAUAUUUUUCCCAGAAGUCAGGCUGCUAGAUCUGUGUGAUCUUUACCAAAAAAAGAAAAAAAAAAAAACACCUUUCUCUGUCUCUCUGCUUAUAAAUUCUAUCAAGUUUGCCUGCAAAGGUCAUUGACCUCAGCUCUUCUUCCGAGGCAUGGGUCCAUAUAUUCGUGCAGAAUAAAACCAAUAAAAGUCAUAAUGAGGGGCAGAGAGAGUGGAUUGUUUAAAGGCUCACUCCUUUCGAGCAAGAUCAAUGAGUCUUUUUAUCUUAAGAGGCAUGUGAGAUGUGGGGUUUUUUUGUAUUUUCCAAUCAUGCACAAGUGACCAGCCAGCUGUUGGACUCUGGGUGACAAUGCUUGUAUCUGACCUGCUGUCUGAUUUUUUCUCAUUCUUCUGUCACUACCCAUUUUUCAACCUGUGUCCGCCUCCAUGCAGAUGGGUUUCCUCUCUCUGUGCACUCACAGAAGUAGAAAAGGAAUGUAAAUAUGUGUAAACUCCCCUUCAUUGGUGAGUGUUUUUAGAUGACCAUGUAAUGUCACUUUUUCUUGCAUAUUUUUGACCAACUUGACUGGGUUUUGGAAAAAUAAUUUGUAUUUCUCCCACUGAUCUUUGCAACUCAUCCAGGAUAGGUAGUCUUCUGGAGCUAUGGGAUGGCUCGGAACCAGAAGUUGAGCUUUAGAGUCUAGUGCUGGCUCUACCACUUUGCAGCCCGAUGACCUCAUACAAGUCACUUUAUAACUUGUGUUGCAUGAAACGACAACAAAAGUACCCUAAUGUGUGUACAUCAGUGCACCAUAUUGUCGCUGGCUUGCUUCCACUGGACACUGAAAAUGAAGCCCAUCAUCUUUCCUCAUCCUGCCUGCCUGCCCCAUCCUAGUCCGUAAAGGCAGCCUCAAUCUUGAAAACCUGGAAGCCUCUUUCUCCUGGCCUUUCCCCUUCACCCGGCACACCCAGGCUGUUACUGUCUUCUUCCCUUCCUUAUUACCUCCUGCCUGGAGUUUCAUCUCCUAAUGGCUGGUUUUGUUCUUAACAUUACACAUUAUAGGUGUUUGCAUAUAUGUCUUACCUCCUUGAGUAGAUACUAAGUUUCUUGGGAAUAGUGAUGAGAUUUUACUUAUCUUUGUCUCCUUGUCAUGCUUCCUUGGGAUAGCACCUUAACAUGGUAGGCAUUUAUUUACUUAAGUACUUUUUGAGUUGGAUAGGUGAAAUUGACUGAUCAGACCGUUGAUCUCCCUGAGCCAUAUCUGGGCUCACCUCUGAGCAUUUGUGACUGGGUCUGGUAGUAGCUUUGUAUCCCAGGUGGGGCACUGGAUUCGGGGUGGCAACAUUUGGAGCCCGACUGCAGACCCAGCUGCCUGACUUGUCUGAAUAUCACUUUCGUCAUUGACUGACUGAGGGUGGUUAGAAUUUAUUGAACGCUUAGGCUCCUUCAGCUCUGGAAUUCUACAUUAAUAAACUGCUUUGCACUUGAUUACUUUGAAGUGGAAGUUUCCCCCCUUUCUUUAUAAGGUAAAUGAAUAUUUCAUCUCAAGCCCAGGAGUCACUUUGCACAUAUCCUGUGAUGGGAGGCUAAUGAAAGCUUUGAUAGAGACCUUAAAUUGGGAGAGAUGGGAUCAUAUCCAUUGCUCUAUCAUAAGAAUUUCACCAGGUCUAUAGAGAAACGAGAUAGAAGACUUAAAAUUUUCAUUCAUAGCUGUACAACUCAUGAUUUGAAACAUUAUUAAAAUUAAUUUUGAAAACACUUGGGAAAAUGGAGAUGUUUGAGGUAAAAACAAUUUUUGAAAUUCAAAGAGUGGCUUUUAACCUUUUCAUUAGAACCCUAGUAGUCUUCUUAAGGAGUGGAUAUUAAAAGCGGGUUCAGGCUGGGCGUGGAGGCUCACACCUGUAAUCCCAUCACUUUGAGAGGCUGAGGCGGGCAGAUCACCUGCUGUCAGGAGUUCGAGACCAGCCUGGCCAACAUAGUGAAACUCCGUCUCUACUAAAAAUACAAAAAUUAGCCGGGUGUGGUGGCACACGUCUGUAGUCCCAGCUACUCAGGAGGCUGAGGCAGGAGAAUUGCUGGAACCCGGGAGGCAGAGGUUGUGGUGAGCCAAGAUUGUGCCACUGCACUCCAGCCUGGGCAACAGAGCAAGACUCCAUCUCAAAAAAAAAAAAAAAAAGUGGAUUCUUCAUGCAAUUUUAAGUUUAAAAAAAGCAGUGUUUUUAAAUGUAGGAAAAACGUAAACCCAUAGUAUUAAGCUCUGAGGGUUAAAUAUGUAUCGUUUCCAGGUUAUUGAUGAAGACUAACUGGGCCUGAUGACAGAGACUUUUGCUCAUGCCUGUGAUUUUAGAGUCUGCACGUUCUCUUCAGCUCCCGUGUCACAUGCCUAUCUCUCACCUGGCAGCUGAGAACAAGCCUAGAAGACAGUGCGGACUCCCAGGAGGCUUGCACAUUCCCUAAUUGUCCUCUGGCAGUUUGGAGGAUACCUGAAAAGGCACACCUCCAACUCCUAGCUGUCAGUUCACCGGCAUGCCCCCAGAGAGUCAGAUUGAUGCCAUUUAUGGAACUCCAGAGAGAGCCCUGGAAGGGGAGGGGCAAGGAAAACUAAUAACAGCCCUUUUGCCAUCAUGGGGAGAUAGGCCCAGGAAUUGAGGGCGGGGAGUGGGAAAGAGCAUUCAUAGGUAUGUCCUUCAUACGAUAGUUUGGGUGUCACCUGUCUGCCUAAACAUAUACAAUAUGUCGUACUUUGCUGUGGGUUGGACACUGGUUAUAUAGCAUCCCAAUUUUAGCUUGCUGGAAUUCCCCUGUCAUCACUACAUGUGAAAUUACAAUGUUCAGAGAUAUAAUAUGUAUAUUAUUAUUAUAUAAUAAUUUAUAUAUAUAUUUUAUAUAUAUAAUUUAUAUAUAAUAUUUAUUGUAUUUUUAUAUAUAUAUAAAUUUCACUUGGUAAAAUUUCACUUGGAUUUGCCUUCUGUAUAAAGUAAAAUUAGCCUUCAAUCAGUGGUUUUUGGUAUAUUCACUAUGUUGUACAACUAUCACCACUGUCUAAUUCCAUCACUCCAAACAGAAACCCGGUAUCUGUUAGCAGUCAUUCUCAAUUACUGCCUCCACUUAGCCCCUGGCAACCCCUCAUCUACUUUGUUACUAUGACUUUGCCUGGUCCGGACAUUUCAUAUACAUAUACAUAUACAUAUCAUAUAAUAUGUGGCCUUUCUGUUUAUGGUUUAUUCACUUAACAGAAUGUUUUCAGAGUUCAUCCAUUGAAUGUCAGUACUUUCUUCUUUUUCAUAGAUGAAUAAUAUUACAUUGCAUUAUAUGUACCACAAUUUGUUUAUCCAUUCAUCAGUUGAUGGACAUUUUGAGUUGUUUUCAGUUUUUAACAUUGUUAACAUUUGUAUAUGUGUAUUCAUGUGAAUAUAUGAUUUCAAUUCUUUCAGAAGGAGUGGCAUCACUGGGUCGUAUGGUAGUUCUAUGUUUACCUUUUUGAGGAACUGCAAAACUGUUUUCUAUUUCUUUUGAAUAUCUUUAAACCUCAAAACAUCAACUACUUAGAAUUUUUUAAGAGGAAGAGGGAGUUAAAUUAACACUUUUCUUUAGAGAAAACAACUGAAUUAGUAGUAAGAGGAGAAGGAAAAAUUCAGGUUAUGUUAAGCAAAAGAAAACAUUAUUUACAUUGACUUACAGUGUCUCCACAUUUACACAUUGAAAUGAUUAAAUAGGGUGUGUGGAGAAAAUGAAUUCCCACAGAUCUUUUAAUAGAUAUAUCCAAAUUCCGGUGAAAUCAGUUGUAAUUAUGGUCAAGAAUUAGAUGUAACAAGGUAGAGAAGAUAUCUUGAGCAUUUCUAGUUAGCUGGAAGAAUUGAGAGCGUGAAGAAAUUUGUAGCGUAAACUGGAAAAUUAAGGGGAAGGUGAAAAACAUAGGCACAUAAAUUCAUUCCUUAAAAUGGAUGUUUCUUUGUUCUGUGGAUGGGAUUUUUCUGAAUAUGCAAGAAUAGCUUACAUUCUUUCUUGACAUCCCAUUUAUCAGCUUGUCCUGGGAAUCACAAGGCUUGUGAAUAAUAUACUGAUUGAUUGUACUGUUCAUUAGCACAUUCACAUGAUAUUACAUAAACAUUUCUAAAACAUAAACACAGAUGAUGACAGCAUUUUAGGAGGAAGGCGAAGGUUCCAUAGUGAUGCUUUGUUGUUUGGCUGCGUGUUUGCAGCUUGACAAUUCUCACUCUUGCCUCUGAGGCCUAGUGGCCCACUCUAGGUCAACUUUUGAGACCCACGUAGUGACGGGAGCUGCGUGCUCUUAGAGAACCAGAAAAUGGGCUGCAUCAUGGUUUGGUGAAAGAAAACAGGAUUGAGUUCUACUGCUUUUGGACUUUGCUGAGCUUUCUUGUCCUUCUCUGAAACAUGGGAUAUUUAUUAAUACCUUUCUUGCAGGGUGAUAAUGAGAUCCAAAUGAGAUAAGGGUCAUGGAAGCACUUUGUAAGCUAAUGUAAAUGUGAUGGUUUUCAUUAUUGUUUAAUUAUAGCUUUCUCCCUCAAGACAUCACCCUUUUGUUGGAGGAGCUCAUUCAUAGCUAUACCACACUGCCAAAGAUGUGUCCUCUUUGAAAUAAAGUACUUACUGGAGACUUAGAAUCCAGACCACUGGAAUAAGACAGGACUCUUAUUCCAUAUUUGCUGUAUGUAAGACCCUAGCUCUGUAAUCAUACAAGGCAUAGAACUUAGAACCACUGAACAUCAUGUCCCUGUAUCAGCUGGAGUCUUUGCACUGACUUUAUGUCUAUGCAACUGACUCUAGGUGCCUCCUAUCUCCUUCCCUUCUUCUGAGACUGAGGAAUGCCACUUUCCUCAUCACAGACUUGUCCAACUGAGUUUUUCUGUGAAGGUUAAUUUAGUGGUAGAGAUUCGAGGCAGGUCAAAGGCACAGGAGUACAGAGUGGUGCCUUUGCUGAAGAGAAAGGGCAUAGCCCUUUGUGGAAUUUUGGCAGGAUGACCACGUCUCAUCUGUAGGUUGUAAUGAUUAGCACAGCCUUACAGGUCCCUACGCUGGAAGAAAUCAGGUUAGUAAUAAUUUUAAUGAGAAUUGAAGUAAUGUAAUGACAGAAUGCUCCUGCUCUGUGUCUUAAAUCUGUUCUGUAAGCUUUAUUGAUGUUCUUCAAAUUACCAUUUAUGUUCUUUCAGAUUCCCAGUGCACGUUGCCAUUAAACCAGUGCCUACCAUCAGCAAUGUGGCAUUGAUCCAUUUUAAAACUGAUUCUUAAAAUGUUCAGUAAAUAAGUCCGUCCUUUCUUUUUUUUUUUUUUUUGAGACCGGGUUUCACUCUUGUUGCCCAGGCUGGAGUGCAAUGGUGUGCUAUCUUGGCUCACUUGCAAGCUCUGCCUCAUGGGUUCAAGUGAUUCUCCUGCCUCAGCCUUCCAAGUAGCUGGGACUACAGGCGCAUGCCACCAUGUCUGGCUAAUUUUGUCUUUUUAGCAGAGAUGGGGUUUCUCCAUGUUGGUCAGGCUGGUCUCAAACUCCUGACCUCAGGUGAUCCACCUACCUCGGCUUCCAUAUGCAGUUCUUUCUUUUGCUUUCCUGACUUUUUUCCAUAGCUGCUUUUAGCCAUAGUGUCAGAACUACAAAAUAUUAGAGUGUUGAAAUUCAAAGCUUUAGAAUUUCAUUUAUCAUUUGUGGAUAGCAGGAAUCCAGUGCUCACACUUUAUCAUUUCUUGAUAGCAGGAAUCCAAUACUCAUGGGUCGCAAACUCCAAGUUGUUGUACACAGGAACUUGCCUACCCACUCCUCUCACUUCUGUUUACCAUUCUUGCUACAUGCAAGAGUAGACUGUCUUGAGAACAUUCUUCAAUAAGCCCUUAAAUUAUUUUUACUUCUUUACCCCUCUUCCUGAGAUUCACAAUGGUUUUCAGAAAUCCCUAAGCUGAUUUUCAUAUUCUCUAGAAAGAAUUUGUUUCUUGAGUGAACCUGCUGCAAAGACAAAAGUGUCUCAUCUUUCUCUAUUUUAAUACUGUAUUUAGCCCAAUGUCAGCUUCUGUGCAUUUGGCCUGGACAACUGCGCUCUGAUACACUGCCUCAUGUCGAAAGCUGCAUUAAUUAUUCUUUAAUGCACUUGUGAAAGUCUCAAUUAUUUGCUUUUUUUGUGUCUUAUGGAUAACUUUCUAAAAUAAUCACAUCAAACGUUUUACAUUAUGCCUUACAUUAACACUUUCCUUGAGAAGUAAAAGGAAGAAAAUACCUGUGAAUCUUCUACAAAUCUCUUCUCAUUGCUGUGCAGUAAAGUUCCUCCUUGUAUCCAGUGACUCAAACCCAAUGCUGUCUAGACCCAAGGCAAGGAACCAGACAGAGUAAUUAGGGACAAAUGCCUACACAUCCCUCCAGUGUUAGCAGGAAGUGGGUCAUGAAGCAGGUCACCCCAGACCAUGUUAAAUGAUAAUCUUUGAAAUUUUUCAUCUGAAAUAGUUUCAGACAGAGAUCAAGAUUAUGAUCCUCUUGUUUGUCAAAGAAAUAAAUAAGAGUUUUUCACCUAGUAAUUUAGGAAGGGAUUCAGUGUUUGCCAGUGGGGUGCUGUUAUAUGUGAAACAAUUAGCUCAAGGGAGAGGGGACUUUUCACAUGUGCCAAUUUCCAUGGUAUAAAUAAUCCUACCAUGACCAAUUUCAGGCUACCAACAUGAUAACAGGCUCUCAAAAUUCCUGAAAAUUUAGCCAUCAGGUCUCUGAGCUAGAACAAGCCGGCUCCUGGACACUACUGUAAAUUCAGGGUAAUGUAGAUUGCUCUCGGGAAAGAUACAUAGGUUAGGCAUUCAGUAUCUGUCUUGAAUUCUUCAGCAUGUUCCCCUAAAAGAGAUGGAAAUGAAAAUAAACUUCAGGAGGAAAAUUUUCUAUUUUUAAUACAUGGAACAAAGUGGAGUUUAUCUUUGAUUUUAUAUUCACAGAAAUGCCCUUUUUCACUAGCAGAGAAUAGCUGUUGUCUUUGCUACUACAGUUUUCCAUGGGUUAUAGAAUAUUUCCUUUUUAUAAUUUAUUAAUAGAAUUGAAAGUCUUUUAAAAGGUCUUUAAAUUUUGCUUCCUCUUUUUUGAAAUAAAUGUUUUCAGGGAAAAUGUUCUCUUCUGGCUUGACUUAUUUGAGAGCUUUAAGAUGAAGCAAAGUUACAUAGAACCCAGUUUACGUAAUCUGCUUUCUUUCUCAUUUAAGUUUUCAGACUCAAUUCCAACUCAUUUCAGGUUUUGUUUUUAAGUCUAUAACAAAAGGUUAUUUUUUUCUUGACUCAUAUAAAUAUAUCCUGUGAAUAGUGUUGUCUGCAGCAUCAUUUUUCACUCAAGAUAAGCUCUGCUUUUUCUUCCUAGAUAAUGUGCUAUGAUGUGAAAUGGAAAAGAUGGUUACUUGUCAAGGAAUGAGUUCAUCAGUAACUUGUAAUGAAUCUGAAAAUGUGUGUUAGGUAUUUGUAAAAGUUAUCUGAGUUGACUGGCAAGUUGAAGAAGUUACAUAUAACUGCUUCAAGACACACAAUUUAAUCAUAAGGAUCAUUCUACCCUGCUUUUAGUAAUUUUUUUUACACCAUAAAAUGAAAGGUUAUAGUUCUGUACUAGUUGUCAUAUAAAUAUUUGGUUUUAAAUAUAUUGACUUUAGCAUUUGGAGAAAUACCUAAUGUAGAUGAUAUAGGUUGAUGGGUGCGGCAAACCACCAGGGCACGUGUAUACCUAUGUAACAAACCUGCAUGUUCUGCACACGUACCCCAUAAUUUCAAGUAUUAUUUAUAUAUAUAUAUAUAUAUAUAUAUAUAUAUAUAUAUAUAUAUAUAUACACACACACACACAUACACACACACACAUAUACACAUAUAUAUAUAUAUAUACAUACACAUAUAUAUAUACAUACAUGUGUAUAGACUUGACUCUCAGUAUGGGAUAUUGAAAUGUAAUGUUAAAUUACCAGCUCUGCCACUUACCUUCUCUGAUUUUCAGUUUUUUUACCCAUAAGAGUUCUUUUCCAUACAAGGAAGCUUUGUUUCAAAAACGCCAAUUUUUUUGUUUAAGUCAAAUUGGAGUACGAGACAGAAAGGGGGCAGUCCCACCUACAAAUUUUUAAACUGUAAGCAGAACUGCCUGAUAGAAAUGUAGUGCAGAUCACAAAUGCAAGUCAUAUAUGUAAUUUUAUGUUUUCUUAAGCUACAUCAAAAGGUAAAGACAGGUAAAAUUAAUUUUAGUAAUAAAUUUAUUGAACAUAAUAUGUCAAAAAUGUUAUUUGAGCAUGUAAUCAAUAUAAACAUACUGAGAUCAUUUACAUUAUUUUCACACACAGUAUUUGAAUUCUAGUAUGUAUUUUACACUUAUGGCAUGUCUCAACUUGGACUAGCCACCUUUCAAGGGCUCGACCUAAUGCCUAAUGGCUACCAUAUUGGACAGCACAACUCUACAACGCUAUAGAAUAGCUUUAAUGCUGAUCUUACAGUGUAAAUAUCAAAUUUACAUGUUCAUAGAAAAUGAUUUGAGUUUUCCAAUAACUUUACCUCUCAAUUAUUCAUACUUUUAGUCCCAAUCUGACUGAUAGUAGCUGAACCCAAGUAACUUGUUGUAUUUUCCCCAUUUGAUUUCUGAAAGGCACUUCAGAAGUUCUAUAGAAAAAUGAGGACCCCUGUAGACAUAAAUGUUAUCUUUUCACUUACUAAAACACCCAAUUUUAAGUAGAGAAUACUGUAUAUAUAUGGCACUUAUUAAAAUCAGAGAAGGCUCGGUGGGACAAAAUUGUACACAUAAGUAUUUCUGUUACUGUCCUGUAAAUCCUUCACACCUGAUCUUAAAGAAUCAGUUUUACUUAAACUAAAAUAAGGCAAAUGCUUUUCCUAGAAACUUAAGUGUGAAAGCCCCCCCUUUGAAUAUGAAAUAAUUAGAUUUAAGUCUGUUGGCUUCGCUUAUGGAAUUUUGCACCCUCCAUUUGCAGUCUGAACAUUUAAACAGACCAUCUGCACUUCGUAUCUGGGUAACUGUGGGACUUCUCUGACCUUGACCUUGGGCAGACUGUAGCUUGCCGAACCCCACCCCCACAACCCCGCCACAGGAGAUCUAGAGUCCAUUUCUCAGGCCCAACCAUUCAUUGUUUCCUGCUGGACAUUCUGAGUGCCAAGGAGAGCCCUUCCACCCUCUAAACUGCAUAAUAGAGAGGUGUGGCUGUGGUGGCAGUGGGAAGUCCCUCCCUCUGAAUAUGCCAUCCCUGGGCAGUGGAGGAGAGAGGCUUUUCAACCAACAUGUCCCCAGACCAGCACCAGAAAACCUUGUUGAGCCUAUUCAGGAUUGAUGGCUGAUGAGGUUCUGAGGAAAUCUUUCUGGAAUUUGUCCCCCCUGAACCAACCCGCCCCAAACAGUGCCCUCCCUCUCUGGUUCUGGAGUCCCUGGGGUUGCCUCAUGUCGCCUCCGGUCUGAGCUCUCUGGAUGGUAGACAGAGAAAGCUUUUGCUCCUGACUUCUCACUCACUUUAAUUGAUUUGUUUACCUUCCAUUAUUUUCCACUGACCUGCACAAAUACUACUUUCAUCAAGCUGACUACACUUCAGCUUAUUAAUCAUAAUAAGUUAUUAUGCAGUGAUUGGAUUGGUAAAAUACUUCUCUCAGAAUAAGGCAGCAGAUAUUAAAAAAUGUCUAGGUUUUAAUCAUUAUGGGUACAUAAUAGGUAUGUAUAUUUAUGGGGUACAUGUGAUGUUUUGAUAUAGGCAUACAAGGUGUAGUAAUCAUGUCCAGGUAAUUGGGGUAUCCAUCUCCUCAAGCAUCUAUCAUUUCAUUGUGUUAGGAACAUUCCAAUUCCACUCUUUUAGUUAUUUUAAAACUUACGAUAAAUUAUUGUUGACUAUAGUCACGCUGUUGUGCUAGCUAUCAAAACUAGAUCUUAUCCUAACUAUAUUUUUGCACUCAUUAACCAUCCCCACUCACCCAACCCCCAUUCCAAGCUGCUGGUAACCAUCAUUCUACUCUGUAUCUCCGUGAGUUCAACUGUUUUAAUUUUUAGCUCUCACAAAUGAGUGAGAAUGUGGUUAUUUGUUUCUCUGUGCCUGGCUUAUUUCACAUAACAUAAUGUCAUCCAGUUCCAUCCAUGUUGUUGCAAAUGCAAAGAUGUCACUCUGUUUUGUGGCUGAAUAAUAUUUCAUUGGGUAUAUACCACAUUUUCUCUAUCCAUUCAUCCAUUAAUGGACACUGAGGUUGAUUCCAAAUCUUAGCUAUUGUGAAUAGUGCUGCAGUAAAUAUGGGAAUGCAGAUAGCUCUUUAAUAUACUGAUUUCCUUUCUUUUGAGUAUACCGAGCAGUGGGAUUGUUAGAUAAUAAGGUGAUAAUAUUUUUAGAUUUUGAGGCAACUCCACACUGUUCUCCAUAGUCAUCAUAUUAAUUUACAUUUCCACCAGCAGUGUACAAAGUUUCCCUUUUCUUUAUACCCACGCCACCAUUCGUUAUUACCUGUCCUUUGGAUAAAAACCAUUUUAACUGGGGUGAGAUGAUGUCACGUGGUAGUUUUGAUUUGCAUUUCUCUGAUGAUUAAUGAUGUUGAGCACCUUUUCAUAUACCUGUUUGCCAUUUGUGUGUCUUCUUUUGAGAAAUGUCUAUUCACACCAUUUGCCCAUUUUACAAAGGGAUUAUUUCACUUUUUCCUAUAGAGUUGUUUGAGCUCCUUACAUAUUCUAGUUAUUAAUCCCUUGUCAGAUGGGUAGUUUGCAAAUAUUUUUCCCCAUGCUGUGGGUUGUCUCCUCACAUCGUUGACUAUUUCCUUUGCUCUCCAGAAGCUUUUUAACUUAACGUGAUCCCAUUUGUCCAUUUGCUUUGGUAAGGCAGCAGCUUUAAAUCUAGGGAUCAUGGGCCACUUCUUUCCCUGUCCUCCCCUGUGCAUACUGCAACUCCUCUGCCCCAACCCACUGAUGUGUGAUUGUAUUUGUGUAUAAAAACAUUUAAACACAGCUUUCAUCUUAUUUUUCAUGUCUGUGAUCCAGAAAAGAUGAACCAUUGGAUUCUCGCUCUGCCCCACGUCCUUCCACUGCAAAGUUUUCCAUACCCCAUAGAAUCCUUGCACCACUACAGCUAGUGGUCCAGGCAGGCAGCUGCUACUGCUGCUGCUCUUCCUCCUCCUCCUGUUUCUCCUUCUCCUCCUCUUCCUCUUGCCUCCUUAGAAUCUGGUGAGAAUCUGGUGGUCCUUUCUUUUACUUAUGCCCCAUCCCUCUAUUUGACCUCUGAAUCAACCACUGUAAUGCCUUACUUGUACUAUUUUACCACUAAAUAGUACAAGUAAGUAAGUUGCAAAUGUUUUAGUUUGUUUUUUUGGCUCAUUUAUCUGGAAUGACUCCAGUUCCUUCUCUUAAUUUUCAAAGUAUUUUCUUCAACAUGAAAAAUUAAUGGAGUACUUAGAUGAUUAGGGGUAUGGUGAGGGUGUUGUGAAAUCAAUCAAAUAAUAGGAUGUUGCAACUUUACAUAAUUAGAUGUCAUUUUUCCUUUACCCUGAUCUUUCCUCAGCCUCUAACCUUAACCCCAGUCCCUCUAUUUACAGGCUCCAGUUACUGAAAACAAUGGGUCUCCUUUUGGCUCCCAGAAUGAAUUAUUCCCAGAGCCUUGUUUCCUUCUCGAUAAAACAGAAAUCUUAACACCUAACUUAGGUAUGGCUUUAGGAUUAAAUGACGUAAUGUUUGGAAUUCACCACCUUACAGAGAACUUGGAGAAUAGUGGGUUUUCCAUGCGUUUUAAAAGGGAGCCCUUCCAGCAUUCUGUUGUAGUCUGAUUGCCUCUGGUAAUAUCAGUUUUCUCCAAGUGGUCCACUGUUCCUCUCUAGAUGCUUCAUUACAGUUGAGGCCACAGCAGGCCACAUUCACUUGGUUGGGGGGUAGUUUGGAAUAGAGAUGGAGAGAGGAGCUGAGCACCAAACAGUGUGGGGCAGGAAGAGCAGGGACUUUGGUAUCAAACAAAUGCCGGCACAGAUCCUCUCUCCACUAAUUAUUACUUAGCUCUGUGUUCAAAAAGACUCAGCCUUCUCAUCUAUAAAUAUGGGGGUAAUAAUACCCACUUACAUGGACGAGUGCCAGAGUAUAUAAAAGCGCUACUGUAAUGACUGGUACUUACUAACUGUGCAACCCAUGUUAAUUCCUUUCCCUGUGAUAUGUUCCUUCCCCUCUUAAGAAAACAUUUCAGUUGUCUGAUGAUGGUGCAGGUCUCUAGACCAUCCCUUUUCCUCCAGAGUUGGGCUCAUGGACCGUUUGAAUCUUAAGAUCCUGGGGCCUCGUUCUUAUCUGAAAAAUGCAGCUGCAUCACCACCAGUAGGGGGUCUUACAUUUGAAAGCCACAUCAGACCUGAAGCAGGUGUUUGGCUUUGGUGGAUCUUAGGAAAUAUUUCCAGUACCUUGUUUCUGAGGUCUAGAUGCAAGAAUCAAUGUAUCCUUUUGGAGUAAAUCUGCCUCUCUUUCUGGGAAGGCUUGAGAAGCUCAGAUUCUCAGAAAAGGAGGGAAAGGCGCAGCAUGAAGUUACAUGGCUUUAUGUCACGAGUACCAGACUUCUGAAGUGUUUAAUGAAAAGCAAAAAUGCCACCAUAACAAUCAAGGCCAGAUGAAAUUCCUCAUCUCAAUAAGUUGAUGAAGUGUUAAAAUUCCCCUGGAUUCAGUUAUUACCAGAAGAUUAUUGAUUAAAUGCACAGCCAGUUGAAACUCCAGACCUUUAUGCACAGCCAGAUCCCGCACUUUGGGUUUAGUUUAGUUAGAACCUGGAGAUGUGGAAAAUGAGGACUAGCUACCAGGACAGCAGGUUUCUCCCCCAGUUACUCCUCUAUCCAGGAGGCCCCAGGCCUUAGCCAGUAGGGAGUUGAACCACCUUUUUAGUUCUUCCCAGAACCACAUCCUCUGAGGCUAACAGCUUUCAUGACACCUUCAAUUCCUGCCAGUGGUGAGUGGGUCAUUUCUGGGAAUGCUGCUUUGGGGGUGGCUCUCAGGAUCCCUAAGUGGCACCCACUUCGUGUCCACAGGAGGUAUGGGUUUUAUUGGCUGUGAUGCCAAAGAGGUCCUUACCUGCAGGGACCAGCCUGGGUGGCAGCCAACCAAGCUUCCUUGGCAUGUUUUCCAGUCCUGGAGAGAAAGGCUGCAGUUGAGUCUCCGUAGCUUUACCCACUUCUGCUGAGGUGCUUCUUUGUCUCAAGUGAUUCCUGUGCCUGGGACAGAGACCACACAGCCAUUUCAUAGAUGUCACAUGCUCUCAGGUGUGGCCCAAAUGGUCACCUCAGUGUCCAAGAUUUUAUGAACUUGGCUUUCAGGAAGGCCACAUGAUGUACAGGUAAUGAGCUUGGCCUCUAGAGCCAGACUUCUGCAUUUGAAUCCUGGCUUGGCUGCUUGCUAGAGCACAUACCCUUCAAGAAUAUUUUCUUCUCCAUGCCUGUUUCCUCAUCUGUAAAAGGGGGAUAAUAAUAGUACCUGCCUCAAAGCUGUUGUGAGGAUAAAGUGCUUAGCACACAGUAAGCAGUUGGUAAGUGUUAAUUGCUGUAAUUACUAUGUAUUAUGUGGGUAGGUUGGCCUGAUGGUGAUUUGCAAAUUUAAGAAAGGGUUUCAAGCUUCUCCCUAAACAGCCAUCCUUGAUAUUUUCUCCCUUUUCUUUCUUUCUUUUUUUUCUUUUUUAAGUAUCUACUCUUUUUGUCUUUUCCUUUGCUCACCCACCAAUCACCUGCCUGAGAUUAAAGAAUGUGCAGUUGGAAUCAGAAACCAAGGGUUUUGGCCUAACUCUUACUGCCUUGUGAGCUUAAACAAGUCACUGAACCUCUGACCAGAAGUGGAGAAUUUGGGGUGACAGGGCUGCCAGGUAUCUCGUAAAGCUGGAGUAACUGUGCAUCCUGUGACCCUGGGAUAAUGAAACAGAGCACAUAUUGGGACUACCUGGUGAUUCUCAACUGGAAGCUAAGACUUACCUGAUUGUAUCUGUGAAUCAAAAAGCAGGUGAUUUUUACCCUCUCUCCCUCCUUCCCUCCCUUACAGCGAGAUGUGUAGUAGGAAAAGCACCCGAGUAGGAAUCAGGAGACUUGGGUUCUAUUAAGUGAGGUACUUACUAUGUGUACAGUAGCCAGCACAGAGUAAGAGCCAAAAGGAUCGAACUUUUCUACUGCUGAUUCCACUGUAUUGGGCAGCCCAGGGGGUUCAUUCCCAUUGUAUUCAGUGUCCCUGCGUUACUGGAGUUGUGUAGUGAGCAGGACUGUACUAUUUUAUACAGUAGUCCUGGCUUGACCUACCCAUUCCCUGGUGACCUCUGUUUCUCGGCUUCCAGUCUGUAAAAUUAAAAUAAGGAACUAAAAUAAGCUACUAAAUAUACUUUAGGUUUCUUAGAGCUUAAACAUAAUAAAAAGGCAUAUACUUAGAUACACACUUUCUCCUAUCACCAGGUUCAUUUUCUUCAUAGUACUUGAUGCUGCCUUUUCAGAUUUUGCUUGUCUUUUUUUUUUUUUUUUUUUUUUUUUUUUUUUUACAUAUUCAUUGUUUCCAAUACCCACCCCCUGCUGCCUGACGCCACUUCCAGAGCCCCAGAAAGUAAGCUGCGAGAAUUAGAGACCUUAUCUGUGUGUUGGUCAUUGGUGCUAGAAUAGUGCUUGAAACAUUUUAGGUGCUUAAUAAAUACACACAUAUGCACACGGGCAUGUAUAACUCUGCAUGUGAUGUAGCCACUUAAUUUGUCUACAAACACUUAGAUAGUUGGUUGAUUAUUCUUCCGCUUACCUACUCCCCACAAGAAAAUAUAUACCACAUUUUAUUAGGAGAUUAAAUGAAUGGAAUUAAGAAUGGUUUUACUGGCUGUCUUAAAACUUAACCAAAGUAGCAGUGCCAGGGUUCUCACUUUGUGUGUGCACAUAGUGUCAAGGGGCAGUAACUUGUGAAAUCAGAGGAAGCCUGCAGAUUUUUGGGCUGAGGAAUCUUGACUGUGAUGAUGAUGUGCCACAUAUCCGCAGUGUAAGUUGGAAUCCACUUUGUUCUGUUUAUAUACAUAGUGGAGAUGGUUGGCAGGAAGCAAACCAUAACCCUUGGAAUUCUGCUCACACAUGCUAUUGAAAUUUCAUAUUACUUUUAUUAUUUGGCCACAAAAAUGGACAUAAUCCUUGUUGGCUUUAACACACCUACUAGUACUGCUUUCGCUAUCCAUCUUGCAAAAUAUAAGACAAGGCCAGGCUUAAAUUAAAAUCCUCGGCUUCUUAUCUCUUUCCCACAGGAAAGCAAAUCUGUGUUGAAAACCGUAAAAUUAAGAGGAGAGCAAGGAUAGCAUAAUUUAGCAAAAAUUCAUGGCACCAGAUUCUGAGCUAUAUGACUGGAGGGAUAGGUCAGACAUUAAGAAGAUGCUGCCUGCUAAUGCAAGUUCCUUAAGGUGGUGCUCUGGAAAGAAAGAAUAUAUCCAGAAGAUUUCCACAGUGUUUACUCUUUAUAAGUACCCUAAGAAAAUAUCUUUGUAGAUUGUUUGGCAAUUAUGCUUAUUUAUGAGACUUUUAAAAUGAAACUGAAAGCCAUUAUUCUAAAGUAUAUUUGAAAUCUAUCGAUUUUAACAUUUGGGCGUUGAGAUUUGUGUUUCCAUUUUCAAAAGAGUUCAUAAUAAACUCCUCCUAUCCUCACAUCUACCCACCCCCACUUCUAGCAUUCUAAAUUCCAUGUAUUUAAGAAGCUUAUUCUGUUAUUUGGAAAACUGUGUCAUUAACACUCGAAAAGCAUUAGAAGAUUUGUUUAACCUUUUACACAUUUAUAUGCAUAGAUGUUUGUGCUGAGGUGUGUAGAGAAAAAUUGUGUGGCUAUGAUAAUGGCACUCUAUUUAAUAUACGCCAAAAAAGCUAUAUGAGCUAUGCAAGUUUUGCCAUUAAAGAAGAGCUGAUAAUUAUAAAAUAGGGAAAAUCUAGUAUGGAAAUUAUAUCAUUUUCCAAAAAAAGUGUGAUUUUUUUUUCCUUUUUUUUCCCCCCCCCGUAAGUUUCUUUUGGAUGGAGGUUGUAAUGAUAGGGUAUAAGAAGAAUUACUAAUUUUUCUUAUAAGAUAGGGUAUAAGAAUUCUAAUUUUUCUAAGGGGAGUCCUUCUCAUUGGAGCCACAUAUUUUUUAUGGCUAAUUUGUAAAAAAUAUUAAGUUCAAAAUUAGUGUAUGUCGUAGGUACAGCCACCAUACACAAGUGUGUUUUGGGGGCCCUCUUUAACCAUUCAGAUAUGGACUUACAUUUUAAGCAGUUCACAUUGUGCAGUUUUAGGCACUUCCUCAAAUUUUUAAAAAAUAUGAAUAUUUGCUUCAGGAGAAAACUGAUUUCACAUGCAUUUUAGUCAAUAAUAUAGUAAGAUCUUACUAAUUCAAACUAAUUAUGAUGAAGACAUGUCUGAACUAGUGAAUUGAGCAUAAUGAUAUGCUCAAUUUUCUCUUAAAUUCAUGUUACCCAUUACUAUAGUGUUUUUAAGUAGAGAUUUUCCUGCAACUGCUUUAAUUAUUAGAUUAGUUUAAAAUCAGAAACAAACACCUUUAACAGGUAUAUAAUUGUGUUGAGUCCCUUUUUCUUUGGUGAAGGGUUUAUUGAGUCUCUUUAAAAUGAUUCCCCUAGAGAAGUUGUUAAUGGGUAUAAAAAUACGGUUAGAUAGAAGGAAUAAGUUGUAGUAUGUACAGUAGAGAAACUGUAGCUAACAAUAGAUUAUUUAAUAGCUAGAAGGGAAGAAUUUUAAUGUUCACAACACAAAGGAAAGAUAAUGUUUGAGGUGAUGGAUAUCCCAGUUAUCCUAACUUGAUCAUUCCACCUUUUAUACAGGUAUCAGAAUAUCACAUAUACCACAAAAUUUCUACAGCUAUGCCAUAUCAAUAAAAAAUAAAUAAUAAAUAAAUAAGUGAUUUUACUAAUUAGGUUAAACCUACUUAAGUCUUCUUUAUAUUUUUUAAUUACUUAGUAAGCACUUUUGGGUUGGGGGGAACAACCUUAACUUUGUAACCAAAGUAAUCACAGAUUUCAAAUUGAUGAAGUCCAAUUAGAUAACUUGAAUUAAAAAGUGUGACUGUUGACUUCCAAAUUAAAUAAUAAAAUGUCUGUAAACAAGUAUAAGACAUAUAAAGUGUGUUAAAAUAUACAAUUUUAACAAUUAAAAAUAUUAUUAAAGCAGUAUUUCAGCUGGACACGGUGGCUCAUGCCUAUAAUCCCAGCACUUUGGGAGGCCAAAGUGGGCAGAUCACAAAGUCAGGAGUUCAAAACCAGCCUGGCCAAUAUAGUGAAACCCUGUCUUUACUAAAAAUACAAAAAAAAUUAGCUGAAUGUGGUGGCGGGUGCCUGUAGUCCUACUUGGGAGGCUGAGGCAGGAGAAUCACUUGAACCCGGAAGGUGGAGGUUGCAGUGAGCCAAGAUCACACCACUGCACUCCAGCCUGGGCGACACAGUGAAACUCCAUCUCAAAAAAAAAAGACAGUAUUUCAUAUUAUGCAGUUCAACUCAAGAUUGGAAAUUCCUUUUUAUCAAUUAAUGUUUAUGGAAACUAGAGAAGCAGAAGAUGAACUGAGGAGGGCCAAAGCAUAAUGGCUAGUCUUGUUUGAUUGACAAAGCUAUAAAACUCGAAAGAAUGGUGUACCAUGGUUCUUAAAGAUGUACAACAUAGAGUUAUGAACUCUGUAAGCUGAGGGGAUAUCAGUAUAGGAAAUUUAUAUUUAUUGGGUUUAAAAAUUUAUCCUUUGAAUUGGCAAUAUUUAUUCAUUUAUUUGCUCAUUGGACAGUUUUUUGCUUUUUGUGCCAGACAUAUGUAGUGAAUACAAAUGUUGUAAAACAUUCAUAAAUUUUGCUGUAAUUCGCUCUUUAUUGACUUAACCUGAGGAAAUAAUCUAAAAGAGAGUAUAAAUAUAUAUGUACAGAAAUUCAUGCCAUAUGGAAGAGUAGUGAUCAACCUAAAUCCCUGAAGAGUCACUGGUGAAAUAACUGAUAACUCAUGAAUAUCAGUGACAUAUUCAUAUAUUUGAGAAGUAUUUACCAUGGAAAAAUUCAGAAAAAUUCUAAAAGAGACAUUUCCACCUGUCCAGGUCUGAAGGUGAUUCUUGGGUUAUGUUGAUGACUGGUUACUGCUGCUGUGUGAAUUUUUUUCUUUGGGAGAAAAGACUGGAGCUGGGCAUCCAUAUUAACUAUUGACCUUGUGGUUACUUUGCAGUCAAAUAAAGUGCCCGUGGUGCAGCCAUCCCAUGCGGUCCAUCCUCUCACCCCCCUCAUCACUUACAGUGACGAGCACUUUUCUCCAGGAUCACACCCGUCACACAUCCCAUCAGAUGUCAACUCCAAACAAGGUGAGAGUCCCUGUCUUUCCAGGCCCUUUUUUUUUGCCAAAUGAAGAGCCAAAUCUCAUCAGCCUGAGUGACCUUCCAGAUGCCAGUGCUCCAUGUCACUGGGUGGAUCAGAAUGUGUUUUUACAAGACAAGAGUAAUUCAUUUGAUAGCAAUUCUUUGGAAACACACAAGAAUCUGUUACAUUUAUUAUGCAUUAUUAAAAAGCAGAAGAAAAGCAUAGCAGGGCCACAAUGAAUGAAAAUCUUUCAUUCACAAUGUAAACCAAUAGAUUGUGCAAAUAUACUAAAAAGUCAGUACUCUACAAUAUUCAUUUAUUUCAGCAUGUACAAGAUAUUGAUGCUGGUAAUUUUAAAAUAGGAAUGGGGAAAGUAGGAGAUUUAUUCUUUUGAAUCUCUUUUGGUUAUUCCAUUAUAUCCCUAUGGUGUUUCAUCUUUUGUUAUUUACCAGCACUAGGUUACAUAUUCUACAUAAUCAUUGAUGUAUAAAACCUCUAUUUAAAGUCCAAGAAUCGUGAAUCUUAUUUUACGCCUCUGCAUUAAUAUUUGCUUCUACUUUGUUUAUAGAAAAAAUAUAUAGUGCAAGAGGUCUGAAAAAUUAAAACAUCCUGUUUCUGCCUGAUGUGUACGGGUACGAGUUGGGAGUAGGACAGAGAGCUCUGGUGCACCAAGCCUUCUGGUCCCAUCACUCAGGGCGCAAACCUCAAGGAUGGAUUUGCUCUCAGGGUGGCUCGUUCCUCUUUGCAUGCACAUGCGCACUUGGACUUCAACAGGGUCUUUGAAAGUUCAAAAUAAAAGAUUUUAAAAAAUGUGAAGGCAGAGAACGUAAAGGGGUAAAAUUUGCCACUGCCUACAUUUUACCCCUUUGUCCAUCCCUUUCUGGGACUUACAAUGGACAACAAAAUUUAAUGACUGUGUGAAAAAGAGUGGCAUAGAGGCUGGGUGUUCUUUCCACUACUGGUGAACACUUCUAGGUUAAAUACUUAACGCUUUCAUUUCCCUUCCUUGUUAAAACAGAAUGCUUAUUUAAAGACUUAGUUACUAGUGCACUAGACUUGAAUAGAGUCUGAGUACUUUGAAAAGUUGAGAAUCACCGAUGCAGACAUUUCUAGGUUUGCUUCUGUUUUAUUUUUUAAUCCUCUGUCCUUCCUCCACCCUGCUUCCUUUAAUCAAGAGCCUCCAACAAAUUAGGAAUGUUCAAGAGUCAGGUCUAUGGCUGUAUAGUGAGAAAGGGAAUUAAGAUAGGGGUCUCAGGAAGCAGGCUGAGUUUGAGAGGGAGGACCAGUCUUGGUCGUGGUGAAUUUGAAGUGUCUGUGAGAUACCCAAGGGGAGACAGGAGGUAGGCCACUGAAACCUGUGGGUCACAAUCUCAGACCAGCAUCCGAGCAGGAGGUGCACAUCUGGGAACCUAUUUAGUUGUUAAUUAUUUCUUUAUUUAACAAUUAAAUAGUGCUUACCCUGUCCUAGGUCCUAUUUGAAACUCUUCGAAACAUUAACUCUUUAAAAAGAAUAAGAAAUCAAUCAUAGUUCAGUAGUUUUUCUCUCAAGAAUAAUAGGACAGUUCAAUUUUUUAAUAGUUAAGUUUAUAACUGGCUCUCAGUUACGCUUAUAGUUUCUCUUCUGUUUCCAUCUCCUACUGCCACCCUACCUUGUUUUGCAUAAUUGUUAAGUUAUAUCAUUGCUUCUCAAACUUUUUUUAAAAAAAAACUCUCCAAAACUACCGAGAAGGGACUAAUGGUCAUCACCAGAAGUUGUCUGCUUGCAGUUUCUUCGGUCUUUAUUUUGUUCUAAAGAUUGAUGUGAUUUUUGUAUUCUGGUCCAGACACUAUUUGUGCUUGUUUUAAAAAAAGAUCCUGUUUUAUCCCAGGCCUUGUGUUCCUUAUCAUCGUGUACUUCUGGAGAUAUAUAAACUCCAAUUUGAAAAAAGCACUCACUUCCAUGAUACUGAGUUUGUAUCAUUCCAGUUGGGCACUUUUGUUGCGAAGAAAAUAAGCUUACUAGAUCUCUUCCUUUUAAUUCUUUUUCUCUCCUGCCUUAGGGCAUGAUGGUACUGAGGCCAGAGCUGCUGGUUUCAAAGAUCCUAAUAGACUAGUUAGCUGUAUCUUCCCCCAACCCCUCCGCCUCAGCCAGAAAAAAACAACCGAAGAUCAUCAUAUUCACACUUUAACCCUAGAUAGAACUAUUCCAUAAAUAUAAAAUGUUUGCCAGCAGAGCUCAUUCUCAUUUGUGGAAAAACAACUCCAGGUUAAUUUCCUAUUAGGGAGCACAUUAGUUUUCACGUGUGUGUGUGUGUGUGUGUAAGUGUGUGUGUGUAAGGGACAGUACAUUAAUGUCAAUUUUCUCAUUAUGUGUCUGGUAAAAAUAUCAAAAGGAAAGCGCUUUUAGGAAAUCCUAGGUUUAGAUGUCUGUUUUUAUCUAUGUGUUACCCAUUUUAUCCUUACAGAUGACAACAAAUACUUAUACUUUUGCUCCAGGCAUUUUCCGUAGUACAUAUAUUAAUGCAUUUAUUCUUCACAACAGUCCUAUUCUUAUUUUAUAAAACAGUAGCAAUUACAUAACUUCCUCAAAAAUGCAUAGCUAGUGAGCUGUAUAUCCAUAUAGUCUGACUCCAGUAUUAUUUCACCUAUGUCUAUAGAAGUUACCUAUACAAGUUUAAAAAUCUUAAAGGCUACGCUCAGUAUAUCCUCCAGCACAUAGUAAGUGUUCAAUAAAUACUAGUUGAAUAAAUGAUGUGAAAUGUGCUGGGCACAAUGUGGUUCAUGCCUGUAAUCCCAGCUACUCAGGAGGCUGACGCAAGGAUCGCUUGAGGCCACGAGUUUGAGGCCAGCCUGGGCAACAGAGUGAGACCCCCUCAGCUCUAAAAAAAUUAAAUAAAUAAAAAAUAAACUUAAAAAAAAAUGAUGUGAAAUGUGUCUUCAGUGGCAUAGUAGUUGGUGGAGAGACACACACUUCUGAGAAUCUUUGGAAAUAGGAUUUUUAAAGGACAGUGACCUAUUUAGAAUACUCAGAUCCACUUUCUGCUCACAUAAUGACCUAAGCCACAUCAUGUAUUUGCAUGUACAUGCCAAGUGGUUGAUAAUAUUGACCCAGCAUAUGGAAUGGGUCUGUUUUAACACUUCUGACUUCACUUGUUUGUUUGUUCAAUUGGUCAGAAAUAUUAACUAAGAGGCUCCUCUGCAGAAAACCAUGGUUAGAUACAUAAAUUGGUAAAAUGUGAUCUUUUUCUCCAAGCAGUAUAUAAGCUCAUGCAGGAAAUCAUUUGCACAGACUAACUAUAAAACAAAAUGAAGAGCAUCCCAAGUACCACAUUAAAAGUACAAAUAAAAAAACUUGUAGAUUCAAAGGAGAAAGAUUUCUCAGAGCUGUAAGUUAGAGAAAAUUGCCUAUGAGAGGAACAUUUGAAAGAAGAGUAGAAUUUCUAUAGAGUCAAACGCCUAGCAUAGGACCUGUCCUCUAGUUCCUUCCUUCUUCCUUCUAGCAGAAGAGUGACAUCCAACUAGUUGGUAUUUUUUGUUCUGUUGAAUCACUUCUGAACAGUAUCACUACUGCUGUGUUCUAAGCAUGCUUAGAACAUGGAGUAGUACGGAGAGUAAGAGUUUAAGCUUAAAGACAUGUGACUGCAAGCAAGUUACCUCUCCAUGUCCCAGUGACAAAAGUUCAGGACAGAAAACAGAUGCCUUAACAGUCACUUGGUCCCUCUAGACCUCAAUUUCCACACCUGUGAAAUAGAGGAAUUAAAGUAGAUAAUUCAGGGCUGUGGUUCAUGCCUGUAAUCCCAGCACUUUGGGAGGACGAGGCGGGCGGAUCACCUGAGGUCAGGAGUUCAAGAUCAGCCUGGCCAACAUGGCGAAGCCCUGUCUCUACUAAAAAUAUAAAAUUGGGCAUGGUGGCACGCGCCUAUAUACCUGGCUACUCAGGAGGCUGAGGCUGGAGAAUCGCUUGAACCCGGAAGGCAGAGGUUGUGGUGAGCUGAAAUUGUGCCACUGCACUCCAGCCUGGGUGACAGAGGGAGACUGUCUCAAAAAUAAAACAAAAUAAAAUAAAAUAAAAUAGAUAAUUCAGAUAGUCUGUGACCGCUACGAUUUUCAAGUUAAUAGAAUAAAACAUUGAAAUUUUCACUACAUUUCUGAUGUUUUUCAGGGUUGGUCAAAUUGUAUUGCUUUUAUUUUAUUUUGUUUAUCCCCGCGACUGAGCCAUCCCCUUACAGACCGUGAGAUUUGGGGAGGUAUCUGGAUCUCAGAGUUAAGGGGGCAGCAAGUUGAAAAACCUCCUCAAUGAUUCUGAUAUGUUAAGAAUCACCACUGCAAACUCCCCCACCCCAAAAAAAUCCUAGGGUAAAAAAUUUAUGUUCUGCUGUAACCAAAAGAGUCAGUAUUUCUAACAAAAACAAUUUUUUUGAAUAAAGGAGAUUUGAAACCAUUAUUUUAAAAACAGCAAAACAUGAGAUGAUUUAAGGUAAGCCCUCUGUUGAGAAAUUAAAGAACUUUUUUCUUUCCCACCUACUUUCUGUAAGAAUUGAGAAAUAGUUCGUUCUAACUUCAAAGUUGAAUUAACACCAACUUUCAAGACAGCACUUCUUGUCAUUCCCAAUGUGAAGGCUUUCAGUAUCUUUAAGAUACAAAUGAAAUUCCUAGGCACUUUAAAUAGUAAAAAGCAGAAUAUUUAAGAAACAUCUUCCAUGUACUCAUCUAAUUCCACAUAUUAGCCAGUAUAUAAUAUUUACAGUCACUAAACGUAUAAUCUGGGUGUUAAACCUUGGAAUAUGUGCUUGUAUAUGGAAGUGGUCUUUUAAAGCCAUCAUUAGCUAUGUGAAGACACAUCUGUGGCUUUUUUUCUAUUCUGAAUCACUUUCCCCCAAACACAUUGAAUCUAAGUUGUUAUAUUUUACAUUUUAUGCAUUUGUCUUGUCAUUUUUUUCUUCUGUACCUAGGGUAAGGUAUAAAGGGAUGUCACUUGGGACUGGGAUUACAUAUAAUCUUUAGGUGGUUUUCACAGUUACAGGGCAGUGUACUCCAGGGACUGUGAGCUCAAGAAACAAUUUGGUGGCACUUUCAUUUUCUGUGGAAUUCAGCUAAUCCAGAACAGCUUGACCUUGCAGCCCAGAGGACUCAACUUGAUGAAGAGCUUAGACAGAGACCAAAUGAAUCAUAUCAAAUGUGACCAUUAUGGGGCUGAAGAUGAUUCCUAAUUAAUCUUUGAUCCUCUGAGGUGUCACAUUUCCCAAAUCUAUAUGUCCAUAAGGGAACCAAUGAAAAUAUGAAAAUGGCAAUUUACCUAAUCCUUGAACUUUGUGGCAAGCCAUCUACUUACGAAGGGCUGUCAUUUUCCAUUCUACAAAAAAACAUUCUCAUUCUAUAUAAAACAAUUGUCUACCAUUUUCUUAAAUAAUGUGAAAUAUUGAGGGCAAAACAAAUAAUUUAAAAGUCUAUUUUGAUGAUUGUAUUACUAGCAGCAUCUUUACUCCUGUAGGAGUUCCUUAAGAUAAUACUCUCUGAAGGCCCAGUUUUCCCAGAUGUUGAAAUCUUGAGAAAAGCUAACAAAUGGACUCCUGUUCCUUGGAUCUGGUGAAUAAAUAUUGUUUCAUUCUGAACCUUAAGUAUGAAUGGUAUAAAACAUGUAGUUGCAUUUCUGGUUAAAUAUCCUGUGAAUCUGUAAAUGAUACCUCUCUGUUCUGUUUAACAGGCAUGUCCAGACAUCCUCCAGCUCCUGAUAUCCCUACUUUUUAUCCCUUGUCUCCGGGUGGUGUUGGACAGAUCACCCCACCUCUUGGCUGGUAAGAACCUUGCUGCACCCUUCAGCCAGGCAUUUGAACACAUGUUCCUCCACUUUCCAUUCAUGGAAAUUAGAUUUAUGAAUGGUAACACUUGUGGAGUUGAAGAAAUUUCACAUCAACAAGCAAGGUGCUAACUUUAUUCAUUUCAAUUUAAAAGAUUAAAAAACAUACAGACUUUGAAAUGGAUUGAUCCGUUUGCUAAUAUGGGUAGAAAAUGACUGUAGCAUUUGCUUUGAAGCUUAUAGUUUUAUGGAUUCCCUUUGUGGCUUUGGGCAUUUGCUAUGCCUGUACAAAGUUAGUGCUCAGUGUGGUUCUUCUUUUCUAGGUUUUUUAAUGAACAACUUAUAUUUUUCAAAAAUGAAUUUAGACGCAUUGAAUAUCUACCUUUACUUGUAAGUGGGCAAGUGAGGUAAAUGACAAAAAUAAC